UUUUUUCCAACCUGUACCAAUAAUCAAGAAUAAAAGAGACACCCGCACCCAUCUCUGUAUACAACAUUACUAUUUCAUUUGUUUUCCAAUAGAUGUCGAGGCAGGUUUGAGAUAGUGUCUUCGCUGGAGCUCCAACGAGCUUAGCCUAUAAUGGGAAGAGAGGUUGGUCAUUAAUUUUGAUAUUUCUAGUGGAAUUAAAUGGUGAAAGGGGCUUUUUGGAUCAAAACCGGUGGUGGGGUUGACUGUCGGGGAGUUUGUGGUCGGAAUUAGAUGGUGAUUCCGAUGAACCUUCGCCGAAAUAUCUGAAUCAACGGCCUAUUCUCUCUAUUUUUCUCUCUUCUCCAUUCACCCUCUAUUCUCUCACUCUCUCUCCAUCCUCUCUCUAUCUCUCUAUUCACUGUGCCUAUGUGUAUAAGGCUCUUCCCUCUGAUAGAGUGUGUGUGUGGUGUAUUAUAUAAAUCUUUGGGUGUGGAGUCUGUGUGUGCGUGUGCAAAUUCCCUUUUUCUUGAUGGUGUGUGUAUUGUUGUGUAUAUAAUGAAAAAUAGUCACUGUAUCUAUAUUCUUUGAGUGUGAAUUAUUGAGUGAAAAAAAUAUGCCAAGAGGGUGGGGUAUGUGGGUAUGAGGUUAGGGGGUAUGUAGGUAUGAGGUAGGGGUAGGUGGUUAUUUUUGUAAGGGUGAGGUUUCAAAAGUAGGAUAUUUUUGUUAGGUUAGUUAUUUUUUGUCUUUUUAUGGGGAAAUUAUUAAAUGGGUGAGGGUGUAUGACAAGGUGAGGUAAAAAAUGGAUAAAUUGAGUUUUCGGGAGGAACAAAAUUAGGUGUCUGCACUUAGCUAUUUAUAGGACCAAGAAUUACCCAUCACGAUCACGGGGGUCCUUGGUUGCAAAUGUGACGUACAAUAAAAAUGACUUUCACAAACAUGGACAACCAGCAGUGAUCACGAUGAAGAAAGUUGACCAGGUCGGGGCUGACCCUCGUGAAUGUGAGACGUGAGGAUCACGAUCAUGAAGGUCAAGAACAUGGCCCUUCGUGAAUGUGACUUAAGUCUUGCGAUCACGAAGAACAAAAAGUUUGCACCAAAAAAAUAGUAAUUCUUCUAAGUCCACAUGGACUUUGAUCGGGGCUCGAUAUUUGUUUGAAACCCCGUGCACGCAAACAAACUAUGCUACAUACCAAAUUUGAUAUUUCAGACUUAACAAAACCAUCCAAACUUCCAUUCGACAUUGUUUUGAUCAAAUGUGGAUCCUACCCCUAUAGUUUUAUUUUCACCAAAUCUACCCAAUAGGUCAAAAUAUGUUUGGAAUCCUCAAAAUCUAAAGCAAGGUUAUUCUAGCCUAAAAUUAAUCUUAGGUGGAUUUAUGUACCUAAGUGUUGUUAUCUACGCUUACUUAGCCUAGUUUUGAGGAAAUCUUGUGUGUGUAAUGAGGUAAUAUUUGUAUAAAUGAGCAUCUAAGUGCUUAGUUAUGUGUUUGUAGUGUUUAUGGUGUGUUCAUAAUAAGUUUAGAGUCAAAACAUUAAGUUAAAGUUCAAACGCGAGAGCUAGUACUCUUAGUUUGAGUUAUGUUCCUUUCUAGUUUAUCGUGUUGGAUGCAAUAUGGUUUUGAGCUCUAAUUUGUUGUGUUUGAUGUUAUAGGAUGCUUUAUAAGUUGAUCAAGGUGAUACUUAGAUGAUAUCAAAGCUGUAAAUCAAGAGUAAAUGUCACCACAAAUCUUGGACAUGAAGGACAAAUACAAUGCACUAAGCUUGACAAAAUCUAGAAUUUUUGGAUAUAUUGGCGCGCUACGUUCCCUAGAUGCCACGAUAAUGGUGUGGAAAACCCUUGGUUGCAUUGUGAAUUGUCCAAACUAGUAUCCCUCCACUAUAUUUACAUUCCACGUACCCUAUCUUCCUCGAUAAAGGCAUGGCACAGAGGCUAAAAAAAAUCUAACAGCUAGGUCCUAGUAUAAAUAGGAUUCUUAAACUCUUAUAUAAACACCUUGGACGACCUUAGGGAUUGGAAACACAAUUGAGAAGGAUGAAAAUAGGAUUUUUAUUCAUUUAGAUUAGUUUGUUUAUGGAUUCAUCGAUUGUGAUUACGUGUAUGUCCAUGAGCGGCUAAACACCAUUUUCCAUGGUUAAGGCCAAGAACAUGAUUACUCUUGUUAUGAACUGAAUUUGUUUUGGUUAUUUAUAAUUAUUGGUUGCUUAUUUAUAUUUGUGGUAACUAUUUUAAGAAUUAGCGACCCUUAGAGUAUAUGCUUAAUUCUAUCAUGAGACCGGAAGGAGGAACAAUAGGAUAGACUAUGGGAUAGAUGGAAUAGGAUCGUAAUAUUUCAAUUGAAUGAUGUUAUGAUUUGCAUUUAGGAUAGGAUUAUACCUAAGUGCCCUAUUUGUUUCAAUUACAGGAUAAAAUAUGAAUGUAUUUAACUUAGUUAUCGCAUCCCUGCUUAACGUUGUACUUACGGGGCUAAGUUAGAUAGUUAAUUAGAGAGUCCAAAGACUAUAGUCAUAAUAUCAACCCUGUGGACCAAUAACCAAGAUAAUUAACCUAAACAACGAAGUUCUAUAUCUUAGUAUGAUUGUUCAUAGUGCCUUAACCUAGGUUUAUCCCCAUUGUUGUUCAAGAACUCCUAUUUUACCGUACUGUUUAGUUUACUUUUAGUUUAUAACUCUCAAACUCUGUUGGUUACUUCCGCACUCACUUAAUCUUGAUAGUUGAACUAGAAUUGAGUAGUUGUUUAACAAAACUACCUGUGGGAUUGAUACUUGGAUUUCUUAAGGCCAUUUUACUACUUGGUGGACCACGUACACUUUGUGUGCACUUGCGCACAACAAGUUUUUGGUGCCAUUGUUUAGGACUUGUAAAUUUGGAACCAUCUUAGUUUUAGUUUUGCUUUUUGAUUUCUUAAGUGAUAAUUUCUUGAUCUCAACUUUUAAAUUUGCAAGCACAAGUUUAAAAAUCUAGUAAGAUGGAAAGGGAUAGGGAGUUAGUUGAGCAACAUCUCGAACUUGAGUAACACUUAAACCAAUUGAGGAGAGAAGCAGUACUUCUCAACAGAAUUCCUCAAAUUCAUAAAAAAAGUUAUUCCUACACCCAUGGCUAAAGAUCCACUAGUCCACAAGACAGUUCGUGAAGUGGCAAUCCCAUUUACAACUAAUGUAACCUCCGUCAUAUGCAGACCCACUGUAGGAGGUAAAUUUGAGUUGAAACAGAACAUGGUGCAACUUUUGCACAGCAGCGGGCAGUUUAUCAACUUGUCAUAUAAAGACCCACAAGUCUACUUGUAAAAUAUUUUAGAGAUCAGUGACACAUUCAUCCCUAUGAGAGUGUCCACUGAUUGUGUGAGGCUGACACUCUUCCCCUUCUUGAUUUUUGGUGAAGAAAAAAAGUGGUUCAUACUGAGUUGACAGUUUUUAUCACAACAUGGGAUGACUUGGCCCAAAAAUUCCUCAUCCAUUUAUCAUGCUUGGGAGAGGUUUAAAUCUCUUCUCUGAUACUGUCCACACCACCAAUAGUCUAACAAGGUACUAGCUCACACCUUUGUUGAAGCUCUUAACUAUAACACAAAAAUUUUGCUAGAUUCAGUUGUAGGUGGUCAAGCACUAGAGAAAAUAUAUGAUGAGAUCUACAGCUUUUUAAACCUAUUUCUUAAGGAAAUUAUGAAUGGCAUGGUGACAUGUCCACAAGUUCAGUGAAAAAGGCUACGGGCAUGAUUGAAGUUGAUAGUAUCACAACCUUAGCCACCCAAUUAUUAGCUAUGCAGAAUCAAAUGAUGACUCAAUUCAGCAAAUUGGGUAUGAAUCAAUCUCUGGCUCAAGUGAAUAUUGUACAGGAGAUUCCAGGUUGGUAUGAUAUUUGUGACAAUAGUGGCCACUCUACAGACUUGUGUGGUGCGAAUCAAAAAUCAGUGAGCUUUGUAGUCAAUGUUCAAAAGCCAAACUACGGGAAUGCCUACAACCACAAGUGGUAGAGUAAACCAAAUUAUUCAUGGGGCAAUAAUCAGAAUCAACAAUUUCAGCAGUAGCAACACAACUCAAAGGCCAGUAAUAUUGAGGAAACUUUGAAGAAUAUCCUAGCUAAGCAAGAAGAAAUAGUUGCUGAAAUAAAAAAUCAACAAGUGGCUCAACAGUAGUUGGAGCAGCAAUUCGGUCAACUAGAUCAUAAAAUAUAGGGACACAAGGUGGAUUUCCAAGUGAUAUAGAGCAUCCAAAACAAGUCAUGUCAAUCACCUUGAUGAGUGGUAAAAAUCUUAGUGACAAACUUCUAAAGAAAAAUAAGGAGGUAGAUGUAGAGUUGGUUCCACAUCAGUUUGCAAGUAAUGAUGCUGAAAAUUUGGAAAAAUCUGAGUUCCCAAAAGUAAAAGCUAUUGAACAAGUGAAUGAGAGUCCACCUCUACCAUUCCCUCAAAGGCUAAAUAGGCCAAGGAGAAUGUAUGUUUCAAGAAGUUCUUUGACACGUUCAGAGAACUUCACAUUAAUCUUCCUCUUUUAGAUGUUUUGUAGGGUAUGCCCAAGUACGCCAAGUAAUUGAAGGAUGUAGUGACUAACAAGACUAAGCUAUAGGAUAUUGAGACUGUGGAAUUGAUGAGGAGUAUAGUUCAGUGAUGAUGCGGAGAAUGCCCAAGAAACUAAAGGCCUCGAGAGUUUCACCCUCCCUAUACAAAUUGGUGAUAGUGAUGUGGUCCAUGCUUCUAGUGACUUAAGGGAAAGUAUAAACUUGAUGCCUUUAUUAGUGUUCAACACUCUUAGUUUAGGUAAGCUGAGGCCAUGCUCUGUGGUGCUCUAGAUGGGAAAUAAAACCCAGGUUUAGCCCGAAGAAAUCAUCGAGGGCGUGCUCAUUAAGGUUUGUAAGUUUAUUAUUCCUACUAAAUUUAUUGUUCUUAAUUAUGAUGCAGAUGACAGGGUACCAAUUAUAUUGGGACUUUUACUUUUGACGAUGGGUAGAGUAUUGAUUGAUGUGAGAGAGAACACUCUCAAGAUGAUACUAGAUAAUGAAGAGGUGGUUUCCAAAGUCUACAAACCACUCAAUCAUCCUUACAUUAUAAAGUCUUAUGUAUGAUAACUGCCAUAGAAGUAGAUGAGUGUGGGGUGGUGGAAGGCGUCAUAAAAGACUUGUUCAAACUCUCUUAUAUAAUUGCCUAAGCCCCCAAUUAUGCUCGAAAGGGUGAAAUUAAAAGAAGAGCCUGAAAAGGUUGUUGAGGUAAAGAAUAAUGACCUUUAGAGUACACACUUAAGAUAUAAAAAAUAAGUGAUAAGAUGGACUCCAAGUAAAAGAAAGAAGAUAAAGAAAAAUGGUUAAGAUGUAGUGAAGUAGGUUAUGCCGCAACACUGUAUCAAAAACUUUUUGGGAGGAAACCUAAGUUAAGGUAGGCAUUUCAUUUUAGUAUUUUUAUUUUUUACUUCACAUAGUUUUUAUUUUUGUCGAGUCACAAGUUAAUGGGAAGUCUGAGUACUGGAGACUUGAGUUAACAAGUAUGGAAAAGACUGGGUGUGGGGUCCCCGAAUUCUCUUGAUGUUAAAAGAUGGUACUAGCUAGUCCUUAAGGCCUCAAGGAGUAUUUCUAUCCUUACUUUUAAGUUUACUUUGGGGAUAAAGUGAGUUUUUAAGUGUGGGGUGGGGAAAUUUUCAUGGUUUCAGGUGAAGUGAUGCUAUAGGAUUUUCAUUCUUAGUUGUUUUAGUUUUUGGGUAAAUUUGAAAAAAAUAAAAAAAAUGUUUUUUGUUUGUUUAAGCUUUUAGUUAUUGGGAUUAGUUUAGUAAGUGCACACUUCACCUAUUUUGUGGUUAUUCUUUUCGGUUCUUUUUCAUAUGGGGACCUUUGAACCUAGUAUCAUUUUUCUUUUUAGAAGUAAAUUUUAAUAUUUUUGUGUUAGGUAAGUGAGUUGUUCUUGUUAGUUCUAUAUGUGAUUUCAUGAUGCAAGUUGUUUUGGUUGUGAAGCGUGUUGAUUGUGUGAAUAACUAAUUUUGAGACUCUUAGGCUCAUGAAUAAAACUCUUGAACAUUGUUGACUUAAUUCUAAAUUCAUGUUAUUGCUUGGUCUGGAGUCUGUAGUAAUCCAACUUAAGUUGAGCAUGUACUAUGUUUGAGUGAGGUUGUUGUGUAUUCCUUAUUUAUUUGAUGUCUAGAACUUGUCUAGUGUGUGUGCAAAGUGAAAUAAAGAGUGUGAGUUUAGGAGAUGAUAUAGGCAUUUCUUUGGUAGCCAUAUUUCACAUACCCUCUCUUUUACCUACCCUUAAGCAUAAUCUUAGUUAACCCUGUUGAGCCUUUAGCCUAUUCUUUGAUAGCCUUAUAUAUAGCCUGUUUCUUUUUUUGUUUAACCUUAAUUUGAUCUAAAGCUCCUAAGCACUUUAGUUGAAUAUUAAUGAGUUUAAGGAGAGUGAAAAUAAGAAGGAAAUAGGUGAAAUUGAAGCCCCAAAAUAGUAACUAUUGGUGUUGAAAAAGCAAUGUGUGUGGUUGGGAUAAAUUAUAAUGAAAAAGAAAAAAAUUGGUGCUUAAAUUUUAUCAUAAGUUGAUGAUGAAUACUCUUUCCAUAUUAUAUGUGACUAGCUUAAUGAGAUGGGGCAAAACAAAAGAGAAUUAAAAGGUAGAGGUGGUCAAAAGUGUGAUUGUUUAGAGGUUGAUCUUAAUGUAUAAUGUUAUGUAUUAAAGCGCUUAGGGAAGAUAGUUACUAUUCCUGGACAAAAUAGCUUCUAUACGUCCCCUAGCCUACAUUACAACCUUCAAAGUCCUAUUUGAUUCUGAUUCUUAACAUUCUAAUAUUUGUAGAGUACUACACUAAGGGAUAGUCUAUGGUUCAUCUUAUGUGACUUGUGAAUUCUUUUUUAGAGGGAGCAUAAUUUAAUUUUUAUACCCAUUCUUGUGAUAAUGGCAUCUGUAUAAGUGAAUAUGGUUAACUCCCUUGUGGUGAGGGUACAUGUUUGAUGAUAGUUAGCUGAGUUAUAUGAUCUCUUUGAUUGAGUAAUAUGCAUGAGUUUGCCAACUUGGUGUGUCAAAUCUUAAGGUUAAGAUAUUUUUUAGUAGUGUUCUUGAGGUUUCAACUGUAUAUAACAUGGUUAGAGUAAAACUUGCUAUCUGUGCAGCUGUUGUCAUGCUAGCUUGAGUGUAUUUCUUUUAGUAAUAGUGUUAAAUUAUUUUUUGAUAUUAUACUUAAAGUGAAGAGUUAUUCGAGAAAGAACAAGACUUUAAGUGAGAGGUGAUGAUCUUAGGUGGAUUUAUGCACCUAAGUGUUGUUAUGUACUCUUACUUUGCCUAGUUUUUAGGACAUAUCAUAUGCGUAAUGAGGUACUCUUUGUAUAAAUGAGCAUCUAAGUGCUUAGUUAUGUUUUGUAGUGUUUAAGGUAUGUCCAUAAUAAGUUUGGAGUCAAAACAUUAAGUUAAAGUUCUACUGUUAACUUGAGCUAUGUUCCUUUCUAGUUCAUCUUGUUAGAUUCUAUGUGGUUUUGAGCUCUAAUUUGUGGUGAGAUGAUAAAUAUGAUACAUAGAUGAUAUAAAAUCUGUAAAUCAAGAGUUAAAUUCAUGCUUGGACAUGAAGGACAAACACAAUGGACUAAGUAUAAUGAAAUCUAAAAUUUUUAGACACAUUGGCAUGCCACGCUGCCUAAAUGCCGCAAUAAAGGCAUGGCAGGACCUUGGUUGCAUUGUGAAUUAGCAAAAUUAGUAGCCCUCCAUUAUAUUGAAGUUCCAUGGAUCCUAUCCUCCACGAUAAAGGCGUGGCACAGAGGCUAAACAAAAUUGGGCAGUUUGGUCCUAGUAUAAAUAGGACACGUAAACUCUUAUAUAAAAACUUUGGAUGACCAUAGGGCUUGGAAACACGAUUGAGAUGGAUGAAAAUAGGGCUCUAUUCCUUUACUUUAGUUUUUUAUAAACUAUAAUAUGGAUUCAUCUAUUGUAAUUAUGUGUAUGUCCAUAAGCGGCUAAACACCUUUUUCCGUGGUUAAGGCCAAGAACAUGACUAUUUUUGUUAUGAAUUGAAUUGGUUUAGGUUAUUUAUCAUUGUUGGUUGUUUAAUUAUCCUUGUGAUAAUAUUUUAAGGAUUCACUACCCUUAGAAUACAUGUUUAAUUCUAUCAUGAGCCGAAAGGGAGAAUGAUAGGAUAAACCAUGGGAUAGAUGGAAAGAAUCGUAAUCUUUUGAUUGAAUGAUGUUAUGAUUUACAUUUAGGAUAGGAAUAUACCUAAGUGCCUUAUUUAUUUCAAUUAUAGUAUGAAAUAUGAAUGCAUUUAACUUAGUUCUCACAUCCUCACUCAAUGAUGUAGUUGUGGGGCUAAACUAGAUAGUUGAUUAAAGGGUCGGAAGGCCAUAAUCGUAAUAUCAACCCCGUUGACCAAAAACCAGAUAAUUAACCUAACCAACGAAGUUCUAUAACUUAGUAUAAUUUUUUGUAGUGCCUUAACCCUGGGUUUCUCCCUAUUGUUGUUCAGAAACCUUUAUUUUACCUUAUUUUUUUGUUUACUUUUAGUUUAUAACUCUCAAACUCUUUUGAUUACUUCCACACUCGAUUAAUCUUGAUAGUUGAACUAGAAUUGAGUAGUUGUUUAACACAAGUACCUAUGGUAUUGAUACUUCACUUUCUUAAUGCCAUUUUAAUAUUUGGUGGAUCAGGUACACUUGCAUGUACGCUUGGGUGCAACGAAACCAACAUUUUAGAGCUGAUGGCGCUGUCGAAAUUCUCAUCUGAGGUCAUUUACUAGAAUUUUUGGUCCAAGAUCAAUUCUUUAACAACAAAGGCUCCAAAAUAGGGAUGAGACUAAAAUCUAAAUAAACUUUUCAAUAAUCGAACAGAUAAUUUUUACAAGUCAUAUAUGACCUGUAGCCACUGGGAAAAGACUCAAAAUGCCAAAGUGUGAAAAUGAGAAAAUAACCUGAGGAUCAUUACAGGAAAAUGUGGAUAAGUGAGGGAGUAGUAGUUGGUGUUUAUAUGUGUGUCGUGUGUUGUGUGAGUAUGUGCAUAAAUAAGGUUGUGGGGAUGUUGAAGGAGAAUAGAGAAUGGGAAGCGGAGGAUUAGAAAUGUGAGGGAGUUUAGGAUUAGUAGGGUGGUUUGGUAGUUUUAGGUUUGUCCUGUCUUUUUUUUUUUUUUGAAAUUUCUCUCCUUCUCUCUCUCUCCCCCCCUCCCUCUCUCUCUCUCUCUCUCUAUAUAUAUAUAUUAGUUUAGGGUACGCGUCUCGCACGUGUACCUUGCUGCAACGAGUUCAACUUUAUAAAAUCAUUUCAAAAUUAUUAAAGAAAAUGUCUUGAUUAAUAAAUAAAUAUGAUUUUAUUAAAUCCAAUAACUCUUAAAUAGAAAAUUAAUAUAUUCAGACAAAAUCAUAUGAAAGCAUUGAAAAUCACUUUAAACUAGAUUAAGAAAAACUACUAUGCCAAUAUGACAUAUGAAUACUUUAUUAUGGACCACAUAAAAUUUGUGAGUGUCAAUAUGAACACUUAAUUAUUUGUUUAAGUGCUUGAUUGAAGCAAAUCAUAAUUCAAGUGUUUAAAUAAAAUUUAUCAAAAAAUUUAAAGAGUUACCAAUCUAUUUCCUCAAUAUAUCAUAUCAUUAUAUUUACCUUAUGAAGUCCUACAUUCCGUAAAUCCCAAAUAAGUCCUACACUUAUCUUUUAAGGUUUUAGUUAAAAAGUUUUUUGUUGUUUCCAUCCAUAAAAGUUUUUUUUGUGUUUUGAAAGACGUAUUCAUAUGAACAUUAACAAAUGGGAAGAUAUAGUAUUUCAUUAUAAAAGAGAAACCAAUAUAUAGCUUUUAAUGGAGUAUUGUAAUUAUUAAUCCAUGUUGGGCUUCUUGCUACUAGAACUGACAUCCCUCUUAUCAAUGAUGACUUCAAUGUCUUUGUCAUAUGAUGCGGUUACGAUCAUAGAUGCACUUGGUGACAAUUUUAGUCUUGGAUUCUCUGUCUUCAUGAUAAAGUUGUAGCAGACUUGCAUAGCUUUAAGUGUAGUAGCUAUUUUAGUCGAUAAGGAAUCUCAAGAUAAAAUUAUACUUGAUUUUUAAGCUCUUAAAUUUUAGUAUCCUAAUUAAGAAUUAGUAAGCUUAUUUUUAGUUGAUUCCAAAGCUUGAAAUAUUAAAAAAAUAAUUAAAUAAUAAUAUUAUCUAGUGUUAGAUCUAUUUUUUUUUUAAAUGAUAUAAAAAAAGACAUCAAAUGCAUCUUGAAUUUGUCUUAGAAAAUCAAAUUCGUAAUCAACUAAUCAGGCAAUUUAUUACUCCUACACAUCUUUAAAAUGUAUUUAUUUAUUCAUUAUCAGACCUCAUUAGAAUUUAAAUAAAACAUAAAUCAAAAAAGAGGAGGAGGAGAUGCAAAGACACAUGCCUUGAAGAAUAGUUGAUUGAUAUAUGUGGAUAUAUAAAUUAGCUGAUGGUGUUUAGAUAUUUUUUGAUGAUUUUUUAACUCGCAUUUUUUUUGUUUCCCACCCCAUAUUCAAUAUCCAUAUUGGAGCCCGACUAAAUUCGAAUUCGCGUUGGAAAGUCUCACAUUAAAGAAUAAAGUGCUUUCUAACAAAGGUGAGUUUGUACCCAUAGGGACUCGAACCCAGACCUCUAGUUAAGAAUGAAGAUUUAGCCCGCAAUCUCAAACAACAUAAUCAUUAUGUCUAAGAAAACUGAAUUGUAAAGAGAAUAAGAAACAAAAAAGACUAUAGCCACAAAGACUUGGAAAGAAACUAUUAGUUAAAAAAGACAACACGAAUAUUGAUUUUAUAUAAUUUCGUAGUAAUACCACAAUUGGCAACAACAACAAUAAUAACAACACACUCAUUGAAAUCCUUUAAGUGAGGUUUGGGAAAGGAUAAAGUGUAUGCAAACAUGAUCACUACCUCACGGAGGUAGAAAAAUUAUUUUCAAAAGAACCUUGAAUAAAGAAAAAUGAAGGAUGCAAUCUGAGCAAAAAUCCACUUUCUUGGAUUAGAUCAAAAUUAUGGACGUGUCUAUCACUGUGUUAAGAAUCCCUAAACUACAAUAAGGAAAAUAUUUCUAAAAAAAAUUUCCACAAACCCAACAUCACCCAACUGUAUAAACAAACUAUAGACAAUUGAUAUAAACAAAAUUAACCUACAUGUAUAAAAAAAAAUCAGGUUAGAAACAUCCUAACAAAAAAAAAACUUUAUUCCCCUUCUCACAUUCGCAUGUAUUAUAUAAACAAAGUUAACCUUAAAAUCUAUUACCAAUAAAAAAUUGCACUAACGAAUAAAACAUUGAUGUUUAAACCUUUUACUCGAAACAUAAUUCCUUUUUUUAUUUAACCUAAAAUAUUAACAUCAUAAUUUUUUAUUUAAAUAAAUGAGUUGGAUGAUAAAUUAGAAAAGACUCAAAUGGAAAAAUGAUUCUUCAAGCAUAAUAAAAAAAAUAAAAAAAUUAAAUGUUAUCAAAAUCUAUAAAAUAACAUAAAUAAAGUUGAAGAGCUCACUUAUUAAGUAACAAUGCGUAUGAAUCAUAUGCAAGAGUAGGUGAUAUCUUCCUCUUCCUUUAUUCAAGAGUAGGUGAUAUCUUCUUCUUCCUUUUCCUUUGAAUUCCAGGUUUUCAAUGAAUAAAAGUAGCCUCUCACUAUUAGCUCAUCCUCCAACUUAAAAUUUAUAAAAUAAUAUUAUCUUCAAUUUCUAUCAUAAAAUUUACUCAAGUAUCAAUUUUAACUGUAGAUCUCAUCAAGAUAUCAUGAGAAUGAAAAACUGCAUAAAGGAAAAGUAAUUAGAAUAAUUUUUCAAUAAUUCUUUCAAGCCAUUACAAUUAUAACGUAAAUAAUAAUAAAAAUAAUUUUUUCAAAAUAAAGAAGAAGCAUCAAACAACAAUUUUGAGCACAAAGGAUUAACAAGUGAUCUAAUUUAUACCAAAAAUCAAAUGAAGUAGUAUUUAAUUAAACUUUGCUUUUAUUUCUUCAAGCAAAAUAAAUUAUGUUAGAUAAAAAAAAGAAAAAAAUACCCCAUAAAAAUACUCUUAAGGUAUUGUGCGUCUCUUACAUUUUAUACAAAUAACUUUUUAAAUUAACUUUUUCACAUUAGAUCUUUCAAAGACACUAAAAGACAUGUUCUCAUCCUAUUUAAUACAUCUGCAAAAUCACUCCAAACUGGAGGGGACAUCAUAACAAAUGUAUAGAUACAAUAAUCGCAAGCAAUGUCUCCAUAUUGUCAUCGUCAAAUUUUGGGUUAAAAAGUGGUUCAUAAUAGAUUUUAAAAUCAAAAGAACCAACUUUUUUUCAAAGCAAAUUUUGUAGAACAUAAUGCCACACCAAUAUAACAAAAAAUAUCAUCAUAUCAUAAAACGAAGCAUAAAACAAAAUUGAAGCAUUCUAACCUUUAAUAUUUGAGUAACUUUUUAUAGUUGAUGUCAUGUACUCGUGAAACUUGUGGGAUAGAACUUUUGGCUGCAACAUCAAUAUUAGAAAUUUAAUAUCUUUGACAAUAUAAGAAUAUGUUUGGAUAAGAGAUGGCUUUAGCAAUUAGAUUAAUAUCGUUGCUAUUGUAACUCGUCAACACAAAACCAUUUGUUGUAGAUUAAUAUUGUCUUGACAACUAUUACUAAACCUAAACCUCCCUAGCCCUACGUACAACAGUAGUACCUUUGUGGUAAACCAUGUUAAAGCUAAUUAAUAAAGAGAAGACAACCUAAUUAAUAAACAAAAGACAACUAACCCAAUUAUACUUGAUCUCUUUUUUUCGGGGCUUGGUUCUUAUAUUUGGUACCCUUUUUGGCCCUUCUUUUAAUUUUUUUAAUUAUAGUUGUUUUUCAGUGGGAUAACUACAUAUCUUAGCAAACAUAAACUCUUAAUUAUUUCAUUUAGCCUAAGGUUUAAUUAAUUAUAAUUCGUAACCCCCUCUUUCCUAUUAAUUAUUCCUAAUUACAAUUUAUGACUUCUCUUGUGUAUUUUCUCUCUUUUUCUAUUUUCUAUUAUUCUCCUCUUUUUUUUUCAAUUUUUUGUCUUCAUUUUUUCUUUUCCUUUUUUUAGUUGUUUUCUCUUUCUUUUUUUCUUUUUUUCACUUUUUUCGUUUUCGUUUUUUCAUUUUCUUUUUCUUUUUUUCCAUUUCAUUUUUUCUCUUUUCUGUAUUUUUUCUCUAUUUUCUAUUGCUCUUCUUCUUCUUUUUCUUGUAUUUUUUCUCCUUCUUUUUCUCUCAUUUUUUCUCCUUGUUUUUUUUUAUCUUUUCCUUUUCAUCUUUUUCCUUCUUUUUAUUUGUGCGAACUAGUAAACACAAAUACAAGUGUCAACUAUAAAAUACAAAUACAAAUACAAAAUAUAACAUACAAAUACAAGUGUGAACUAUAAAAUACAAAUGUAAAUGUGAACUAUAGCAUAUAAAUACAAGUGCGAACUAUCAUUUGUAUUUUUUAAUUAUUGAAAAGGAACGAUUGAUUUUCUUUCUAUGUAUACUUUUUAUAUUUAUUGAUAUGAGUUGUAUUUUUUGAUACAAAUAAAUAAAAUUUAAAUUAUUAUACAAAUACAAUAUAUAAAAAUACAUAUUAUAUUUUUAUUUUUAAAAUCAUUUGUCUCAUUUGUUUGUAAUUGUAUUUUUAUCAAUUGAUAUUUGUUUAUUUACAAAUAUGAAUGAUAAUUUGAAUAUACAAAUACAAAACGGUACAUUUGUAUUAAAUGAUACAUUACAUAUUUAUAUAUUUUAGAAUCAAGAAAAUACAAUUAAUGCAUUUACUUGUUUGUAUACAAAUACAAAUGAUAAAUUGUACAUAGUCACGACUAAAUACAAUAUUCAAUCAACUUACAAAUACAAAUAAAAAAUAAUUCUUUAAAAAUAAAAAGAUAUCGACGAAAAUAGACUAAAAAUAUAGGUAUAAUCUAAAUAUACAAACACCAUAAAACCAUAAUAUAAAUAUAAUCUAAUAUAAUAUGCAGUCAAUUAUAAAAUACAAUUUUUUGUCUUCAUUUUUUCUUUUCCUUUUUUUAGUUGUUUUCUCUUUCUUUUUUUCUUUUUUUCACUUUUUUCGUUUUCGUUUUUUCAUUUUCUUUUUCUUUUUUUCCAUUUCAUUUUUUCUCUUUUCUGUAUUUUUUCUCUAUUUUCUAUUGCUCUUCUUCUUCUUUUUCUUGUAUUUUUUCUCCUUCUUUUUCUCUCAUUUUUUCUCCUUGUUUUUUUUUAUCUUUUCCUUUUCAUCUUUUUCCUUCUUUUUAUUUGUGCGAACUAGUAAACACAAAUACAAGUGUCAACUAUAAAAUACAAAUACAAAUACAAAAUAUAACAUACAAAUACAAGUGUGAACUAUAAAAUACAAAUGUAAAUGUGAACUAUAGCAUAUAAAUACAAGUGCGAACUAUCAUUUGUAUUUUUUAAUUAUUGAAAAGGAACGAUUGAUUUUCUUUCUAUGUAUACUUUUUAUAUUUAUUGAUAUGAGUUGUAUUUUUUGAUACAAAUAAAUAAAAUUUAAAUUAUUAUACAAAUACAAUAUAUAAAAAUACAUAUUAUAUUUUUAUUUUUAAAAUCAUUUGUCUCAUUUGUUUGUAAUUGUAUUUUUAUCAAUUGAUAUUUGUUUAUUUACAAAUAUGAAUGAUAAUUUGAAUAUACAAAUACAAAACGGUACAUUUGUAUUAAAUGAUACAUUACAUAUUUAUAUAUUUUAGAAUCAAGAAAAUACAAUUAAUGCAUUUACUUGUUUGUAUACAAAUACAAAUGAUAAAUUGUACAUAGUCACGACUAAAUACAAUAUUCAAUCAACUUACAAAUACAAAUAAAAAAUAAUUCUUUAAAAAUAAAAAGAUAUCGACGAAAAUAGACUAAAAAUAUAGGUAUAAUCUAAAUAUACAAACACCAUAAAACCAUAAUAUAAAUAUAAUCUAAUAUAAUAUGCAGUCAAUUAUAAAAUACAAAAUAGUUCUUUAAAAUACAAGUGAGAAUUAUAUAAAAUAUAAAUGAUGAUGCAAACUAACAAAUACAAAUACAAGUGCGAACUAUAAAACACAAAUACAAAUGCGAACUAUAAAAUAUAAAUACAAGCAUGAACUUUAAAAUACAAAUACAAAUACAGUUGUAUCAAUGAAUACAAAAAUAUAAAUGAUGGUGUGACUACAAAUACGAUAAACAAUUAUAGAAUUUACAUUAUCAUCCAUGACUUGUGCUCGACUAGUCAUAUUUUUUGAAAAUACGAAAAAUAUAAAAUAGAACAAAAAAAUGAUAAAGAAAAUAAGUAUAAAAAAAGAAAAUAAAAAAAAUCAAACAAGAAAAAAAAGAAGAAAGAUAAAUAGAAGUUAGAGAUUAAAAAGAGAAAAAAACCAAAAAAAAAAAACAAAAAGAAAGAAACAAAAAAAAAUAGGAAAAAGAAGAAGAAGAAAAAAUUGGGAAAACACGAAAAAGAAAAAAAUAUCAAAAAAAGAAUGGUAGUUUUUUGGCGAGACUAAAUAUGUAGCAUAUUUAUAUUUUUUAUAAAUACAGACUACUGAGUAAAAGUGAAUACAACAACUGUGAAUCGAAUAAAAUGACUAUAAAUAAUAAUUAUGUAAAAUGUAGCUAUGGAAUAGGGGUUUUAUAGCAAAGUGUCGCUAUUUCUAAAAGAUCCCCUUUUUUAAUUCAUACCGAUUAAUUUUUCCUAAAAUUAUUAAUUAUUUAUGAAAGUUCUAAGGAAAAAGGCCUUAACAUACAGGUGUGACACUUUAAUAUUUUUCAAAAAAAUAUGUAAAGUUAUUUAACUAUUUUAAACUUAAUUUUAUGUUUCUUUUUUUCCAAAUUUAGGAGCCUUUUUCAUUGGUUGGUCUACUUUUCUAUCAUAAUUAUAAUUACCCUUUUUAGUGAUUCUUUUUACAAUAUAUUUUUGUACUCUUUAUUUUAAAUAUUAUAAAUAUAACGAUAUAAUAAUUAGAGGAUAUAAGAGAAAAACGAUUUUGUAUAAUGUAGAGUCUUUUAAUAAAAAAUAAAAUGUUCAAAUAACAAUUCUAACACUCUUAACACUUUUAAUGUAGUAUAAAUAUAGAUAUAGUGUGUGCGUGUUUCGUUAUGUGUUGUGGGUUGUCCCAGAAAAAUGGGGAUAACUGAGGGAGUAGUAGUUAGGAUUUAUGUGUGUGUCGUGAGUUGAGUGUGUGCAUGGAGGGAGGUUGUGGGAAAGUUGAGGGAAUGGGGAAAUAGGACGUGGAACACGGGAAAUGUGCGGAAGUUUAGGAUUAGUAGGGUGGUUUGGUAGUUUUAGGUUUGACUUUACCCUUUCUUUUUAUACUAGUGGCGAUCGGCACGGCCCAAUUUGCUAAGUUCAAUUUUUAAAAAGAAAAAAUUAUAAAAGUAACAUAAUUAAGACUAUAGUUAUAAUAAAUAAUAAUAUUUUUGUAAAAUUACAGUUUAUAUUAAUAGCUAGUAAUAUUAUUUUACUCAUUAACGAUGGAAGUGCAUAUUUUAUUCUCACUACUUUAUGUUUUUUAUUUUCACUCCACUAUUUCAUCCCACCAAAUAUAGUCAUAUCUUUUACCUCUUUUUUUUCAUCUUAUUUUUUUUAUCAUUUUAUUUUUUUAUUUUCACUUUAUUUUCUCUCUUCUAUUUUUUUUUUCCUUUUUUUUUUCAUAUUUAAAGAUAAUUAUCUCGAUGAUCUUCAAGAUUUCAAAAAUAAAUAUCAUUACUGCCUUUCACUCUCUUAUAUCUCUAUCUAUUUUUUCUUGUUAUUUUUUUUCAUCUUGUUUUUUUAUCAUUUUAUUUUUUUAUUUUGAUUUCUUUUUCUUUUUAAUUUUUUUCUUUCACUUUAUAUUCUCUCUUCUAUUUCUUUUUUUCCUUUCUCAUAUCUUUUUUUUUUCUAUUUUCAUUUUCUUCUUCUUUUUUCUAUUUUAUUUUUUUCUUUUAUUUUUACACUUUUAUUUCUCUUUCUUCCCUUUUUUUCUUUUUCACUUCAUUUUUUUAUUUUAUAUUUUUAUAUUUUUUUCCUGUUUUUUUACUCUUCUAUCUCUAACUUUUAUUUUGAAAAGACAAAUAUGUAUAUCACCUACACAUAUUCAAAAAACAUACAAAAUAUAUAGUCAUACAGAUCUGGAUAUGUAUUUACAGUACAAAACUUACAUAUGUAUUUACGAAAUACAUAUCAUAUUCAUAUUAAACAGUAACAAAUAUAGCUAUACUAUAUAUCUUCAUAUGUAUUUGCGAAAUACAAAUGUGACUCAUAUAAAAUAAGAAUAUACUUAUGGAUCAGGUAUGUAUUCNNNNNNNNNNNNNNNNNNNNNNNNNNNNNNNNNNNNNNNNNNNNNNNNNNNNNNNNNNNNNNNNNNNNNNNNNNNNNNNNNNNNNNNNNNNNNNNNNNNNNNNNNNNNNNNNNNNNNNNNNNNNNNNNNNNNNNNNNNNNNNNNNNNNNNNNNNNNNNNNNNNNNNNNNNNNNNNNNNNNNNNNNNNNNNNNNNNNNNNNNNNNNNNNNNNNNNNNNNNNNNNNNNNNNNNNNNNNNNNNNNNNNNNNNNNNNNNNNNNNNNNNNNNNNNNNNNNNNNNNNNNNNNNNNNNNNNNNNNNNNNNNNNNNNNNNNNNNNNNNNNNNNNNNNNNNNNNNNNNNNNNNNNNNNNNNNNNNNNNNNNNNNNNNNNNNNNNNNNNNNNNNNNNNNNNNNNNNNNNNNNAGCAAAAAAAAAAAAAAGAAGAAGAAGAAAACGAAAAAAAAUACGAGAAAAGAAUAAAAAAAGAAAAUAAAUAAAUAAAUAAAUAAAUAAAUGAAAAAGGAAGAAAAAAAAGAGAAGUAGAAGAGAGAAAAUAAAAUACAAAUAAAAAAUAAAAAAUAAAAAUAAAUUAAAAUAAAAAAAUGAAAAAUAAAAAAACUAAAAAGAAAAAAUAGUUAGAGAUAUAACAGAAUGAUAUUUUGAAAUUUUGAAGAUCAUGAAAAUAAUAAUCUUCAUUUUUUAGUUAGAUUUGGAAAAAGAAUUUACUAAUUUAAAUAAAAGUAAUUUAUGAGAAUUUAAUUAGAUGUGAUAAUUAUUCCUUAUUUAACUCAACUAGUUUGAGUAAAACAAAGGCAGUAAAUCUUGUUUUAUAUAUAUUUGUAUAGCAAUAGUUUACUUAAAUACAAAAUACAAUUUGCUAUAUUUCGUAAUUAUGAAACUGUUGUUACAAAAGUUACAAUUAAGAGUUUAUAAUUGCUAUUUCUGAAAUUUCUCCUUUUUAAAACUAUUAUGAAAACAGUGAAACAAAUUGUCAUUAUUAAAUAGUUUUAAAUAAUUUAAGUUUUUAGUUAUUCUAAUUUAGAAUUUUUUUUUAAUUUUAAUUUAAGUGACACAGAUAUAAUUUUGAGAGUUAAGCAAAUAUCAUGAUUGAAGGAGUGAAACAGAUAUAUGUUAAAUGACUUAUAAUAACUAAUUAGAAGUGAUAUAAUAAAAUUGCUAUAAAAAAUACUUGUGAAAAUAAUUUAAGUGAGCUUCACCUAAGAAGUCGAGUUAAUUUAAAACAUAAAGAGUUAAUUUAUCAUUUAUGUCUAUUUUGCUUUUUUUUUUUAAUCAAAUUUAUUAAUUUCUUGAUACUUAAAUAAUCUAUAAUUAGAUGUGAUGUAGUAAAUUAGGGUUGAAGCAACUGAAACAGACAUGUCAUAAAUGUCUAUUUUACUUAUUUAUUUUAUUAGUUAUUAUUAAUUUUCUAAUACGUAAAUGACAUAUAAUAGUUAAUUCGGGGUCAAAUAGUAAAAUUAAUGAGCAAGCAAUGGUUGACAAGCAUGUCGAUCACCAAAACGAAAAUGUUGUUAAAAAAUAAAAUUUAAUUUCCUUGUUUACGUAUUUUAUGCUUCAUUUAAUUGUACCUGAAAAAAAUUAAUAUUUUAGUCACUCAGAUCUUAGACCAUAACUAUGCAUUUAAUUUUUUGUUUGAAUCUAAUCAUUUAGAUCUCAAUAGGUGUACUACUUUAAUACCCUUUUUAACACAAAUAUUACUAUUGCAUAGUACUUUAUCUGAUCAUUUUUAAUUUAUAAUUUUUUUAUUUAUUUUAUCCUUGUUAUUAAAUAUUAUUUAUAAACUAAUACUUCAAUGACUUAUAUAAUUAAUUAGGGAUGAUAUAGUAAAAUCACGAUUGAAGCAAAUGAACCGGAUAUGUCAUAUAUAUCUAUUUUACUUUCUAAAAUUAAAUAAUAUUAAUUUUCUAAUACGUAAAUGGAUUAUAAUAAUUAAUUAUCUAAUACUUUAAUGACUUAUAAUAACUAUUCAGAAGUGAUAUGAUAAAAUUACUAUAAAAUUUAGUUGUGAAAUUUUUUUUAGUGGAUCCCGUAUAUGUCGUCAAGUUAAUUUAAAAUAUCAAUGAUUAACUAAUUAGAAGCGAUGUAAUAAAAUUACUAAAAAAAGUACUUGUGAAUUUUAUUUUUAAGUAGACUCCAUAUAAGUCGUCAAGUUAAUUUAAAAUAUCAAGAGUUAACUUAUAAUUUUGUGUCUAUUUUAGGUUUUUUAGGAAAUCUUAUCAAUUCUCUAAUACUUAGAUGAUCGAUAAUAAUUAAUUAGGGGUAAUAUAAUAAAAUUACGAUUGAAGUAGUUGAAGCAUCCAUAUCGUAAAUGUCUGUUGUACAUUUUUUAAUUAAAUAUUAUUAAUUUUCUAAUACUUAAAUGACUUAUAAUAAUUAAUUAGGAAUGAUAUAGUAAAAUCACAAUCGAAGUAGCUAAAACAGACAUGUCAUAAAUAUCUACUUUGUUUUUUUUUUUUUAAUUAUGUAUUAUUAAUUUUCUAAUAUAUAAAUGACUUAUAUAAUUAAUUAGGGAUGACAUAGUAAAAUCACAAUUAAAGCAGACUGAAAUAAGCAUAUCAUAAAUAUCAAUUUUACUUUUUAAAUUAAAUAAUAUUAAUUUUUUAAUUCAUAAAUGACUUAUAAUAAUUGAUUAGGGAUAAUAUAGUAAAAUCACGAUUGAAGCAGCUGAAGUAGGCAUGCCAUCCACAAGCUGCCUGUUUCAGAUGCUACUUUCACACUUAUACAUAAGUAAUAGAUAAUAGAAAUAUAUAAGUAUUGCAUACACACACACACAUAUAUAUAUCAUGAUAAAAUAUUAGUUUAAUAAUUUUAUAUUAUUAAAAAUAUUUUAAAAAGUUAUAAGACUAGUAAAAACUGUGCUUGACUAAUAAAACUAUUAAAAAUGAUUAAUUUAUUUAUAAAAAUCUAAAUUAAAUAUACUAUUUUAUGAUAUGUGCAUUGCACGUAUAUCAAGUUAGUUAAUAAUAAAUUUACAUAAAAAUAAAUUCCUUUUAAUAGAUAAUGUAGAAUAUUCACUACGUUCAUACAUAAGCUCCUUCCUAUUUUAAAUAUUUUUAGUUUUAAAAUUCCGCAUAAGUAGAUGCACUUGUAUCAAGUUUAUUAAUAAUAAUUGUAGACACUUAAUUUUGUCUCUCCCGAAAUUCAAUUUUAUUCAUUUUUUACUCACCUUAUCAAUUCCAUCCAUGUGAUUAUACCUUACAAAAAUACAAAAAAAUAACAAAAAAAUCCAUAACAAGUUAAAUCCCUAAUAUUCUCUUAUCCUAAUAAACUUUAUCUCAACCAACUCACACCCCUACCCCUACCUCACCACCCCUAUCCCUACCCCUACCCUUUAACCCCCUCCCCAUGUUUCUUUUCUACGGGGAAUAUAGGGAUAUAUAUACAGAGAGAGAAUACAGACUCGAGGAAAUGAAUAAAAAACUCACAUACACACCAUUGAAAGGGACAGAAUAGGGAACUUCUCCAUUUUUUCCUUUCUUUAGAGAACAAUAUCACGCACACCCAGCCAGAUAGUUCCCUUUUUCUUCAUCAUAAUCACACAAUUUCCACACACUAAAAACACACACUGAAAUCUCGAUCUACACGGGCAACAACAAACAGAGAGAGACGAUGGCUGAUUCUUGUUUUCUCAAUUAACAGUAAAUACACUAUCACACACUCACGCACGUACACAGUGGAAAGCGAGAGAGAUUUGAAGGAGAUCGAGAGAGGGGAAUAGAGAUGAGAGAGCUAAUCGAAGAUUGAGGGAGAGUGAAGAGAAAAAUUCAGAGAGGGUGAACUAGGGAGAGAACAACUAGGGAGGUUUGAACGGAGAGAGUGAAAAAGGGUGUUGGUCCAUUUUUCCAGCAAAAUCUUUGCUGGAAUUGACCCGUGGUUACUAGUUCGGCCCCAAACCUGUUGGGAAAAUGCCAAAACAACAUCGUUCUUUUCCGUUCUAGAUUUGGUGGAAAAAUAGUCAAAUUUAGUUUGGAUUUUUUUUCUUGUAACAUCGAGUGGUGCGAGACUAUUUGGGGUAGCGUUUGGUCAUCGUUGAGGUUCUUCGAUCGAGGUCCGGUGCGGCUGAGGAUUUGUCUUAGCAUGGUUUUUCUGUUCUGAAUCCAGCAGCAUGUUUCUCAAUCGAAUAUGACGGUUUUAAGCCCAAUUGAGGUUUAAUUCUUCUUCCGUUUAUCUUAAAUCUAUUGAUGCUAUGAUUAUAUGAUUCGUAUGUGGUUGAUGACACAUUUUUGAUUAUGUGAUUGAACAAUUCUAUUUAUUUUGGAUCGAUUGAUCAAUUCUAUAUUAAAAUUGGUUAAUUGGUUGAGAAUGACUCAAAUUCGUUUUGGGGUAAAUGAAAUAGAGUCCGGAAUUGAGAAAUUGAUAAAAGGGUGAAUUUAGAUUAAUUUUAGUUUAUUGUUGUUUUAUUUAAUAGGAAUAAAUGUCAAGUUUGUUAACUCAACCAUAUUCUAGUCCGAAAGCUUAAUAGGCAAAAGUUUAGGUUUGGGUAGGCAAAUUUAUGAAUUGUUGAGUAAUGUGGAAUGUUUGUUGAAUAGUUCUAUUUUUCUCGCAUUCGAAAGAUGUAUUCAUUUAACCGGGGAAUGCCCCGUGGUCAUUUGUAUUUAUUCACUGAAGAAUUCCCCAAAGUAUUGUGUAUGCAAAGGAUGCUCGUGAUCAAGGCCCGAAACAUCGGGUGAAGAAUUGGAGCGUAGUUUAGGAUUAGCGUAGGUUAGAAUAGGAUUUAUAUUUUUUGCAUUUUUCUAUGUUGGACUGUAUAAUUGGAUUGGACACUAUAUUUUUGAUUAUUUUACUUUGUUUGUUUGAUUGAUUGUUUAUGUGUUUUAGUGUGGUUUAUACAUUUUAUAAUGUCAAAUUAACUGAUAUACCCCACCAAGCGACCGUGGUCGAACCAUGGAAUCGAGGGGUGCCUAACACCUUCCCCUCAGUCAACAGAAUUCCAUAGUUGGAAUCUCUGUUUGCAAAUCAGUUUUAAAAAAGCAAAUCAUUUUUGAAAAAGAAUCUCCAAAGGUGACUUGACACAUUAAAUUUAUGUCAAGUGGCGACUCUGAAUAUAAUUGUGGUUUAAAAAAGCAAAUCAUUUUCAUCUUUUGUCACUUUAAUAAUAAAAAUCUUUUUUGCACUUUAAAAUCAUAUUUUUGGUUAAAAAAAAGGUGUGACAGCCCUGGCAACUCCGUUGGGGAAUUUUCAGAACUCGAUCUUAUUUUUUGGAGUUGCUUGGUUUGGUAUUAUGAUUGUAUAGACGUUGUUUGAGUUAUUGUUUGUUUUUGUUUUAUCAUUUUUUAGUGUUUACGUGCUCUGUGUUUAUAGAAUUCCACUUAUGUGUUACUGCUUUAUAUCUGGAAUCAUUUGCAUAACUCGAGUUAAUUUUUCUGCAACAAGUUAUAUAGUACACGCUGUGUACACGACCUAUAGUUGGGUCACCUUUAUUUUAGGAGAAAGAGCUGUCGGCUAGUAUGGAGUAGGUGGAAAGUAAUCGUAACCACUAUUAACCUACGCUCCCCCGAACAACCUUGUUAAUGGACCCCAGUGUAGGUCAACCUUUAGGUCAUGCUUAUCUGCAUUAUAUUGAGGCCUAGCAGGACCCACAUGACCCUUUGUAGGAGACUUAUCUCUAAAGCAUCUCUACGUGCUAAAUGUUGCAUCUUUGAGAGUAAUAUGAUCAUUUAACAGUUUGAUUUGGGGAAAACAUGUGCUAGAAUUAAAGGAAAGUGUGUAGGCAAGAAAAAAUUUAAAAAAAAGGAAAAAAGAGAGAAGGUGAAUCAAAAAAGAGUUUCGUAGUUGUUUAGAGUUUUUAUGGCUUUUAUUUUUCAUAUCCAAAAAAUCAAAAGUUUCAUAGUUGUUUAGAGUUUUUAUGGCUUUUGUUUUCCAUAUCCAAAAAAUAAAAAAAAGGUUUUACCUUAUGCACUCAUUUGUCAAAAAAAAAAAAAAACAUCAAAAAGAUAUUCCCUUUAUCUCCUUUAGCAUAAUUUCAUAAUUCAAAAUUCCAAAAAGAUUUUUUUAGGAGAUUUUAUAAAAGAAAAUUUAAAAAAUGGUAGUAAUUGUGUCCAUUUCAUAAAAUGAAAAUACCAAAAAGAUUUUUCUUUCGAAGUUAUUGGUGUCAUUUUUAGACGAAAUGUCUAAUUAGAAAUCCCAAAAUAUUUUCUUGACGUUGUUCAUCGUCUGUCUUUAGUCGUGUCUCCUAAGUUAGGUUGAGUUGGUUGUUUAACCUUUUAUUGUCCAAUCUGGUGAACUACGCAUCCCUGAUUCUCCUCUCUCGGGAGUGAGAUACGUAGGUAGCCUAUUGUGGGUUCAGGGAUCUUAUUUAAAAAAUUUCAAAAAGAUUUUCUUCAUUCUUCAUUUAGAGUAGGUGUUCAUAUACAUUUCUAAAAGAAAACUACAAAAAGAUUUUUCUUUAAUAGUUUCAGGUUUCUUUGUCAUAUGAAAUUCAAAAUAAAAUAAAAAAAUUUCUUUGGUAAUCAUAGGUUUCAUGUUGUAUAGGAAUAUGAAAAUUCAAAAAGAUUUUGUUUCACUCUUCAUUUAGAGUAGGUGUCAUAUACAUUUUUAAAAGAAAACUACAAAAAUAUUUUCCUUUAGUAGGUUCAAAUCUCAUUUUUGUAUGAAAUUAAAAAUCGAAAACCCGAAAAGAAUUUUUCUUUGGUAAUCAUAGGUUUCAUUUUGUAUAGAGAUUUAAACCUAGAAAAUGCAAAAAAAGAUUUUCGUCAAUUCUUUUGACAUGUUAUUACUUUUUUUUCUUCUAAAGUUUCAAGAAAAAGAAAAAGAGCUUUAUUGGCCCAUUUGCGGUCAAAUGUCAUGAACUAUGCACACCUGAUUCUCCUCUUUCAGGAGUGAGAUAUGUAGGCGUCCUUUUCAGAUUCGGUGAUCUUUUCAAAAAGAAAAAAAAGAGAAAGAUUUUGAGAAAGUGUUGUACUCUAACACAUUUGUUAUCCCUUGUUCAGUUAGUUUAAGGUGGUUGGUUUGUGGCUUUCUGGCUGGUCCUCCACAUUACACCAAGUCUAAGGAAGAGUUAGUCAUGUCCAACAAGGAUAUAGAAAGUAACCUCAUGGAUCAAACAAAGAGUCAGGAAAAUGAGAGUUUAAAGGAAGAGAAUUUGAGACUAAGACAGGAAAUGAUGGAAAUGUAUCGAGCUUGGGCCAGUGGGCUGCCUCCUCCUCCAUUACCCACUAUUGACCCUGCAAAUAUCUUAAGUUUUCUAUCAUAAUUGCAAAGUCAGUUUCCUAUUGUUGUUGACGCACCACAAUAUGCCUUCAAAUUCAUUCCUCGUCAGCUUCAUCCCAAUACUUCCACCACUCCUUCUCUAGCUCCUCAGUAUAAGCCUACUAUAUUCACAACACCACAUACCAUCUGUGAUUUUGCUGCUCAACCCUCUACUGAGGCCUCCACAUUGGCUAUCUGCCCAAUGGUUAUAGUUUCCCAGGCCGCUAGAGAAACCAUGUUCAAUACUCUUGAUGAUCAUUUCUAUACUCUUGAACCUACUUUUAAGUUAACUGGACCACCAAAAUUUCUUACCAAGAAGUUUGACAUGGCAGAAGAGCGAAUGGUUGAAAAAAUGAAUGGUACAAAAAAUGCUAUGAAAAGUUCCCUAGGACUCUCGGGUAAAGAAGAUGUUUCUUGUAAAGACUAGGGCAUGUUUUAAAGUGUCAACCUUCUUCAAAGCUUUGAGAAAUCAAAAUUUGUCUGUGGAACAUUUGGGACAAUACUGCAAUCAAUCAAGUGAAAUUGAAGGAAAGAAGAAGGAAAACACACCUAUUGUCAUGCCAGGUCCAAAACAGAGUUUGAGAGGUCCAACCCACCAGUACUAUCAGCCUCAGUGCCGAGCUUACAUAUUAUAUCCACAUAACCACUUGCAACAAAGUUCCUUUCUCUAAAAUCCAAGAAAUCCCAUUCCACUCCCUCAAUAAACUUUGAACAAUGCAUAGUCGUAUGCUCAUCCGUCUUCCUAUCCAUAAUGGCGUGUCCCGGUCCCUCAACUUCGUCCUUGACCUCCAAAAAUUUACCAAGGAACCUCUAAAUCCAAGUUUCAUACAAGGCCAUAGUUUCCAAUGAGGAGGAAGACAAAGGAUAAUUUCACGCCAAUUGGGGAGUCCUAUACCAGUUUGUUCCAGACAUUGAGACAAGGGGGCAUGAUUACUCCUAUCCCUGGGUAUACUUCCGAUCCACAUUAAAUUUUUUUUAUCCUAAUGUAUGAUGUGCUUAUCAUUCUAAUAUGCAAGGUCACAGUACUGAAGAUUGUCGUAUUUUGAAAAGAGAAAUAGAGAAAAUAAUUCAAGAAAAAAUGAUUGUGGUGCAAAACAUUGGCACCUCAACCGUCCCACAGAGUUUUUCGCCAGUACGUGGUACUGCACAAUAUAUGGGAAGCAAUGAGUUAAUCAUGAGGAUCCUAAUACAAGAAUCAACUACUAAAAACGAAAGUAACAUUAAGAACCUAAAAAUCAGUAACAAUAAAAAAGGAAAACAACACAUAGAAGAAAAGAGAUUAAGUAGAAAUGCAUGAAAAUGAAAAGGAUAGGUAGUGAGACCCUUACUAUCACCAAUGAUUAGCACAAGAAUGCGUAUCAAACAUUCAAACACACCUCACCAAUGGUAGUUCAAGCCUCACUCUUAGGUGAACCAAAGGAAUUCACAUUCCCCAAUCAUACCUUUCUUGCCAAUUGAUCAACACAAGCGAAAUCCAUCUAAUGUAUUAAUCCCUAGUUUCGAUGUCUUUUUCAAGACCUACACUAAGAUGGAUUUUCCAAGCCAUACACUAAGGAAAUAAAAUACAAUUUGAGUUUUAACCAAUCCAUUAUAAUAAAAAAAGAAGCUAAAAUGUCUAUUUAUACUUAUUACAACACAAUGACUAAAAUGCCCUUAAUAAGGGAUUCAAGAAAGGCUCCUCUUGAGUGUAUUUUAUAGUGUAAAAAGUCUACCAUGCCCUUAAUGUGAGGCGCCUAUGAUGUGUAAGAUCCAUCCUCCUUUCUUCACUUGGACAAGGCUUUGAAAAGGCUCCAAAAGGUUUUUAAUCACUUGCACCAUCUGAGACUUGAACCUCCUACAAGCCCUUGUACUCUUUGAGCUCUUUAUACUUGUAUCAUUCUCUCCAUCUUGAAAGAAAUUUGUCCUUAAAUUCACACCUUGCAAAAAUCAAUGAGAGGAACAAAAAGCACACAAUCCUUAUGAUAGGAGGGUUGGCAUUUGUACCAUAAUUAUAUGAACACACCAAGGGGGUAUACUCUUGGAAUAUAACCAAUAAUCAUUUGCUAUGAUCAUAAAACACUUAGUACAAGUAUUACAAAGGACAUGGCUAAGAUAGAUAUAAAAAAGAGAGGAGUGCAACCUGAAAUCACCAUCACAUAUAUCAACAAGCCAAGGUUGUUCACAUUUGAAAUACAUCCAAAAAUACUUUGUAUGUGACAUGAAAAACAUAGUAUGAAUGGAACAAAGGAGGUGGUUUUGGACAAUAUCAAGAGAUAAGGAAACUACAAUGGUAUUAAUGGCUUUACUUUCCCAAAAGGUAAGACUGCCUUUGGCUAAGGAACUAUAAGAUACAUUUGUUUCAUUACCUCUACAAAGAACUUCAUCAAAUAUGGUUCCACUAUUGAUCCUAACGUCCACCUUACCCACAUAUCAUUAUCAUUCAACAAGGAAUCUAACCACCAAACCUACUACCUCUAUACAUUACUUCAAAAUUAACAUGGUUAUCAUCAUAGGUAAAGAGGUAGUAUAGGAAGGAAUCAAGUAUGAAGACUUCACGCCGAGGGGGUGCACUUUUAAAAUACAACCAACAAUCCCUUGUUUUGACAAUGAAACAUUUAGUAUGAGCAUUACAAAGGAUAGGGAUAUGAUGAAUAUCAAGGAGGAAUGAGCACAAAUAGAGACAGUUCCUUUCCCACCCCACUAGUGCACCGAGAUCAAAUGGAUAAAGUAGACAAGGGCAUAAGCUGAGGAUACUCAUUCCUUUUAGUAGAAUAUCAAGCCCACAAUCACCAAGGCAUUACUCACAACUUUGACAAACACAUGGUCACUAUGAACAAGACUAAAAUUAUGGAUUUCAUCACACAAGUUCAAAGGACCAUAUCCAUUAUCUAGAUCAACAUUACAAACAUCAAUACUAACUUGAAAAUUUUCAAUCAUACUAUUCACAUGUUCAAGUAGUGGACUACAUUCGUGAGUAAGUUGAUCAUCAUUCACAACCUCACUAGUUGUUGGCAACCAUAUACCAAUAUAGACUCACCUUGUUUUUCACAAGGGUCAACUAGUGUGUGAAUACUCCUAUCACUUGGUAAUGUAACCUUAUUCAAGUUUUAAGUGAUAGCACUAGGUGGAAACAAAUCAUUCUUACAAAAAAAUGAUUUUGUCAUCUAAAAGAUCAACUAGUGCUUGCGUACUCACAAUAAGAGCUUGGUUCUUAUGCAACCUAAAAACACCAAGAGUAUCACAAAAGGAAGAUUCAUACACUUCUUCACUAAGAAAAUCCAAAACUACACUACUUUGGCCACUACUAGCCACAUCACAAUAAUUUAAGUUUCUAGGAGUGUAGAAAAUAGCUUUGUUACCUUGUAGAUCAUGGGAAGUGUGUUCUUCACUUGGUUUUGCAUUAUGGAAGCCUUCAUGCUCAGCAUUAUAAGUGAAUAUGUCAAGGUUUUCCUUUGGACUCACUUCUUCAUCACUUAUCCCAAAAUUGAAACUUUCGGCUAAAGGCUUGAAGAGAACUUCCUUGGGCUUCUCCUUGGGGCUUCUAGGGUCUUAAACUUGCACAUAAGAAGAGAAAAUACUAGGCAAAAUGCUAGUAUUUGGGUUAGUUAGUAAUAAGGAUUCUUUGUGGACAAGAUACACAAUCAAACAUUUCUUUCCCUCUCCAACUUCACUACCCGCGGUUUCUCUUUCCCUUUUUCCCUAUUUUCUUCACAUUCCUCUUGUAUCCCACUACUAAGUUUCUCUCCAUCUUGAGGCUUGACCUCAUUCUCCUUGGAUUCUAACUUGUGGAGAGGAGGCAUUGGAUUUGGUUGAUGAUGGGUUUAGAUUUGUGGCAUGGGGUUUUAUAGUAUGUAAGGUUUUUGGUCAAGUGGAUUUGGGACUUGGUGGUUUGAAUUUUGUGGAGGUUUUGGUGGACAUAGUCUAUCAGCCCCCACUUUAAUAAUAAUCAUGUCACCUCUCAUGGAUCCAAAAUCACCUCAUGGAUCCUACAUCACCCUUCAUGGAUCUCAAGUCACCUUUUAUAAGGUCCAAAAUCACCCUUCAAGUCUUGGUUUAGUGCAUCCAACCGAGCCAUCAAGACUCCCAAAACAUCAUUUCCCAAAGGUUGAGAUGUGGUACCUUUGGAUUCCAUUACAAUUUUACCUAACAAGAAGCAAAAAACAACAAAGGAAAAACCUACAAAACGAACAAACACGUUAGUUCAAUAAACGUCACCACACUCGCACUCGGAUCUCAUAUCACACUUGGUCUCACAAGUGUUGAAAACUUGGUAAUACUUGGCAAGUGAAUGAGUGGUGAAUAUGAUUUGGCCCGGAAUCAAUUUUUGUUUGAUAUGACUAAAAAAAAUAAUGUACGGACUUGAACCAACAAACUAUUACGAAUUAAACAUGAGAACAACACAUAAAAAUUGAAGACAUGAAAUAAACUAACUCUAGACUAAUUAUCAGCCUAGUAGGAAGUUACUAGUUUGCUAAUUAGUGGUAGAGUCAACUCAAAAACAACUAGAAACAACAAAUAGAAACUUAGGAAUCUAGUUAAGAACUCAAUUUGGUCGUUUAUAUAAGUGAUGAUGUGGCAGCUUGGAAUUAGGCUUCACUUUUCAAAAUUUUUAACUUCUAAAUUUUUGUUUUCGGCCAAACACUCCUUUAGGGAAGAAGAAUUUCGGUUUUAGAGGGAAAAAUGAAGAUUUGAAGCCUUUUUUAGAGCUUCAAAUGAAUUCAAAAUGGAUUGGUCCCCUCAAGAGUACUUUCAAUUGUACUUGCUUGUCCCCCUUUCCUUUCUGGAAGACUUAUAAUAUGCUAGGGAAUAUUCUUGUACAAACACUUAUUACAGUUUCUUUCUUCUUCCUUUUUGGAUCAAACAAGCUACUUGAAUAUUCUUCUUCAAUAAGAUUUGAAGAUGGUGGAUGAACAAUGUGAAUAUUAAAGAGUUGACCAUGGUUUGACCACUAGGCAAAUAAACCCCAAAUUCAAAUUUUCUUUUAGAUCUAGGUUCCUUUAGCAAAGAUAAGUUCAAAUAUCAAAAAAUCAGCCACAACACACCACAAACAAGGUGUUCACCACGAGAUCCCCCCUCAAAAAGCUUCAAACAAGUUACAACAAUGGUGGAUCUAGCUAAAAAGCAACCAAAUCUUGUUCUAAACUUAGAUCUAGACCCUUUAAGUGCUAGAGAACAAGAAUCUAACACUAGAAACUAUCAAAAAAAGCUAAAAAUUAGUAGAUCUAAGUUGAAAAAUUUGGAUCUACUAUCAAACACAUAAGAUUCAACACUUUUUUUGUAUUUUUUUUUGACUCUAGACUCUUUUUUUGUUGAGAUUUUCUUAGAUUCAAGGCUUAGAGUUGUGGGAACAACUCUAAUACAUGGAUUUGAUACCAAAUGAUACAAGAAUCAACUACUAAAAAUGAAAUUAACCUUAAGAACCUAAAAAUCAAAAACUAUAAAAAAGGAAAACAACACAUAGAAGAAAGGAGAUGAAGUAAAAAUGCAUGAAAAUAAAAAGAAUAGGUAAUGAGAACCUUAAUAUCACCAAUGAUUAGCACAAGAAUGUGUAUCUAAUAUUCAAACGCACCUCACCAAUGAUAGUUCUAACCUCACUCUUAGGUGGACCAAAGGAAUUUACACUCCUCAAUCACACCUUUCUUACCAAUUGAUCAACACAAGUGAAAUCCAUCAAAUGUCUUUAUCCCUAGUUUCAAUGUCUUUUCCAAGAUCUACACUAAGAUGUCUUUUCCAAGCCCUACACUAAGGAAAGAAAAUAUACUUUGAGUUUUACUCAAUCCAUUCAUCAAAGUCUAAUGAAAAGGGAAGCUAAAAUAUCUAUUUAUACUUAUUACAAGGGCUUCAAGAAAGGCUCCUCUUGAGUGUUAUUUUAUAGUGUAAAAAUUCCAUCAUGCCCUUAAUGUGAGGUGCCUAUGGUGUGUAAGAUCCCUCCUCCUUUCUACACUUGGACAAGGCUUUGAAAAGGCUCCUAAAGGCCUUCAAUCACUUGAACCAUCUGAGACUUGAACCUUCUACAAGCUCUAGUACUCUUUGUGCACUUUAUGCUUGUAUCAGAUCUAGAACUUAUUUAUUGAAGGGAAUUUAUCUGAUCGUGGUGGAAGUUGUUGUCAUGCUAUGGAAACCAGUGGCUAAGUUGUUAGUAUGAGCAAUUGAGAAGUCACCCCCCUCUCUACUAGAAAGAGGUCUGGUAGUGUGUUUUGUUUUCUUUUUUAUUUUUUGAAUCAUUCCAGGUUUGUUGUUUGGGAUCUAUCUUAUUUUGUCCCUUUGUCGUUUAUGUUCAAACCCUUCUAUCUUUUAUCUCAACUAAAUGAAGUAUCCCUUUCCUUUUGUGUUUUAUAUAUGUGUUGUUUAUUUUCUUUACAUAGUACAUUUUAUGUUGAUUCUAUAGAUAUGACAUGCUAGCGGAAUUUUUAGUCAAAUCUUAAAAUCCAGUUUAAGGACGAACUUUUAAUCAGAGGGCUAAAGUCAGAAAAAACAUUUGAGAAAAUUGGUAGGGUGUUGAAUAAUUUGGUGACAAGUUGAAGCUUUUUUUUUUCAAAAUUAAGGUAAUUAUUUUGAGAAUGAAAAGAAUAACUUGGUCAUCAAUUGAAAAGUAUAGCUCAAUCAGGUCAAAUAGUAGAUGUGUGAUCCCUAUAUCAAGAGGAGAAGAAAGAUAAUUAGCUCCAUGAAAGCAUAGAUAAUUUGAUGUGAGGUAUGUACAACAAACAUAGAGUUCUAUGUUUGACAAGUGUAGAAGAAAAGUGGCACAUAUGCUCAGUUAAAGUUAAUGCUAUAAAAGAUAUCACAAAUGAACUUCAUCUUUCACUUUCAUUUUGUAUGAUGUGUACUUGCAUUUUUAAGGAUUGAUAUGACGAAGAUAUUUCAUUCUGCUAUCCAAACAUUGUGUCAUCCUUUGCUUACCCCAUUUGAUUUUUAGUCCUAUUUUCCUUUAUACCCCUCUUUUGGAAUCAAGAUAGAGUCAGCAAGGUUCAAAAGAGAAGGUGGUGAGCAAAACAAUAGGGUCAGAAAGGUUUCAAAAAGAAAAAAAGAGAUAAAAAUGUAUCCAAAAAGAAAGGAAAAAAAGAGUGUCAAGAAAAAAGAGUUAGAAAAAAGUUUCAAAAAGAGUCCAUAAAAAAAGAAAAAAUAAAAAAACAGAGUCAAGCAAAGGAAUAAGUUGUCAGAACUAUGGGUGACCUAAUUCACCUCUCUCGGAGGUGAGAUACGUAGGCUGCCCUACUCUGGGCUCGGUCCAAACAAAUAAAUAAUUUAGAAUUAUCCAGUCAAAAGAAACUAGGGCAUGAGUUAAUCCUCAUUUUUUGAGUCAAUUCCAAAAGUUGUAAGUACUACCACACUUCAAGUGUCGUUUGAGCCGCAUGACAUCCUUUCUUUGUAACUCUAUCCAAAAGUCAAGUUACAACCAAUGAAAGACCUUCAGAUCAAUCUUUGAGAAUAUUAAGGCUAAGCAUGCAGUGGAUAUGAUGAUGCAUUUUGGGUACUAUUUGUCUUCCUCAGUAUAAAGAAUCAAGAGAGAAAUAAAAAUGAGAAAGUCUUAUUGGUGAAAACCCUCAUGGGCAUCGUAAGUCGAGAGAGAAUGAAAUAAGAGUCUUAUUGGUGAAAACCCUCACAGGAAUUGUAAGGUGAUGGUAAGUUGAGAGAAAUAAAAAUGAGAGAGUCUUAUUGGUGAAGAUCCUCACUGGCAUCAUAAGACGAUGGUGAACUGAGAGAAAAGUGAGAGAGGCUUGUUGGCGAAAACCCUUCAAAGUGUCACUAGCUGAAUGAGGUCUUAAAUGCAAUUGACCUAAGGAAGCAACUCAGUUUCAAGGCCAUUAACUUAAUCCAAAUGCAUGGCAUAAUCGUUAGAGUUGACUGUCAUUUUUAGAUAAAUUUUUUUAUUUCUUCGUUUAAAAUAGGACAUUUAUUUUCUUUUCUUUCUUCUCUUUAUUUUUAUUUUAUUUUCUUGAGUCAGUUAUCCAAAUAAAAAAAUCAUUGUCAUUUUUCCUCUUGUCUUUGAGUCAAGUCCAUGUCAAAACAAGUGAAAAAAGAUUUCAAAAUUGGCUACCAGCUUCUUCAAUUAUACAAAGCAAUACAGAAAGGCCAGAACAUGAAAUAGACAUGAUUGUGAUUCGAAGUAAGGCAAGCAAAAAGUUUUGUCAACAGACAAGUCUGGGAACUCAUAAAAAUACCAAGGUUCAAAGGGUUUAUCUGAGGAGCAUGGCAAAGAAAAGAUACUGUGGUUGUUUCAGAGUCACUCUUAAUAAUAUGAGUUUGGGUCAAUGAUGCAGCAGGUCAGUGACAUAUGCUAAUGGUUGGAAGAAAGGUUAAAUGUGAUGAGAGCAAGAGCGAUUUGCCAUGAAAGUUAAAUCCACAAACCAACCACUAUAUUUUUAUACUCACAAGUUUUCUUUGUAUGAAAUAGAGACACAAGUUGUCUUCAAAUGAAGGAUUUCAAUGCCUAAACAUCAAAGGCCGUAAUAUUCUCACUUCUACAAAUACAAGAGGCAAUGUUUCUGCACAGGUUUCGUAAUAAAAACCAUGGUAAAACUCAUAAUUCAAUAUCCCUAGUAGACAUACUUACUUGUCCAGGAGACGCAUUUCCUUAGGUAAUUCAAGUGAUAUUUGUAAGGAGACACAUUUUCUUGUAUGAGUAAUUUAAAUGAAAUUUGUAAGGAUAUAUAUUUCCUUGUGAAAUUCAAGUGGCAUUUGUAAGGAGACACAUUUUCUUGUCUGGAUAGUUUAAGUGGUAUUUGCAAAGAGAUGCGUUUCCUUGUAUGAGUAAUUCAAGCAACAUUAAUAAGGAGACACACUUUCUUGUUUUGGGUAAUUUAAGUGACAUUUGUAAGGAAACGCACUUUCUUGUUUGGGUAAUUCAAGAAACAUUUGUAAGGAGACGCAUUUCCUUAUUUUGGGUAAUUCAAGUGAAUAUUUGUAAGGAGACACACUUCCUUGUUUGGGUUAUUCAAGUGACAUUUGUAAGGAGACGCACUUCCUUGUUUGGAUAAUUCAAGCGGCAUUUAUAAGGAGACACACUUCCUUUUUUGGGAAAUUCAAGAGGCAUUUGUAAGGAGACACAAUUUAUUGUUUGGAUAAUUCAAGAAUUAUUUGCAAGGAGACACACUUCCUUAUUUGGGAAAUUCAAGUGACAUUUGUGAGGAGACACAGUUCCUUGUUUGGGUAAUUCAAGCGUUAUUUGUGAGGAGAUGCACUUCCUUGUUUGGAUAAUUCAAGCGGUAUUGGUAAGGAGAAACACUUCCUAUUUUGGUAAUUCAAGCGGCAUUAGUAAGGAGAAGCACUUCCUUGAUUGGAUAAUUUGAAUUUUACUUGUUAGUUGAUGCACUUCCUAACUUAAUUAUUGAUUCCUAGAAGAUGUACUUCCUAGUUGAGUCAGUCCCCUUGAUUCCUAGAAGAUGUACUUCCUGGUCGAGUCAAUCCCCUUGAUUCCUAGAAGAUGUACUUUUUGGUCAAGUCAUCCACCUUGAUUCAUAGAAGAUGAAAUUCCUGGUCGAGUCAGUCCCCUUUAUUCCUAGAAGAUGUACUUCCUGUUUAAGUCAUUUCCCUUGAUUCCUAGAAGAUGUACUUCCUAGUCGAGUCAGUCCCUUUGAUUUAUAGAAAAUGCACUUUCUAGUUGAGUCAUUGCACUUAACCCUUAGGAUACACACUUCCGUGUUAGUUUUCAUUUGUCAGGUGACACACUUUUUUAACUUAAACUUUUAUCUCUAGAAGACUCACUUUCUAGUCAGAAUUCCUAACUUUAAUUCUUAGGAGAUGCACUUCCUAAUCUUGGUCAUUUAAUUUUAAUCUCAAGAGAUGCAUUUCUUGGUCAGAGUCUUGAUUUAUGAUUGCAACAUACAAGUAGUUAUGAUGUGACUUUACAAAAGUCCUCUGACGAUAAUCUGGGGCAAAAAUAAUUUUAAUUCUUAUUGUUCGGAACUUUUCUUUUCUGGCAAAUGGAAUCUCUCUUUAUAAUAAUAUUUGUAUGGAAUAAUUUUUUUUAAGUUUUGAUGUGAUUUCAGGAGCCCGCCUGAAGAACAGGAAAAUAAAUGAAAAGUCAACCAACAAGGUGAAGAAGUUGAAAGUCAACAGAUUAAAAAAUAGCAAGUCAGGAGCCCACCUAGAGAAUAGGGUGAAGAAAUUGAAAGUCAAAAUUUAAAAAUAGAAAGUCAGGAGUCCGUCUGGAGAAUAAGGUGAAGAAAUUGACAGCCAAGCAACAAGUUGAAGAAAUUGCAAGUCAGGAGCUCGCCUGGAGAACAGGUGAUGAAAUUGUAUGUCGGAAGCCCGCCCGGAGAACAAGGUGAUGAAACUUAAGUCAAGAGUCCAGAGAAGCUUCAUAGAUAAGACUUUUGUAAUUUUAUUUAUCUUUUAACUUGUAAUUUUUAUUUUUGAUGUUACGACAGAUCCGCGGACCGGAACCUCUAUAGGACCACACUGGACUCUCCAAUUCGAUCGUUCUUCUUUCUUUUAUAUCUUUCUUCGAAUAAUGGUCGGAUCAAAAUUUGGUAUCGUUGUCUACUUUUUUGUCUAAAAAUAAUGUGUUUACACCCAAAAAGGGACAUGAUGUAGACACCUAAUUUUGUCACUCCCGAAGUUCAAUUUUAUUCAUUUUUGCCUCACCCUAUCAUACACUCCCACCUAUGUGAUUAUACCCCACAAAAAUACAAAAAAAUAACAAAAAAUUCAAUAAAUCCAUAACAAAUUAAAUCCCUAAUAUUUCCUUAUCCUAACAAACUUUAUCUCAACCAACUCAUACCUUUACCACUACCCCACAUCACCACCCCUACCCCUAACCUUACCCCUACCCUUAACCCCCUCUCCCCAUAUUUAUCUUCCAUGUAGAAUAGAGAGAUAUAUAAACAGGGAGAGAAUAUAUAAUCAAGGAAAUAAAUAAAAAACCCACAUACACACCAUUGAAGGGGACACAACAGGGGAACUUCUCCAUUUUUUUCCAUUCUUUAGAGAAUGAUAUAACGCACACACUGCCAAAUAAUUUCCCUUUUCUACAUCAUAAUCACACAAUUUCCAUGCACUAAAAAUAUACAAUGAAAUUCUGAUCUGCACGGACAGAAACAAACAGAGAGAGACGAUGGUUGAUUUUUUUUCUCUAUUAACAGUAAAUACACCAUCAUACACUUAUGCACGCACAUAGUGAAAAGCGAGAGAUAUUUAAAGAAGAUUAAGAGAAGGGGAUAGAGAUGAGAGAGUUGAUCAGAGAUUGAGAAAGAGUGAAGAGAAAAAUCUAGAAAGGGUUAACGAGGGAGAAAACAACCAAAGAGGUUUGAACGAAGAGAGUGAAAAAGGGUGUUGGUCUAUUUUUUUAAAGAAAUCAUUGCCAGAAUUGACUCAUAGUUAAUGUUCCAACAACAAACCUUCUGGAAAAAUUCCAAAAUAACAUUGUUCUUCCCCGUUCCAGAUUCAGUGGAAAAAUAGUCAAAUUUAGUUUGGAUUUUUUUUCUUGCAACGUCGAGUGGUGCGAGAUUGUUUGGGGUUGUAUUUGGUCGUCGUUGAGGUUUUUCGAUCGAGGUAUAGUGUGGUUGGGGAUUUGUAUUAUCAUGGUUUUCUAUUCUGAAUCCAGCAAUAUGUGUCUCAAUCGAAUAUGAUGGUUUGAAGAACAAUUGAGGUUAAAUUCUUCUUCUAAUUCUAUUCUUCUUUCGUUUAUCUUAAAUCUAUUGAUGCUAUGAUUAUGUAAUUCGUACGUGGUUGAUGACACAUUUUUUAUUAUGUGAUUGAACAAUUCUAUUUGUUUUGGAUUUAUUGAUUAAUUCGAUAUUAAAAUUGGUUAAUUGGUUGAGAAUGACUCGAAUUCGUUUUGGGUAAAUAAAAUGGAGGCGAGAAUUGAGAAAUUGACAAAAGGGUGAAUUUAGAUUAAUUUUGGUUUAUUAUUGUUUUGUUUAAUUAGAAUAAAUGUCAAGUUUGUGAACUUGAUUGGAUCAUAUUCUAGGUCGAUAGCUUAAUAGGAAAAAGUUUAGGUUCGGGUAGGCAAAUUUAUGGAUUGUUGAGUAAUGUAGAAUGUUUGUUGAAUGGUUCUCUUUUUCUCGCAUUUGAAAGAUGUAUUCAUUUAGUUGCAGAAUGCCCUAUGGUUAUUUGUAUUUAUUCACUGGAAAAUGUCCUGAAGUAUUGUGUAUGCAAAGGAUGCUUGUGAUCAAGGCCCGGGGCAUCGGGUAAAGAAUUGUAGCAUAGUUUAGGAUUACCGUAGGUUAGAAUAAAAUUUAUAUUUGUAUUAUUAUAUGUUAGAUUGUAUAUGUAACGCCUCAAGAAUACACCCUAUGCAUCACACGGUGCUUACAGUCCCGAGGGACCGUAAGCUAACCCAUGAGCUGGUACCUGCUGUGAGCAAUGGAUAACAUGAUCAUAAAUGCAGAAGAAUAAUGACAUGCCAUAAGGUUUUAAUAACUAAAUUCAAAACUGAAAUAUGAGUUUAUAAAAAUAACUGACUGAAUCUGAUAAAAUAAUGAUAACCUAGAUAACUAACUGUAAUGUCUGAAUACUGAAUACUGACUCUAAUGUCUAAUAAGCCUCUAAAACUGAAUGACUGUGAGGUGAUCGGACAGGUCCCAAUUAACUCCAACUAAGUAGUAACUGAGACAUGAAAUAAAGUAAGCCUGUCCUCAAAGUAUGAGGACUCACCACUGCUACUGCUGAGGAUCUGAUAAGUCUAAUCGCGAGCCGAAAAUUGAGUGUCAGAACCUAUGAUAUAAUACAUCAUAGCACAAAAGAAAAGGUAUGCGAUCAGUACUUUGAAUGUACUUGUAUGAUAAAUAAGGUGUACUGAUAUGCAUGAUUUCAUGAACAAAACUAAUAAUUAACUGAAUAUAUAUGUAAAGCAUGGAGUAUUGAAUAAAGAGCAUGAAAUUUGUAGGUACUGGGAAUAUGUGGAAAUAUUUAAAUACUGAGUAUGCAUGAAUAUCUGUAAAUACUGAGGAUGCAUGACCAAGCAUAUAACAUGAACAGAGUAACAUUUGUAAACUAAAAUACUGAAAUAACUAAAAUCUGUAUGCUUUGGUCAAACAACACUAAGACUGAAUAACAUAACUGGGACUAUAACUGAGACUGUAUCUGAGACUGUGGGAGGUAUCAUUUAACCGACAUUCCCCAAUUUGAGCUAAUCGGGGUCCAAUCUAUAACCCUAAUUGGAAGGGUAAUCAUAUCGUGCCACGAGUACUAACGAUGGGUAUGUGGAUGUACUAAACUUAUUUAAUGUCCAAAGGACUAAGGGUGUUAACCCUGAACUAAAGGGUGACCUCUGCGAGAUAGUCAAGCCUAAUCUGAUAGGUGACUUCUCAUAUCCUACGCUGAUUACGUAGUUCUAGAGUAUAGGGACUGCUACUAAUGACUCUGCCUAUCUGACGGGGAAGCCACCAUCCCUACACUCGCUCGGUGCUAAAUCCUACUCCCAACUAAAAGACACUGAAAUACUAGACUGUUCUGAGUUUAUAUAACUGGUAACUGACUGUUCUGAUAAUGCUCAUAGUAUGUUUUGAAGACUUUUCUGUAAUGUACUGAUACUAGACUAAGUAAACAACUAUAGAUUUCAGGUAUUCAAUACCCCAGGACUCAAAAACAAUAAUAGUAAAAUGAUACUAAAGCUUGAAGGACAAAACAUGAAGGCUUUUAUUUAAAUCAAUCACUCUUGUAGGCAUUUUAUCAAACACUUGUAGUUCAGGGUUUAAAACAAUCAUAGGAAUGCCAUAGAACUUAUAAAAAUAGCAUGAAUUCAACAUAAUAGUACUAAAUUAUGGUUUUAUUCAAUAAAUAAUAAUAUAAAAACAUGGAGGAUUGAAUGAUAUUUUCGAUUGAGAAAGCGGCAGGCCCAAUGAGUUCUCCUAUAGUGCCUCGAAAUAGCAAUUUCAUGGUAACAUGGUAUAAAAUCAAUAGUACGUGAAGGUUCAUGGGCGAAAUUAUAAUUUAAAAUCAAAUAGCUUGUAAAGAUUAUGACUUGUAAAUUAAAAUAGGAUAUUUGGACUUUAUGGAUGAAAUGAAUCCAGGGAUAAACAUCUAACAUACCUGGGAUAGUGAAUUUCUUGAAGUUCUGGGUGAGUUCCUGAGGAUUGAUCUAGAAUUUGAGAGCUAGGGUUUUUUGUUAUUGGAAAAGGGGAUCAUUAAUUUGAGAGAAAGUUGAAUAAAGAAUGAUUAUCUAGGUCAAUUGAGGCUAAAUUUUGUGUUUUAGGACGAGUUUAGGACUUAGGUAAAAGGACCCAAAUACCCUUAUAUGGAUUUAAAACGUAAGCUGAAAACUGACCAUCCCAAUUUUUAGCCUUGGCGCGAUGUGCGACUAUCGUGCCAAGCCACUAGAAAUGUGCAAUUAGGACCUGAACAAACAUCAUGACAUGGAUCAAUCGCAGUAAGCCUUUGGAAUGCCAAUUUGGCUACCUCUGCGAUGCACCAACAUCACAGAGGCCUACUGGAAAUUGCCAAAUUAGAAAUUGGCCUGCUCCGCGAUACGCCAACAUCGCAGAGUAUCACUGGAAAUUGACAAUUGUUAUUUGGACUUUCUUCGUGAUGCGCUAAGGGUAAAAAUGAUGAGGCCUAACAACUGAAACUUAAAAUCACCAUAACUUCUUAUCCGGUUAUCGAAUUUGGGCAAAUUUUAUAUCGUUGGAAAGCUAAUUGAAUUUCCUACGCAAUGACAGGCUCUAAACUGAAAAAUAAUGAGUGUUCCAAAAAUUUUAUAUGCAAAUACUCAUGUAUUAAGACUUAGAUUAUGCUAGGGAAAUACAGGGUGUUACAAUAUCUCCCCCUUGGGAUCAUUCGUCCUCAAAAAAACUAGUUAAGCUAAGGAAAACUGCUGGACUUAGCUUAUACAUUGAACAUACAUAUAUGAUGCAUGGAUUACAUGACUGAACUGAUUUGUAAAUAUACGGCUGACGUGAACAUGAUGUGCAACUAAAACUGAGCACGAUAGAGAGAAAUCUUAAGAAGAUUAGUACCUUAUACUGAAUAUGGUUUCGCGGAGAAAAGAUAAGGGUACUUGGUCCAUAUAUCUGCCUCUGAUUCCUAAGAUGCCCCCUCAAUGGACUGAUUCUGCCAAAGAAGUCUAACUAGUGAAACUUCUUUGUUCCUUAGCCUAUGAAUUUGAUGAUUAAGAAUUUCGACUGGAACUUCCUCAAAGGAAAGGCUGUUCGAAAUAUCUAAACUUUCUAAGGGAAUAACAACAGCUGGAUCACCAAUACACUUUCUCAAUAAUAAGAGAUAGAACACUGGAUGUACUGAGGCUAGAUCUGAUGGUAACUUAAGCUCGUAAGCUACCUUUCUGAAAAGACUGAGAAUUUUGAAGCUACCGACAUAUUAAGGACUGAGUUUCCUUUUCUUGAUGAAUCUCUUCACUCCUUUCUUGUGAGAUAUUUUUAAGUAUAUGAAAUCACCGACCUCAAACUCGAGAUCCUUAUCUUCACAUAUGCUUACGAUGUCUGUCGCCUCUAGGAAACCCUAAGCCUUUCUCUGAUCAACUGAACCUUCUUUAACACAUCAAACACUAAGUCAGGGCCUACUACUGCAGCCUCACCUACUUCAAACCAACCAAUUGGAGAUCUAUAUCUCCUACCAUAGAGAGCCUCAAAUUGAGCCAUACGAAUACUGAAAUGAUAGUUGUUAUUGUAUGCAAACUCAAUUAAAGAAAAGUGGUCAUCCCAACUAUCUUUAAAAUCAACUGCGCAUGCUCUCAGCAUAUCCUCAAGAGUCUGAAUGAUCCUUUUUGCUUGAUAGUCUGUCUGAGGGUGAAAGGUUGUACUGCGAUGGAUUUAGGUACCAAGACCCUUUUUGGAAUGCUUUCCAGAAAUGAGAGGUAAACUGGGUACUUCUAUCUGACAUGAUAGAUAAGGGAACACCGUGCAACAUAAAUAACUCUCUGAGAUAGAGUUUGGCACAGUCCUCGAUUGAAUAAGAGGUAUGGAUUGGCAAGAAAUCAGCUGGUUUGGUCACCCUGUCUAUGAUAACCCAAAUAGAAUCAUGCUGAUGACGGGUAUGAGGUAAACCUAUCACAAAAUCUAUGUUCACUUCCUCCCACAUCCAAGUGGGAAUACUAAACUCCUGCAUGGACCCACUAGGUUUUUGGUGCUCAAUAUUUACUUGCUGGCACGUAGAUCACUUAGCCAUAAACUUCUUAAUAUCUCUCUUUAUCCCACUCCACCAAUAGAUCUCUUACAAAUCACGAUACAUCUUAGUAACCCCUAGAUGAAUAGAGUAACGUGCACCAUGCGCUUCUGCAAUAAUUCAUUGCCUCAAGUUAUCUAUACCAGGCACAUAUAGCCAACCCUGACAACGCAACACACCAUCUCCCCCUUGGGAGGAAACCUCCACCUUCUUAUCUCUGAUUGAUUCUUUUAACAUAACCUGACUGGGAUCUCUAUCCUGCUUUUUUUUCACCUCGGAAACUAGAGAUGAUUCUGAGCUACUCUGUACCCACACACUACCUUCUGCUAAGUCGUCUAAGUGGAUACCUAGCCGGGAAAGCUAAAGGACUUCCUGAGCUAACUGCUUCUUACCAUCCUUAACAUGAGCUACACUACCCAUGGACAAUCUACUGAGAGCAUCAGCCACUAUAUUGGCCUUGCCCGGAUAAUACAAAACACUCAUGUCAUUAUCCUUUAAUAAUUCUAACCACCUUCUCUGACAUAAUUCAAAUCUUUCUGAGAGAACACAUAUUGAAGGCUUUUGUGAUCUGUGAACACAUCCAUAUGUACCCUAUACAAGUAAUGCCUCUAUAUCUUUAAGGCGAAUACUACUACUGCUAACUCAAGAUCAUGAGUUGGAUAAUUCUUGUCAUGGGGUCUAAGUUGUUUAGAAGCAUAGGCUAUAACCUUACCUCUCUGCAUGAGGACACAACCCAAACUUACUCUGGAUGCAUUACAAUACAUAACAAACCCAUCUAAACUAUAUGGUAGAGUCAAGACUGGGGCUGAGGUGAGUCGAGUCUUCAACUCCUGAAAACUCCUCGCAGGAAUCUUACCACUGAAACUUAACUUUCUUCUGAGUCAAUCUGGACAUGGGGGAUGUAAUAAAUGAAAAUCCUUCAAUACACCAAUGAUAAUAGCCAGCUAAAACUAUGAAACUCCUAAUGUCUGAUGGAGAUAUGGGUCUAGGCCAGUCUCUCACCACUUUAGGCUUUUGAGGAUCAACUCUAAUGUCAUCACCGAAAAUAAUUUGACCAAGGAAAGCAACUGAUCUUAGCCAGAAUUCACACUUACUGAAUUUAAUGAAUAACUAGUGAGCUCUAAGAGUUUGCAACACUAUUCUAAGAUGGUCUGCAUGAUUAGUUUCUCUAUGGGAAUAAAUAAGGAUGUCAUCAAUAAAGACUAUGAUGAACAUAUCUAAGUGCUUCUUAAACACUCGGUUCAUCAAGUCCAUGAAGGCUGCUGGGGCAUUCGUGAGACAAAAGGACAUGACUAGAUAUUUGAAGUGACCAUACCGAGUUUGGAAAGCUAUUUUCGGAAUGUCACAUUCCCUAACCUUAAGCUGAUGAUAGCCUGAUCUGAGGUUUAUCUUUGAAAACUAACUGGCACCCUGAAGUUGAUCAAACAAGUCAUCGAUUCUAGGAAGUGGAUAUUUAUUCUUGACUGUGACUUUGUUCAACUGACGGUUGUCUAUGCAUAUUCUGAGAGAACCAUCUUUCUUAUGCAUGAAUAGAAUAGGUGCAUCCCAUAGGGAGAUGCUGGGUCUGAUGAAUCCCUUAUCUAAGAGAUCCUUCAACUAUUCUUUCAAUUCUUUGAGUUUGGCUGGAGCUAUUCUGUAUGGCAAAAUAGAUAUCGACUGAGUAUAUGGAAAAAGGUCUAUUUUGAAUUCGAUUUCCCUUUCGGGAGAAACUCCAGGGAGAUCCUCAGGGAAUACAUCUAAAAUUUAUUUACUACUGGAACUGACACAAUAGUUAAAGUUUCUGAGUUAGAGUUUUUGACUCGCCUAAGAUAGUAAAUACACCCCUUCGAUAUCAUCAAUAUCGCUUUGAGGUACGAAAUUAAAUGACCCCUAAGAGCUGUAGUUCUACCUCUCCAUUCAAGGAUUGGUUCAUUUAGGAAAUAAAAAUGAACUAUUCUAUUUCUACAAUCAACUGAGGCAUAGCAUGAGUGGAGCUAAUCCAUGAUGAGAAUGACGUCAAAAUCUUUCAUCUCUAACUCUACGAGAUCAACUGAGAUAACUUUCUGAGAUAUUAUGACCGGACAGCUCCUGUAUACCUAUCGGGCUAUAAUGGAAAUGCCUACUGGGGUAGACACUGAAAAGGGCUCUACUAGAGUUUUAGGACUGACUCUAAAGUUGACGGCUAUACAUAGAGUUACAAAAGAAAGAGAAGCUCUAGGGACUAGUAAAGCAUAAACAUGUAAGUGAAAGACCUACAACGUACUAGUAACUACAUCAGAAGAAUUUUCCUGAUCUUGGUAGGACUGAAGAGCAUAUAAUCUGUUCGGACGCUGACCACUAGUAGCACUGGAAGUGGCACCCUGCUGAGUUGGGCGACCGGAUGAAACUGAUGACUGAUGGGACUGGCCUUGUUAGCGUACAUCCCUACCUUUUUGAGCAACUACCCGACACUCCUAAAUUUGAUAGACUGGCUUUCCAUACCCAAAUCACACUUCACUACCCACUCUACACUCACCUUGAUAGUAUCUUCCAUAUUUCUAUCAUAGGAGAUUUGUACGAGCACUGCUAACACUGUCCUGGGACUUAGAGCCUAGUGCUCUAUCCCUAUUGUCAUUUAUGAAUUUGGGUAUUGAGGCACUGGCUGAAGAUGGUGCUGGGGCUGAAGACCUUUGCUGAAAUGAGGCAGUUACCACCCUCUGACUUUGGCUGACUAAAGUUAAAACUACCCAUCCUAGCCCUCUUAUUUCCUCUCUCCCUUCUUAAUCUUCUACUACUUUAUCUAUUGAGCAUGGACCAUCAGCCUAGACAUGACCAUCUCACUAAUUAGCAUUGCGGUCCUGCACUCCUUGACUACACUGUCAGAUACACCAAAUAUAAACUUACCCAUCUUGGACCUGUUAUCAGAUACCACAUGGGGAGCAUAUCUAGCUAAUUGAGUGCACUUGAGGGAAUACUCUCUCACGCUCAUGCUGCCCUGCCUCAAGUUAAUAAACUCUAACACCUUGGCCUCCCUUAACUCCAAUGGGAAGAAACUAUCUAUGAAUGCUGUGGAAAACUCUUCCCAUUCUACACGCCCUGCAUCUACACCCCUAUCAACCUUCCACUACUUAAAAUAAGUAUGGGAUACAUCCUGCAACUAGUAUGUAUCCAACUUAGCACUCUGACUAGAUGUCACCCCCAAAGCAUCCCUGACCUUCUAAACCAUGUCUAAGAAUUCUUGUGGAUCCCCUUCAGACUUAAACGUUGUGAAUGAAGGAGGGUUCAUCCGGGUAAAGUCCAAAAUUAUUUUUACAGCAGUAUUGGCCUAUAGGUUGGAUGGAAAAACAGCUGGCCAUUCAUUCUAUACUGCUAUAGAGUUUGAUAGAGUGGUAAAUGCAACUUUAAAUUCUGCAUGAGAGACAUGCUCGUCUAGAGGAUAUGCUUAGAUGGGCUAAGGGGCUGGCUGGUUUCCUAUUCUUUUUUCAUUCUUCUUGGGAGGCAUGUUCUGUAAACAAAAGGAAGAAAUGGAUUAUACAGGGAGUUUAACUUGAGCUUAUGCUCACUUGCAUGACAUGAAUACUGAAAGAAGGGAAACUUUUCCUAAAUGCCUCAUAGCCUCUCGCCGAUAAGUGAGGUGUGCUACACACCCAUACACAAGACUCUACAUGACAUGAAUUUCAGACUUCCUUGGAAACUUUAAAACCUUAGGAUCUGAUACCAAGUUUGUAACACCCCUAAAGUAUACCCUGGGAGACAGACGGUAUUUACAGUCCCGAGGGACCGCAAACUAGCCUAUGAGCUGGUACCUGAUGUGAGCACUGGAUAACAUGAUCAUAAAAGCGGAAGAAUACUAACACACCAUAAGGUUUUAAUAACUAAAUUCAAACUAAAAUACGAGUCUACAGAAAUAACAGACUGAAUCUGAUAAAAUAAUGAUAAACUGGAUAACUAACUAUAAUGUCUGAAUACUAAAAAACAGACUCUAAUGUCUGAUAAGCCUAUAAAACCGAAUGAUUGUGAGUUGAUAGGACAGGCCCCAACUAACUCAAACUAACUAUUAUAUGAGACAUGAAAUAAAUUAAGCCCGUCCUCAAAGUAUGAGAACUCACCAUAACUAAUGAUGAGGAUCUAAUAAGUCUAAUUGCGAGCCGGGAACUAAGCAUCAAAGUGUAUGAGGUUUAUCUUAAAUUGGGGUUGCAUUUGGUUAUCAUUGAGGUUCUUCGAUCGAGGUCUAGUACGGUUGGGGAUUUGUAUUAUCAUUGUUUUUUGUUCUGAAUCCAACAAUAUAUUUCUCAAUCGAAUAUGAUGGUUUGAAGAACAAUUGAGGUUAAAUUCUUCUUCUAAUUCUAUUAUUCUUUUGUUUAUCUUAAAUCUAUUGAUGCUAUGAUUAUGUAAUUCGUAUGUGGUUGAUGACGCAUUUUUUAUUAUGUGAUUGAACAAUUCUAUUUGUUUUGGAUUGAUUGAUCAAUUCGAUAUUAAAAUUGGUUAAUUACUUGAGAAUGACUCGAAUUAAUUUUGGGUAAAUAAAAUGGAGGCGAGAAUUGAGAAAUUGAUAAAAUGGUAAAUUUAGAUUAAUUUUGGUUUAUUAUUGUUUUGUUUAAUUAGAAUAAAUGUCAAGUUUGUGAACUUGAUUGGAUCAUAUUCUAGGUCGAUAGCUUAAUAGUAAAAAUUUUAGGUUCGAGUAGGCAAAUUUAUGGAUUGUUGAGUAAUGUAGAAUGUUUGUUGAAUGGUUCUCUUUUUCUCGCAUUUGAAAGAUGUAUUCAUUUAGCUGCAGAAUGUCCUAUGGUUAUUUGUAUUUAUUCACUGGAAAAUGUCCUGAAGUAUUGUGUAUGCAAAGGAUGCUUGUGAUCAAGGCCCGGGGCAUCGGGUAAAGAAUUGUAGCGUAGUUUAGGAUUACUGUAGGUUAGAAUAAAAUUUAUAUUUGUAUUAUUCUAUGUUGGAUUGUAUAUGUAAUGCCUUGAGAAUACACCCUAUGCAUCACACGGUGCUUACAGUCCCGAGGGACCGUAAGCUAACCCAUGAGCUGGUACCUGCUGUGAGCAAUGGAUAACAUGAUCAUAAAUGCAGAAGAAUAAUGACAUGCCAUAAGGUUUUAAUAACUAAAUUGAAAACUGAAAUAUGAGUUUAUAAAAAUAACUGACUGAAUCUGAUAAAAUAAUGAUAGACUAGAUAACUAAUUGUAAUGUUUGAAUACUGAAUACUGACUCUAAUGUCUGAUAAGCCUUUAAAACUGAAUGACUAUGAGUUGAUCGGACAGGUCCCAACUAACUCCAACUAACUACUAACUGAGACAUGAAAUAAAGUAAGCUUGUCCUCGAAGUAUGAGGACUCACCACUGCUACUGCUGAGGAUCUGAUAAGUCUAAUCGCGAGCCAGAAACUGAGUGCCAGAACCUAUGAUAUAAUACAUCAUAGCACAAAAGAAAAGGUAUGCAAUCAGUACUUUGAAUGUACUUGUAUGAUAAAUAAGGUGCGCUGAUAUGCAUGGUUUCAUGAACAAAACUAAUAAUUAACUGAAUAAACAUGUAAAGCAUGGAAUACUGAUUAAGAGCAUGAAAUUUGUAGGUACUGGGAAUAUGUGGAAAUAUGUAAAUACUGAGUAUGCAUGAAAAUCUAUAAAUACUGAGGAUGCAUAACCAAGCAUAUAACAUGAACAGAGUAAAAUUUGUAAACUGAAAUACUGAAAUAACUAAAAUCUGUAUGCUUUGGUCAAACAAUACUAAGACUGAAUAACAGAACUGGGACUGUAACUGAGACUAUAUCUGAGACCGUGGGAGAUAUCAUCUAGCCGACAUUCCCCAAUUUGAGCUAAUCGGGGUCCAAUCUAUAACCCUAAUUGGAAGGGUAAUCAUAUCGUGCCACGAGUACUAACGAUGGGUAUAUGGAUGUACUAAACUUAUAUAAUGUCCAAAGGACUAAGGAUGUCAACACUGAACUGAUGGGUGACCCCUGUGAGAUAGUCAAGCCUAAUAUGAUGGGUGACUUAUCAUAUCAUACGCUGGCUACGUAGUUUUGAAGUAUAGGGACUGCUACUAACGACUCUAUCUAUUUGACGGGGAAGUCGCCAUCCCUACACUCGCUCGGUGCUAAAUCCUACUCCCAACUGAAAGACACUGAAAUACUAGACUGUUCUGAGUUCAUUUGACUGAUAACUGAUUAUUCUGAUAAUGCUCAUAGUAUGUUCUGAAGACUAUUCUAUAAUGUACUGAUACUAGACUAAGUAAACAACUAUGGAUUUUGGGUAUUCAAUACCCCCAGGACUCAAAAACAAUAAUAGUAAAAUGACACUAAAGUUUGAGGACAAAACAUGAAUGCUUUUAUUUAAAUCAAUCACUCUUGUAGGCAUUUUAUCAAACACUUGUAGUUCAGGGUUUAAAACAAUCAUAGGAAUGCCAUGAAACUUAUAAAAAUAGCAUGAAUUCAACAUAAUAGUACUAAAUCAUAGUUUUAUUCAAUAAAUAAUAAUAUAAAAAGAUAGAGGAUUGAAUGAUAUCAAUAGUUUCAUGGCAACAUGGUAUAAAAUUAAUAGUACAUGGAGGUUCAUGCGUGGAAUUAUAAUUUAAAAUCAAAUAGCUUGAAAAGUUUAUAACUGGUAAUUAAAAUAAGAUAUUUGGACUCCAUGGAUAAAAUGAAUCCAGGGAUGAACAUCUAUCAUACCUAGGAUAAUGAAUUUCUUAAAGUUCUAGGUGAGUUCCUGAGGAUUGAUCUUGAAUUUUAGAACUAGGAUUUCUUAUUCUUGGAAAAGGGGAUCUUUAAUUUGAAAGGAAAUUGAAUAAUUAAUGAUUAUCUAGGUCAAUUGGGGCUAAAUUUUGUGUUUUAGGAUGAGUUUAGGACUUAGGAAAAAGACCCAAAUACCCUUAAACUGAUUUAAAACGUAAGCUAAAAAUUGACCAUCCCGAUUUUUGGCCUUGGCGCGAUGCGCCACUAUCGCUCCAAGUCACUGGAAAUCGACAAUUGGAACCUGUACAAACAUCGCGAUGCGGAGCUAUCAUAGUAAGCCUACCAAUUUGGCUACCUUCGCGACGUGCCAACAUCGCGGAGGCUCACUUGAAAUUGCCAAACUGGAAAGUAGCCUGCUCCGUGACGCGCCAACAUGGCGGAGUCUCACUGAAAAAAGAUAAUUGUUAUUUGGACUUUCUCCGCGAUGCGCUAAGGGUUAAAAUGACGGGGCCUAAUGCAUGAAACUUAAAAUUUCCAUAACUUCUUACCCGGUUAUCGGAUUUGGGUAAAUUUUAUGUCGUUGAAAAGCUAAUUGAAUUUCCUAUGCAAUGGUAGGUUAUAAAUUGAAAUAGAAUGGGUAUUUCAAUAAUUUUAUAUGCUAAUACUCAUGUAUUGGGACUUAGAUUAUACUAGAGAAAUAUGGGGUGUUACAAUAUAAUUGGACUGGAUACUAUAUUUUGGAUUAUUUUGUUUUAUUUGUUUGAUUGAUUGUUUAUAUGUUUUAGUGUGGUUUAUACAUUUUAUAAUGACAAAUUUACCGAUAUGCUCCACCAAACGACCGUGGUCGAACUACGAGAUCGAGGGGUGCCUAACACCUCCCCCUCGGUCAAUAGAAUUCCUUAGCCGGAAUCUCUGUUCGCAAACCAAUUUUGAAAGAGUCAAAUCAUUUUCGAAAAAAGAUUUCGAAAGGUGACUUGGCACAUAUGAUUUAUGUCAAGUGGCGACUCUAAAUAUAAUUAUGAAAUGAAUCCUUUUCGAAAUAAAUUUUCAUCUUUUGUCACUUUAAUAAUAAAAACCCUUUUCGAACUUUAAAAUCAUAUCUUUUGAUUAAAAAAAGGGUGCGACAAUAACUGUAUAUAAAUUAUUUUUUUUAAUAAAUAAUGUAUAUUAUUAACAACUUUUUAAUAGAUAAUGUAGAAUAUUGACUACGUUCUAAUAACCAUAAGCUCCUCCUUAUUUUAAAUAUUUUUAGUUUUAAAGUUCUGCAUAAGUAGAUGCACUUCUAUCAAGUUUAUUAAUAAUAACUGUGUAUAAAAUAAUUCUUUUGAUAAAUAAUGUAGAAUAUUGUCUACUUUUAUAGUUUUCAUAAGCUCCUCCUUAUUUUAAAUAUUUUUUAGUCUAAAAAUUCUAUAUAAGUAGCAUUACUUGGCAAAAAAUCAUUUGGUAAAAGGAUCCUACAAGUAAAGAGAAUCUUAAGCCUAAGGAAAAUAUAUUAGGGAUGAUUUCACAUAUAUACAAAAAGUAAUUAGGUUACAACAAAUAUAGUCAUAUUUUUAUUUUCAACAAAAAAAAAGUCGCCCAAAAGAAAAUCUUGCAUUUUAGCCAUGUGUGGACCAUGGCUAAAUGGUGAAAAAACUGUGGCUAAAUGACCAUUUUUUGUAAACUAAUAAUUUUAUUAAUCACCCAGGGAAAUUCAUGUAUAACUUCUCGAAUAUUGUAUAUGUAGUGUAUAUAUAAUGUAUGUUUAAUGUAUCAAUAUUGUAUAAAUAAUGUAUAAAUUGUAUCGAUAUUGUAUAAAUGGUAGAUGAACAUUUAUAUAUGAUGUAUAAACAGUUACGUAGUGUAUAUGUAAUGUAUCGAUAUUAUAUACAUAUGUAUUAAUAUUGUAUAAAUAGUUAUGUAAUAUAUCACUAUUGUAUAAAUGUUGUAUAAAUGGGUAUAUAUGAUAUAUAAUCAUCUAUUGGAAGUCAUUCAUUUGUAUGCUAACUAAAACUACAUCACUACUGGCCUUCAACUUCUGUUUCCUUUAACCCUCACUUUUCUCUCCAUUUAUCCUCCCCACCCUUACAAACUCACCACUACAGCCCUAUUGCACACACAGAGCACCAACCACUACUCUUCUUCUUUUCACUCGGCUCUUCUCUCCAUUUUUCCUUUCACACCCUCAAGAUUUCAUGCCUAAUAGAACCAAUUCGGGGAAAAAGGAAAAAGAUAUGAACAUCAUCCACUAACAGAGAACCUUAAAACUAAAAACAACCACCUCCUCUACCAUCUCCAGCUUACUACCACCAGCUGGCCUCCACCAAAACCCGUCGACACACCCUUAUUCAGUAUAGAACAACAAAUUUUUUUAAAGCUUUUAAAUAUAAAGUUAGUUCUCCCCUAAUUUGUCAUUUUUUGGUAAUUAAAUUGACUAUUUAUUAUUCGUCGUGUUACCAACUUUUUGUUAAUAAAAGUGGCCGAACUACAAUGUGUCGUAAUUAUCCCAAUAUAUAACAAAUACGGCUAUGCAAAUAAUUUUUCUUGGAAUUGUUAAAUUUUAAAUUAAUAGGCCAAAGUCCAAAUAACAUUAAUUGAUAUAAAGAAUCUCCAGCAAAAGUUGCUCUUAGAAGGUUGUCCAUGGGAAGAUUAUAUCAUUUAGAUGGGGAUAAAUGGGAUUUGGUGAAGGAUAUUCAUCGUUUAGCUAAUCUUGGAGUCCUUAUCUUAUAUUCCAAGGAUAGUGGUAUGAUUAUUCAAGAGGUGGCAAAGUUAUCUCUCAGUGCUGAAGUGAAGGAGAAGCAGAUGUUGGAUCCUAUUUGGAUGCAGAUCAAGAAUGAUGUAGGUGAGCAGAAAGUGGUGAUUUUUGAUAUUAGUGGUGAUGGUAUCUUGAGGUACCAAAGUAGACUGUAUGUCCCAAUUUUUAUGGGUUGCGAGAAAGUAUUUUGGCCGAUGCUCAUGAGUCACGUUAUACUAUUAAUCUUGGUUCGAUAAAAGUGUAUCAUGAUCUUAAAGAGAUUUAUUGAUGGAAUAAAAUGAAGCAGGAUAUGGCCAAUUUUGUGGCUAAGGCAUGGUAUCUCAACAAGUAAAGGUUGAACACUUAAGGUCCGGUGGAUUGUCUCAAGAAAUUGAGUUUCCAGUGUGGAAGGGGGAAGUGGCCAAUAUGGAUUUUGUUACCGGUCUUCCGCGGUCUCGCCAAUAGUUUGAUUCGAUUUGGGUCAUCGUGGAUAGGAUGACUAAGUCCGCUAACUUAUUGCUAUUGAGGACAAAUUUCACUUCUAAGGAUUAUGCCAAGCUUUUCAUUGAGAAUAUUGUGAAGUUGCAUGGUACUCCAGUUUUCAUCAUAUGUGAUCAGGUUACUAUGUUUCAUAUCACUUUUGGAGGUCUUUUCAACGUGGUUUGGGGACUAAGGUGAUCCUUAAUACCACUUUCCACCUAUAGAUGGAUGGUGAAGCAAAAAGGACAAUUCAGGUCUUGGAAGAUAUGCUUUAGGCUUGUGUGUUGAUUUUGGUGGUAGUUGGGUUGACUUGCCUACAACAACAGUUAUCACUCUCGCAUUGGUAUGGAUCCGUGUUGUGACCAAGCGAACACAUAAGUGUACGUGGUAUCACCAAGUAGUAAAGUGGCCUUAUAAAAGCCAAGUAUCGAUACCUCAGAGACUUGUGUUGACAACUAUUCAAUUCCAAUUUACUAAUGAGAUUAAUCAAGUGCAAACAUAACCACAGAGUUGAGAGUUGUAAAUUCUAAGUUAAGUAAACAAUGUGGUAAAAGUAAAUUUCAUAGAAAAUCAAUAAAGACAAACCCAGGGUUAAGGCUCUACGAACAAUAAAAUUACACUAUUGAACUUCAUUGAUUAGAUUACUUGUCUUGGUCGAUGAUUCACGGGGUUGAUAGUACGACUAUGGUCUUUUGAGCCUCUAGUCACCUAUCUAACUUAGACCCACAACUACAUUGUUGAGUGAGGAUGUGAGAGCUAAGUUAAAUGCAUUCAUAUUUCAUCCCAUAAUGAACCAAAUAGGUCACUUAGGUAUAUUCCUAUCCUUAGUGCAUAUUAUAACUUCAUUCUAUAGAAGAUUACAAUCCUAUUCUAUUUACCCCAUAUUCUAUCCUCAUGUUCCUUCUUUCAAGCUUACAAGAUGACAAUGGAUGUAUUCUAAGGGCUUCGAAUCCUUCUAAUAGUGAUAAAAAGGAUAAAUAAACAAUAAAAUAUAAUAAAUAAUCAAAAUCAAAUCAAUUCAUAACAAUAGUAAUCAUGUUCUUGGCCAUAACCCCAGAAAGGGGCUUUUAGCUGCUCAUGGACAUAACUGUAAUCACAAUAGAUGAAUACAUGAUAAAAUCCAUAAAACAAACAAAAUUUAAUGAAUAAAAACCCUAUUUGAAGUGUUAUCCAGCCUCCCUCAAGGUUUAAAGUUCAUCCAAGGUGUUUUACAACAAGUUUAAGUGUAUUAUUUAUAGGAGGACAAUUCUUGUCGAUUUUGAUAUGGGUCCGCGUCGCACCACUUAUCACGGUACACAGAGUGUGAAAAGUGCCCUAAUCUUGUAUAAACACUGGUUUUUUCCCUUAGUAAUCUCCCUAUGUGUGUAAAUCGAUCCAUAUCAGUUUCUAAGUCCCGCGAUACUCUAGUGAACACCAAGAGAUUCUUUUUACAUCAAAUCUCGUCCCAUGCUUUUGUCCAUCCAUUUCAAGAAUUGUGGUAUUGUUUCCACUUGAUUUACAGAUUUUUAAUCAUUAAAAUAUAAUCAUAACCAACUUACCAAGAAUCUUGUAGCAUUAAACACCACGAAUUAGAGCUUAAAACACCACAAAAUCCAAGACGGUGAACUAGAAACUUAAGCUAAGAAUACUAGUUUUGACGCUUUUGAUCUGUAACUUGGUUUAGAAUCUUGGAUUGAUUCAAUUUAAUAUUAAACACUAGAAACAAAUUUUUCCACACAUAAUUAUACAUUUAAACCAUUAGGAACUCAUUACACCCAUUAGAGUCCAUCGAGAUCAACCACAAUAACACCUAGCUCAAGCUAGUAACACUAGUUUUCUCGUUUGAACUCCAAGUGACCAAUUUUAGCCCAAACUUGUAAGAAAAACACCUUAAACAUUGUAAUCAAGUAAUUAAACACAUAUAUCCUCAAUUAUAUCAUUAUUAACACAUUAAUCAUGCAAGAAGUCCUUGAAAUAAAGCUAAAUAAGCCCGGAUUACAACUCUGUGGUGCAUAAAUCCACCUCAGAUCAUCACCCCACACUUAAAGCCUAGUACAUCCUCGAACAACUCUUUACUAUAAGAAUCAUAAUCAGAGAAGAAUCCAUACUUAUAAUACAAGAAAGACACUCAAGGUAGUACAAUAAUUACUACAUAGAAUGCAAGCCCUUAUACUUUGCAUGUUAUACACAAUUGAAAGUUCAAGAAACCUACUCCAAAUCAUACUAGCCUCAAGAAUUGGCUCACCAAGUUUGAAAACUCAUACAUAUUUCUCAAUCAAAGAUAUCCUACAAAUCAUCAAACUAUCAUCAAACAUGCAUCCUCACCACAAGAGAGUUACCCAUAACCACUUAUAUAGAUGCAACUUAUCACAAAAUGGGUAUAAAAAUCAAGUUAAGCUCCUUCUCACAAAUAAUUCACAAGGUACAUAGGAUGAACCACUGGAUUUCCCUUAGUGUAGUGCUCCACUGAUAUCAUAAUGAUGAAGACUAGGAUCAAAUAGGUCUUUAAGGGUUGUAAUGUAGGCUAAAGGUCGAAUAUAAUCUAUUUUGGCCAAGAAUAGUGAUUAUCUUCCAUAAGAACUUUAAUACAUCACAUUUUUCUUUUAAUGCACCUCUAAUAAUCAAUUUCCACCACUUUUGUAUAUGCAUAUAUUUUGUUUACCCCAUCUCUUAAGCAAGUGGUACUAUCUCAACAUCCUGCAGCUUAAUUUUAUUAGUCAUUAUGUCCUUCAAGUACUUAACAUACUUGCUCAUUCCCCACAAAACAUCUAAAAGAGGAAGGUUAAUGUGAAGCCCUAUAAACAUGUCAAAGAACUUCCUGAAGUAUGCGUCCUCCUUUACUUUUCUAAGCCUCUGUGGAAAUGUUGGUGAUGGUCUGUCCUUAACCUAUUCAAAACUUUUGUUUUCGAUUACUCACACUUCCUCGAAUUAUCAACAACUUUAUCAUCUGCCUAUUGAGAAGCCAACUCUAUAUCUACCUCCUUAGUUUUCUUUGGAGGGAUUUCAUUCAGCUCUUUACCAUUCCUCAAGAUGAUUGGCAUUACUUGUUUAGGAUGUUCAUUAGCACUUGGAAAACUAACUCGAGGCUUGUCAUUUUGUGUCUACUGCAUUUUUCCCAACCGAUACUCCAAAUUCUUCUGCAGUACUUGCUGAUUUUUGAGUUCAGUAGCCAUCUGUUCAUCGGUCGCCAUGAUCUUUUAUUACAUGUCUUGUGUGUCACUAUCCUGUGUGUUUUGUUAUUGCUGCUAAAGCUGUUGUUGUUGGUUGUUAUUCCAGGAUUUAUUUAGUUUCUGAGUUUGGUACUUUUGGUUGUAGGCAUUACCAUAAAAUUUGGCCUUUGAGAAUUUCCCACAAACAUGACUGACUCAGGAUUAACACCACACAUAGCUGCAGAGUGACCAUUAUUUCCACAAAACUCUCACCAACUUAUGGUCUGUUGCACUACAUUCACUUGAGACAUAGUUUGAUUUACACCUAAUUUUCUUAAUUUGGUAAUUAUCUAAUUUUGCAUGGCUAAGAGUUGAGUGGGCAAGGCUAUAACACUAUCAAGUUUAAUCAUACCUGCAAUAAUUUUCAUUGAGCGUCUUGAGAAAUCACUAUUCCAAUCUAGAUUUCCUUGUGCAAUUUGGUUCAACAAAGUAUAUAGAUUAUCAUAUGCCUUUUCCAAUUCUUGACCACUUGUAGCUGAAUCUAGCAAAGUUUUCCUGUUAUGGUAAAGUGCCUCAACAAAGGUGCUAUUUAAUACCCCAUUCGACUACUAAUGAUGUAGACAGUCCCAAAGAAAGACUUUGAACCUCUCCCAAUCAUGAUAUAGGUUUUUAUAUGGUCUUUGUUUAAAGCUCACAAUCUCACUGUGAAGUCUUGCAGACUUUCUAGAUGGAAAGAAGUGGAUAAGGAUCUUCUGGGCUAAGUAAUCCCAAGUUUUUAUUGGACUUAUCGGCUCAACGUUCAACCACUUCUUUGCUUUCCCCAAUAAUGAAAAAAGGAAAAGUGUUAGACUCACAUAGUUAAUUGACACACCCGUAGGGAUGAAUGUGUCACUAAUCUCCAAAAAGUUCAGCAAGUGGACUUCUGGAUCAUCAUGUGAAAACCUAGUGACCUAUCCACUACUGAUCAAAAGCUGCACUAUGUUCUAUUUCUGCUUGAUUCUACAUCCAGAAGCUAAUUUUUGAAUGGAGGAGGUCAAAUUUAUCAUAAAUGGGAUUGCCACUUUGCAAAAGGUCCUAUGGGCUGGUGGGUCCUCAUCCAUGGGGGCAGGAAUAUCUUAUUUUUUAUUGAUUUGCAGGAUGUGGUUGAGAAAGACUGCUUCUCUCCUUUUUUGGUGUAAGCAUUGUUUGGGAUCAGAGUCGAGUUCAACCAACUUCUUAUCCUUUGCUAGCUUAGUAUUCUAUUAAGCUUUUUCCUGCAAAUUCAAAACCAAGACCAAGUGAAAAUCACCAAGAAAAUCCAAAUAAUAGAACUAAAACUAGAGCAGAUUUCAAAUUACAAGUCCCCGGCAAUGCCGACAAGAAAUUAUUGUGCCAAAGCACACACACAAGUGUACGUGGUCUCACCAAGUAGUAAAAUGGUCUUAUAAAACCUAAGAAUUGAUCUCUUAGAGAUUGUAUUGACUACUAUUCAAUUCUAGUUAACUAUUGAGAUUAAUCAAGUGCAAACAUAACCACAAAGUUGAGGGUUUUAAACUGGAAGUAAAGUAAACAAUGCGGUAAAGUAAUGUUCAUAGACAAUCAAUGAAUAAAAACCUAGGGUUAAGUCUCUACGAACAAUCAUACUACACUAUUGAAUUUCAUUGGUUAAAUUACUUAUCUUGGUCGUUGAUUCAAGGGGUUGAUAUUAUGACUAUGGUCUUUCGAGCCUCUAGUCAUCUAUCUAACAUAGACCUAUAACUACAUCAUUGAGCAGGAAUAUGAGUGCUAAGUUAAACUGUAACGCCUCAAAUCUGGUACCUAAAAUGCUACACGGUGCUCGUUACCCCGAAGGACCAUAAGCUAACCCUUAAAUGAUAUUUGUACCUGAACACUACAUAAUAUACUGUAUAAAUGUGGAAAUAAAGGCUAUAAGGCCAUAAGGUUCAAAGAUAUGAGAAAUAAUAUCUGUUAAAAUAUAACGUCUGGGUGGGGUAUGAAAUACCCAAAUCAACUAAAAUAACUAAGUGAACAUUCUAGUCUAAAAAGCCUUUAACUGACUGAACUUUCUGAAUAAAGAGUUGAUGGGACAUGUCCCCAACUAACUCCAACUACUGAAAUAAAUUAAUUAAUGAGAUAAUAAAUUAAUGGCUAUGUCCUUGAAGGAUGAGAACUCACUACUAACUUUGACUGCUGAGACUGGAAUGCUACUGAUGCUCUGGAGCUCGUGCUUCAGAUUCUAUGAUAUAAAACACCAUAGCGUAAAAGCGUCAGUACGUUUGAAAGUACUAGUAUGCAUGUGAGGUAGGCUAAAUGCAAAGGGUUCACAUGCAUGACUACACUAACUAACUGAAUAACAUGAGCCUGAGAAUACAUGCAUGAAUACGUAAAACUGUAACUGAGUUCGUGAUAACAUGAUUACUGAGUCUGAGUACUGAUAACAUGAGAUACUGAUAUCUGUAUAACUAAAACAACUGAUACUGAGCAACUGUAUCUGACAGUCUAGAUUCUGAUGGAACUAGCUAAGUUUUAUACUAUUCUGAGUUGACUGUAUCUGACAGUCUUGAAUCCUGUAGAACUAUCUGAGUUCUAUUAUUGAGACUGAAUGACUGUAUCUGACAGUCCUGAUCUGUAACUGAAACUGUAGGAAGUAGUCAACUAACGGACAUGCCCCAAAUAAAUCAAUAUAGCUGAGGUGGGGUCCAAUCUGUAACCCCAAUUGAAAGGAUAUCACUAUUGCGCCACUGGUAAGGAUAAGUUAUGGGAAACCCUCAUCUGACAGUGUCCCCAAAAGAGAAUGGUGGGGCCCUCAUCUUAUAGUUCUUAUCCACCUCAUCAACCCUUAUCUGACAGUGUUGAUGUCUCAACCUAUGCUGUUUACAUAGUUCUGGAAUGUAAGGAUGACUUCUAAGAAUCACACCCUCAUCUGGCAGUGUGUGUUCCCAUCCUUGGGUUCAUUAGGGCUAAUUCCUACUUCUAUUUGAAUAGACACUGAAUAUGGAUUAUUGAACUGAACUAGACUGAAUUAACUGAGUUUCAUUGAUUGAUAGAAUACUACUGAGGUUACUGAGUUUUCUUGAGUCACUUGACUGACUAAUUUUCUAUGAACAUGGCUUGACUGAGAGUUUCUUGAAAACAUGACACUGGAUCUAGACACACAGCUAAUUAUCAGGUACAGGUACCCCCAUGACUCGAUAGCAUGAAACUGACAAAGCAUGACUUUCUUGAAUACAUGACCAACAUCGACAAUCUAUAAGAUAAUAAGAUAGGUAUUUCAUAAAGUAGAAGUUCUAAAUCACCACAAGGGUUACACAUGUAUCAAUAAUUCACCGAUUAAGACAUUUUAUCAAACAUUUGACAUUCAUAAAUUGGUACAUGAUUGGGGAUUUAAUAAUAUCAUAUAGCAUGGAACUUUUCCUUCACAUAGGCAUUUAAUCAAACACAUGGGGAGUAUUCUUUUGUUAUACAAUCAUAAACACAUCUAAUAAUCAUAGUUACAUCAUUCAACAUGUAAAUUUAAGGGUUUAUCAUGAUUAAUAUACAAAUCACCACAUCCUAGGGUUAAUCAUUGGAAUAUGUAAUUUCAAAUAUGAAUCAAAACCCCAUAACAUCAUGAACAUGAAUUUCAAUUCAAUUUAAAUCAUGAGCAUUCAUAAAUACACAAAUCUUGGAUUUUGAAAAGAGAUUCUUAAGCUUCAUAGGUGAAAGGGACCCAUUAAUCAACACAUACAUACCUGGGUUGUGAGUUUCUUGAAGUUCCUGGACUUGAACAACUUCGAAUCUCUUAUUUGUUUGAAGAAUGAUUUGGAUCUUGUUCUUAGGGAUUAUCUUUGAGAGAAAACCCUAAUUUGAUAUUGUAGAUGAAUAAUGAACUUAUGAGUCUUAGUCUGAUAUUAUUAGGGGUUAAAAUGAGUAGAAAAGGACCAAAAUACUCUUUUAAAAACUACUUCAAAAUAACUAAAUGAACUAUCCAAUGGUGGGCGUGAUGGUCCAUGGCUGGGUCGAUGGUCCAUCGGUCCUGACCGUCGCACCUGGGCAGAAUAGGGGUUCACUGCCUCUGCUGCGAUGGCUUGGGCGACGUUAUGUCUCUAGCUCGAUGGUCCAUCGGACUGAGCAAUUGCCCUUAAGAAAAAUAUGGUCUCACUACCUCUGCUACAAUGGUUUAGCUGACGGUCCAUCGCUAGCUCGAUGGUACGUUGGCCCUCAUCAUCACACCUGGGUAGUUUUGACUGCUUUCUAUAAGAAAGCCAUAACUUUCUACCCCAAUAAUGGAUUUAGACAAAAUUGGUAUUGUUGGAAAGAUAAUACAAUUUCCUACUUGACAAAAUGUGAAAAUAUUAAAAAUUACACGUGUACAAAAGUGGAUUCAUCUUCCAAAGUAAGUUUUUAACAUCCUCGGGAUGAUUUCAAGAUAGGUAGACGUACAGGGUAUUAUAUAAAUGCAUUCAUGUUUCAUCCCAUAAUGAACCUAAUAGGUAACUUAGGUAUAUUCCUAUCCUAAUUGUAGAUUAAAAAUUCAUUCUAUAUAAGAUUACAAUCCUAUUUUAUUUACUCCACACUCUAUCCUCCUGUUCCUUCUUUCAGGCUUACAAGAUGACAAUGGAUGUAUUGUAAGGGUCGAAAAUCCUUUAAAUAGUUAUAAAAAGGAUAAAUAAAAAACCAAAUAUGAUAAAUUAUCAAAACCAAAUCAAUUCAUAACAAUAGUAAUCAUGUUCAUGGACUUUACCUCGAAAAGGAGGCUUUUAGCCUGUCAUGGAAAUAACUGUAAUCACGAUAAAUCAAUACAUGAUAAAAUCCUUAAAAAACUAAAUUAAAUAAAAAAAAUCAUAUUUGAAGUUUUAUCCAUCGUCCCUCAAUUUUUAAAGGUCGUUCAAUGUGUUUUGCACCAAGUUCAAGUGUCCUAUUUAUAGGAGGACAAUUUUUGACGAUUUUGACAUGGGUCUGCGUCGCGCCACUUAUCACGGUAUCUAGGGUGUGCAACGUGAUAUAAUCACUGAUACACACUAUUUUAUGUGAAUUAGGAAGAUCCCUAUUUUUUACAAGAGUCCCAUAUUAGUGUCUAAUCCCCACGCCGUACUAGUGAACUUCAAGAGAUCCGUAUUACAUUAAAUCUUGUCCCAUGCUUUUGUCCAUCCAUUCCUAGCUUUCUAGUGUUGUGUACCCUUGAUUUAAAUAUUAUGUAUCAUCAAUAUAUAAUCAUAAUCAACUGAACAAGAAUCUGAUAGUAUCAAACACCAUGAAUUAGAUCUCAAAAGAACAUAACAUCCAAGAUGGUGAACUAGAAACUUAAGCUAAGAAUACUAGUUUUGCCUCUUUUGAUCUUUAACUUCGUUUUGACUCUAUUCUUGAAUCAAUUGAUUCUUAAGCACAAUAAUCAAGUUUUUCCAUACAUAAUUACACAAUAAAACCAUUAUAAACUCAUUAGAGUCCAUCAAGAUCAACCAUAACAACACCUAGCUCAAGCUUUUAACGCUAGUUUUCUCGUUUGAACUCCAAGUGACCAAUUUUAGUCUAAACUUGUUUGAAAAACAAUUUAAACAUUGUAAUCAGGUAAUUAAAAACAUAGAUUCCCAAUUCUUUAUUAUCACAUUAAGUACACAAAAAGUCCUUAAAACAAAUCUAAAUAAGCUUGGAUUACAAUUCUAAGGUGCGAAAAUCCAUCUCAGGUUAUCACCUCACACUUAAAGCCUUGUUCAUCCUGGAACAAAUAUUCACUAUAAGAAUAAAAAUUAGAGAAGAUUCCACACUUCUACUACUAGAAAGGCACUCAAGCUACUAUUAAAAUGACUACACAGAAUACAAGUCCUUAAACAAGCAUGUUAUACACAAUUGGAAGUUCAAGAACACUAUUCCAAAACAUCCUAGCCUCAAGAAUUAACUCACCAAGUUGGCAAACUCAUACAUAUUGCUCAAUCAAAGACAUCAUACAAAUCACUCAACUAUCAUCAAACAUGUUCCCUCACUCUAAGAGAGUUACCCAUAACCACUUUAAUAGAUGAAAUUUAUCACAAAAUAUAAGAAUUAAGCUAUGCUCCCUCUUACAAAGAAUUCACAAGGUACACAACACGAACCAUAGGAUUGCCCUUAGGGUAGUACUCCACUAAUAUCAGAAUGAUGAAUCUUAGGAUCAACUAGGUCUUUAAGGGUUAUAAUGUAGGCUAAGGGGUGAGUAGGAAUUAUUUUGGCCAAUAAUAGUGACUAUAUUCCUUUAAAUCUUUAAUACAUCACACUUUUUAUUCAAUUCACCUCUAACAACCAAUUUCAACCACUUCUAUCUACCCAUAUCUCUUUUUUCCCCAUCUCCUAAGAAAGUGCUACUGUCUUAACAUCUUGCAGCUUAAUUUUACUAGUCACUAUAUCCUACAAGUACUUAACGUACUUGGGCAUUCUCUGUAUAAUAUCUAAGGGAGGAAGGUUAAUGUGAAGCUCUCUGAAUGUGUCAAGGAACUUCUGGAAGCAUGCAUCUUUCUUUGCUUUUCUAAGCUUCUGUGGAAAUGGUGGUGGUGGUCUCUCCUUAACCUGUUCAACAACUUUUAUUUUUGAUCACUCAGACUUCCUCAAAUUAUCAACAACUUUGUCAUCUUCCUAUUGAGGAUCCAACUCUGCAUCUACCUACUUAGUUAUCUUUGGAGAACUUUCACUCAACUCUUUACCAUUCCUAAAAGUUUUGCCAUUACUUGUUUAGGAGGUUCAUUAUCACUUGGCAAACCAUCUUGAGUCCUAGAAUUUUGUGUCUGCUAUAUUUUCCCCAACUGAUACUCCAAAUUCUUCUACAGUACUUGCUUUUUUGAGUUCAACAGCCUUCUAUUCUUCGGUGUCCAUGAUCUUCUAUAACAUGUCCUCUAUGUUACUGGAUAGUAUGUUUUGUUACUACUGUUAAAAUUGCUGUUGUUUGUUACUGUUCUAUGAUUUCACUGGUGUCUGAGUUUGCCACUUUUGGUUUUAGGUAUUAUGAUAAUUUGGCCUUUGAGCAUUGCCCACCAACAUGACUGGCUCAGGAUUUGUACCAUAUAUAGUUGUAGUAUGACCACUAUUUCCACAAACCUUAUACCAACUUGUGGUCUGCUAAACUGCAUUCACUUGAGCCACAGCUUAAUUGAAACCCAAUUUGCUUAAUUAGGUCAUUAUCUAAUUCUGUAUAGCUGAGAGUUAAGUAGGCAAGGCUCUAACACUAUCAACUUUAAUCAUACCUGCAACCUUUUUUAAUGAGUCUCUUAAGGCAUCUGCAUGCCAAUACAGAUUUUAUUGUGCAAUCUGAUUCAACAAAGUAUAUACCUCAUCAUAUGUCUUUUCUAAUUCUUAACAACUUGCAGCUGAAUCUAGCAAUAUUUUCAUGGUAUGGUCAAGUUUCUCAACAAAGGUGUGAGAUAAUACCUCAUUGGACUACUGAUGAUAUGGAUAGUCCUGAAGAAAAUCUUUGAACCUCUCUUAAGCAUGAUACAAGUUUUCAUUUGAUCUCUGUUUGAAGCUUACAAUUUCAUUGCAAAGUCUCACAGUCUUGCCAGAUGGAAAAAAUUGAUAAAGAACUUUUGGGUUAUGUAAUCCCAAGUUGUGAUUGAACUAGCUGGCCUAGUGUUUAACCACUUCUUUACUUCCCCCAAUAGUGAAAAGGGGAAAAAUGUCAGCCUCGCAUAGUUAGUUGACACACCCAUAAGGAUGAAUGCAUCACUUAUCUCCUAAGUUCUAUAAAUGGCCAUGUGGAUCUUCAUGUGAAAGCCCGGUGAACUCUCCACUACUGAUCAAAAGAUGCACCAUAAUCUGUGUCAGCUCGAAUAUAACUCCAGAAGCUAGUUUUUGAAUAGUGAAGGUUAAAUUUAUUGUAAGUGGGAUUUCCACUUCGCGAAAUAUCCUACGGGAUAGUGAGUCCUCAGCCAUGGGGGCAGGAAUACCUUAUUUUUUGUUGAUUUGGGGGAUACGGUAGAGAAGGACUACUUUUCUCCUUCUUUGGUGUAAAUGUUGUUCAGGUUCAAGGUUGGGUUCAACUAACUCCUUAUCCCUUGCCAGAUUGCUAUUUUGUUAACCUUUUUCCUUAAAAUUUAAAGCCAAUACUAAGUGAAAAGCACCAAAGAAAUUUAAAAAGUAGAACUAAAAUUAGAGCACUUGCCAAACUAUAAAUCCCCAGCAACAACACCAAAAACUUAUUAUGGCCAAGGGCAUACGGAAGUGUACGUUGUCUCACCCAGUAGUAAAGUAGACUUAUAAAGUCCAAGUAUUGAUCCCUUAAAGACUUGUGUUGGUAACUAUUUAAUUAUAGUUUACUAUUGAGAUUAAUCAAGUCCAACCAUAAACACAAAGUUGAGAGUUUUAAACUGGAAGUAAAGUAAACAUUGUGGUAAAGUAAAAUUCUUAGACAAUCAAUGAAGAGAAACCUAGGUUAAGGCUAUAUGAACAAUCAUUCUAUGCUAUUGAACUUUAUUGGUUAGAUUACUUAUCUUGGUCGUUGAUUCACGGUGUUGAUAGUAUGACUAUGGUCUUCCGAGCCUCUAGUCACCUAUCUAACUUGGACCCACAACAAAAUCAUUGAGUAAGAAUGUAAGAACUAAGUUAAAAGCAUUCAUAUUUCAUCUUAUUAUGAACCAAAUAGGUAAAUUAGGUAUAUUCCCAUCCUUAGUGUAGAUUAUAACUUUAUUCUGUUGAAAAUUACAAUCCUAUUCUAUUUGCUCCAUGUUCUAUCCUCUUGUUCCUAUUUCCAGGCUCACAAAAUGACAGUGGAUGUAUUAUAAGGGUUGAGAAUCCUUAAAAUAGUUAUAAAAAGUAUAAAUAAAUCACAAAAUAUAAUGAAUAAUCAAAACCAAAUCAAUUCAUAACAAUAAUAAGCAUGUUCUUGGCCUUAACCCUGGAAAGGGGGCAUUUCGCCACUCAUGGACAUAACCGUAAUCAAGAUAGAUGAAUACAUGAUAAAAUCCAUAAACAAACUUAAGUAAGGGAAUAAAAACCAUAUUUAAAGUAUUAUACAUCCUAUCUAAAGGUUUAAAGGUUGUCCAAUGUAUUUUCAAUCAAGUUCAAGUGUCCUAAUUAUAGGAGGACAAUUCUUUCCGAUUUUGACAUGGGUACGCGUUGCGCCACUUAUCGUGGAACCUUGGGAGUGAGAUUCACACUAAUCAAGGAUACAAAUUUUUUGAUUAUUAACCUCCCUAUUUUUGACAUGCAUCCUAUAGAAGUGGCUAAGCUCCGUGAUGAGCUAGUGAACUCCAAGAGGUUUGUUUUACGUAAAAUCUUAUCCCAUGCUUUGCUCCAUCCAUUUCAAGCCUUGUGGUGUUGUUUCCACUUGAUUUACAGCUUUUAUAUCAUAUAUAUAUCAUCAGAAUAAACUCACAAGGCAUACUAUAUCAUCUAAACCACAAAUUAGUGCUCCAAACAACACAACAUCUAAGAUGGUGAAUUAGAAACUUAAGCUAAGAAUACUAGUUUUGCUUCUUUUGAUCUUUAACUUAGUUUUGUUUCUUGGAUUGAUUCAAUAGAUUCUUCAACAAUAUAAAAAAGUUUUUCACACAUAAUUACAUAAUUAAACAAUUAUGAACUCAUUACACACAUUAUAUUCCAUCGAGAUUAACUUGAACAACACCAAGCUCAAGCUAGUAACACUAGUUUUCUCGUUUGAGCACCAAGCGACCAAUUUUAGUCCAAAAUUGUUUAAAAAACACCUUAAACAUUGUAAUCAAUUACUUUAACACCUAUAUGCUCAAUUAUUUCAUUAUUAACACAUGAAACACAUAAGAAGUCCUCAAAAUAAAGGUAAAUAAGGAUGGAUUACAACUUUGAAGUGCAUAAAUCCACCUCAGAUCACUCCAUUUGAUGGCUUAUAUGGUAAAAGAUAUGAAUCUACACUAUGGUGGUUUAAGGUUUGUGAAAAUAAUUUUCUUGGUCUUAAUUUGGUUCACUAAGCUAUGGAGAAGUUGAAGGUAAUUCGAGAUAGAAUUAAGGCCGCCUAAAGUUACCCAAAGUCCUAUGCAGAUAUGAGGAAAAGAGAUUUGGAGUUCAAUAUUGGUGAUUAGUUAUUUUUGAAGGUGUCCUCCAUUAAGAGAGUGAUGCGGUUUGGUAUGAAGAGGAAGCUCAGUCCCCGUUAUAUUGGUCCAUACAUGGUUUUGAAGAGGGUUGGUAAUGUUGCAUAUGAAUUAGAGUUUCCCUCUAGUUUGAACUCCAUUCAUCCAGUGUUUCAUGUUUCACUAUUGAGAAAGUGAAUAGGUGAUCCUUUGCUGGUUGUUCCUUUGGAGGAGGUGGGUAUCUUAGAUUCCUUGUCAUAUAAGGAAGUCCUAAUUGAGAUUUUGGAUCAGCAAGUCCGUCGAUUGUAGACCAAGUAUGUGGCAUUGGUAAAGGUUCUUUAUAGGAACCAAAAGGUUGAAGAAGCUAUGUGGGAAGCCAAUGAGGACAUAAACACCAAGUAUCCGUACCUAUUUCUCAUUCCGGAUAAUUGUGCUUGAGGUAUGAUUAUUCUUUAACUUUGUUUUCUAACUUUGUUAAAGAAUAUUGUGAUUUCCUUAGUAUCUUUGUUUUUUUAUCUUUGUUAAAGGUAAGAGUAGUGGUAGUAUUUGCAUUUAAAUCGUGCUAAUAAAUUCCUUGUCUUACCAUUUGAGGAUGAAUGAUCCUUAGGGAGAGUAUGUAAUGCCUCGAGUUUUUGGGUCUUGAAAAUUUUCCAAGUUCUGAACUCACUGCCUUAGUAACGAUUGGACCCCAUGAGUCAUUGUGUAUCUUGAUAGUUCAUUGGGAUAAGUCGUAACUAUAUCAGUAAUUAAGUGGCUAAGUUCUACUCUGAUGAUGAGUUAUAAGGAGUGGCUAUGAGUCAAUAGUUGACCCGUAGUCAAUAUCGGCGCUUUAUCAGUUUUCAAGUUAAGAGCAUUUUAAUGGAACCAUUGAAACUUUAAUCCGAGAUUUGACUGUGUGGGGCCCAUAUGUAUAGUUCUAUUUCUGACAUAAUUCGCCCAAUAUGCUAAAAUAAGUCAACUGUUGGAACUUUCACUAUUUAGGAUUUGGUCUCGGGUCAACUAUUAGAGCUUUUAUUUGUUACUUCAAGACUCAUUUAUACUAUUGGGAAAUUAUGUUAUAAAUGGAACUAUACGUAUGGGCCCCACACUUAGUUAAAAUCUCAGAUUAAAGUUUCAAUGGUUCCAUUGAGCUUAGAAUAUCAAAUUUGGUAUAGUAUCAUAGUUUGUUAGUGUGCAUGGGGUUCCAAGUAAAUGUCGAGCACCCAUUCAAAGUCUGUUUUGGACAUGGUAAAAGUUUAGUGCAUGGCACCUAAUAGGUCUACUUUAACAUCCAUGGGAUGCUUUAGCGGCCCUGGCCCAUUAGCAGUGGCGCACUUUAGCACCCAAUGGCCUCUAAAGCGGUGCCUUCCUUAGCGCUAUUGAGGUAGCUUUAACAACAUCAACAACUUUAUGCCAGACCGCUUUAGCAUCCAGGUAUUUGUUUUAAUGGCACCAGUAGCCUAUUUAUCCUCUUUCCCCCACCUAAUUUUCUACCUUUUAUUCCAUAAUUCUUAUACCAAGGUGAGAGAUCAAAGAGAGGAAAAACUGGGAAAUCUACCACAUAAGUUAAAGUAAGCUAACCUAACUCUUCUUUGUCACUUCCCAUUGAUUUUUCCUUUGACUUCCAUCCAAAUUCUUGGUAAAAGUCUUAGAUAUUUGGUCUUAAAUUCCUAAAUUUUUAGGGUUGAUUAAAGACCCGAUUUGUGCUUGUUUGUGCUCAACUUUUGAGCAUACAUUCCUUGUCCAUUGAGGGACCUCAUGAGGGGUUCAAUUUUGGAUUCUAUUUGUUGGUCUUGUGGGCUCGUUCUUGACCCAAAAUUAGAGCAAACCCUUAUUACAGAAAUAAUCAUCUUAUUAACUCCUAAAAAUAUAAAUAUUACCAUUUUAAUAACGUGAUGACAUUUCGGGAUGUAUGGUGAAGACAAAUAAUUUGUAGGCAAUUCAAGGGUUACGAUUGCAUUAAGGUAAGCUUCAAUCUAAUAUUUUUCUUAAAAUGGUGUUUUAUACAUGUUGACUAUUAGAUGGAGAUGUUAGAAGGUGAUGUUGGGUAGAACACCAUGACUUAACCUAAAUUAUGAAUUUAUCGACUAAAAGGGUAACUGACCCUUAAGGUGAAAUACUUAUUAUGCUUCUACGAUCUUAUUACCUUAGGAUUCUAAUAAUGUUAGGAAUAUUUGAGACUAAUAACCCUUUAUUAUAAUAAUUAAUACUUGACUCAGUAGAUUGUAAUGGUUUUCCUGGAUUAUGAUGUUAUGGUUAUGUCAUAUAUGUAUUAAUGGGCUGAAGGCCGUGAUUAUGAUAUUGGUUGGAGUUUGGGAAGAAUUUUAUCCUGGUAAAGGACUUGGCCAUAGUUUAUCUCUUAUAAUUGUAUUGAUUGUAUAUAGUUAAUGGCAUUUAUAGAUUUGGUACAUUCAUGAUUAUUUAGAUGGCACAUGGUACGAUUCCAACUAAAAUAUGGUUCCCGCUAUUCACUUUUAAAAUGGAUUUCUUCAUAAUGGAAUUGUAACAUCUUAAUGAAUAACUUAUGAGCCUUUGUGAGUAAAAAUGACGUUAUUAAGAUUUGACCGAGAUAGAUUCUAUUCUAUGAUUUGUCCACUACUGUUUACCUAGGUUGAGAGAGAUUCUGACCCUUUUUACAUAUUUUAAUGAUUUAGUCCUAUAGUUUACCCUGGUUAAUGGAUUUAUGGACUUAGACUCUUUUUGCUACGUUCUAGCCCAUUCAUUUAUUAUGUAUAUAUAUAUAUAUAUAUCUGAUACUAGAUAGAGUGGAUUGACAAUGAUGAUAAUUAUUGGAAAUCAUGGAUCGAGACUAGGUUAGUGUUUAUGAGUACUCCUGAACUCUUUAGCAUCCCCUUCGUCUGUAAGCCAUCUGUCGGAGAAGAGACGUCAUUGUAGGUCCUGCCUUUAGGAACCAUUGAGAUAGAGGAGGUAUAUACACUAGGUUUCAUUAUAGUACUUAGAUCAGUUAUGGUAUUAUGGACUUACUUGGCAUUCAUUUUUGCAUGCACAUUCCUUUUCACUAGUAUGCCCUAUAUCUAUCAGUCUUAUUAGGGGUUGAAUAGGUACAUGUAUGAGUACUUUUUGCAGUAUAUUAUGUGUUACUUGUAUCUAUUAUCCUUUUAGGUUGUUGCAUUGGUAGAGGCUAUGACUGUUGUUUUUUAAGUGUUGAUUGAACCUUCCGAGCCUAUGAUGGUGGUAGUUUAUGAAAGACUCAUUUAGGUAUUAUUUGUUUGAACUAGAUGGUUACUUUAUGUUGUUAUUGUUAUUAUGGUUAGUUUGGGACAAGUUGAUUAUUAGACUAGUAUUGAGAUUUGAGGUAUGUUUUCGAAUUUUUUAUUUUAUAGUUAUUUUAUUAUGCAUGAUUACCCCAUGGUUAGGUAUUAUAGGUUUGGACCCUUAUUAUGUUAGAUAUAAUUCCUACUUUGAUUAGGAGGCCUUGAGAUGCUUGUGUGGUUACUUAGGUUGUACCUUUGAGUUAGCUUUGUUUGGGUAAAUUUAUCUAUCUAUAAUAGUUAUGGUAUUAUCGUAUAUCCCUCUCUUCCUUCAUUUAUUCAUGUUGUUUAUCCAUUCCUUGGCCUUGUAUAUAGAUAUACAUAUUCAUCUUCUAUUCUUUAUUUGUAUAAUGUCUAGUGAUAUAUGGAUAGUUCUUAGGUUCCUGAGUAUGGCUAGAAUAGAAAAGUUUAUCAUUCUUAUCUCCUUAGAUUUACCUCGUUAGUUUCUUGGAUAUUUUGGUGUAGUUUAUAUUUAUGAUUGCAUAAUAUUUAUAUUUGUAUUGUAUUAGAUCUCAACCGACAGUUGCCUGCUAAGUACCACGUGUUUAGUAUUCAUACUACAUUCUGUAGCCUGCAGAUCAUAUAUGGGUUCAUGCUGUUGUUGUGUGCAUCGAGUGGAGCUAAUAUGGUUUUGAGACCUAGGGUGAGCUCCCAGCAUUUUGAGUAUUACUGUUCUCCCUCUUAUAUACUAGACUAAUCUUUGCGUUAUCAUUAGAGAUGAGUUGUAUUAGUAUAUUCACUUAGUAUCUCAUUUUGUAAUGUUAUUACAUUAGAAGCUCUUGUACUGAUUCUACCAAGUUUUGGGGCUAUUUUUCGUUUUUCAAUCUUAUACUAUAUUUAUUCUACAUUAUUCCUACAUUUCUCUUGGUAGUCCAUUAUUAUUAGUUCCAACUAUGGGUUGUUUUACCUACUGGUGGAUUAUAAUAUGUUCCAUCAUGACUUGAGAAUUUAUGUUUUGACAAAUUAAUAUCAGAGCCUAGGUUUACCGGUGUGUUGGUACAUAAGCUAAGUGGCUAGGAGAGUCCUAUGGAUCGCUGUAGAGAUAUCCAUAAUGUAUCUUCAAGAGGCUACAAGGGAAUUCUUAGGUAAUUUUAUUCUUGACUCAUUGCCAUGUAUCCUUAAUUCUAUAAACCUUAAAUAUGUCCUUUGUCUCUAUUAUUUUCUAGAUGGAUGAUACUAGGUGUCUCUAUGUGAUUUUGGCAUGUAUUUCUAGAGCUUCAAUGCAGCGUCAGACCCAGGAGUCAAGGAUAGAUGUCAAAGAUCUUCAGCGUCAAUUAGAGCGUUUAGGUCCAACCCAAGCUUUGGUAGAGUUUGUCACUGCUUUAGUCUUUUGAGGUUCAGCAUUAGGGAUUGAUAAUGCUCUAAUAUACCUUAUUAAUUUGUAGAGGAUGGUUAUUGUCAAUAUCUCAACUUACGUUGAGGUCGAAUCGACGAGGAGCAAAAUUAUAAUUCUAGUCCUAUUGGUGUUAACACUUCCUAAUAAGAUACCUAAAGUGUAAAUAAAGUAAAAAUAAUGAUUUAAAUUGGGGGGGGGGGUUGGUUGGUUUUCGCAAGUGUUUAUCAAUAACAACUCAAAAUAACGAAUUAAAACAACAAUUGUUAUUUAAAUUCAAUAUGAGAGAAACUUGGGAUUAUGUCUACCUAAGGUCAAAUUAUGCAUGGGUGCAUGAAGAUUUAUUGUACAUUAUAGUUAUCGAAAAUAUGGUAGGCUAGGUCGAAGGUCCAUUCGACUAGUUUGUCAGUAAAACCUCAAGGACAUCACUCAUUGACCCUUUCGAGUACCUAACAAGUGUGUCAAUUACAACCACCUAAUACCUCAAUUGGGCAUCCCUAUUUUUAAGAAGAUUCCCAAGAUAUAGUCAACUUCCAAAUCACCCUUAGUGAAAAUUAGCAAAUUACAUCCAUUAACUAUUUACUAUUGCUUUGUCACCCAUAUCCCUCUUUCAAGGAUGAUAUAGCUUCCAAAAGUUGACCCAAACUCCUCUUUCAAGGAUGGUGUGAGCUUUCAAGAAUUUAGGGUUUUCACCCAUAAACCCAUUUUGGGUAUUUGGGGCUUUCACCCACAAAUCCCAACUAAUUAAACCAAGCAAUAGUGAAACCCAUUAUCUAAAAACUAACAUAUACACAAAUACAUCACAACCCAUACAUAAUUGCACCUUAGUUCAACAUAACCCAAGAUAAUGGAAGUUUAGCUACUCAUGAAGAAAAGAGAAAAAAAUAUACCAUAGGGAUUAUUCAAACUAUUCAUCCAUCAAUUACACUGAAUUCAAAGUCUCCAAAUCAAAAUACAAUUCUUGCCCUAAUUAGGGUUUAAAACUUCAUAUUCAAACUGUUCCAAUAGUGUAGAAUGCCCAAAAGAGAAAAGGUUUUAGCCUCUAAAGGAAUUAGGUUUGGCUGAAUGAAAUUAAAAAACUGCCCUUGGGCAUAUUCCCGUAUAGCUGCGAUUGCUGGAUCUUGUCCACAAUCAAAGCACCUUGACCUCGCUUGACUGGCCACGAUCAAGGUAACUGAGGCUUAUUUCUGCUUUAGGUCUUUUAGCUUCACUUCUUUUCUACUUUUUGAUCCUUUUUAGCUCGCAUCCACAUCUUUCCCUCACCUAACCUGUAUGCCUGUAAAAUAUGUAAAUUAGUGCAUUUAAUCACAACUUUGUCUCACUUAUACAUUCAAAGCAUAGUAGUGUACUUUAAUGUUGAGUACAAAUGAGUAGUAAAUUCACCACUCAUCAACACCCCCAACUUGAAUUUUUUCAUGCCCUCAAGCAACACUACCUCUUACCAUGAGAUAAUGCACAUGUAUACCUAAAUUAUAUGACUCAAUGACCACAAUGACUUUAAGCUUAGUUACUAACACAAAUAGCUCUUUAAACACGGGCAAUGCUACUCCCACAACCUCCCUCAACAUGAAAUGCAAUGUUCAAGGGUGCAAAAGACUUCAAAGAGAAACCUUGCAACAAUCUCUAAUACUCUAGAAGUGACUCACCUUUGACCUCAACUCCAACAUACUCCUUUUGCCUCAUUUUUCUGGAGAUGAUAAAAUCACUCACCUCAACUUAUGUACAUGCGUCUUCACAAGAAGGAAAAUUUCACACACCAAGUUGUCAAAUAUUCAACAAGGUAUUUUAAGUGAAAAUCUCUCUCUAUCACAAGAAUUCUCGAUGCGAACAAGUACCAUGCCAUAGGCUUUCCCCUAUUUUCAAUCGCCACUACAAUGAAUACACUUGGUUGGAGAUCUCGAAGGGAUUUUUGAGUUUGUAACAUGGGUUUGGGGUAGGGUAUGAUAUAAUUUAGGAACAACAUGGACAUAACCUCUCGAACAUAUAUAUCACACUACUUCAUCCAACUUUUGAUCAUGGCACUUCUUUUGUUUUCACUUUUUACACAUGUGCCUACUUUUAUUUCCUUGGUUCACCCAUUUUCUUUUCAUUUCUUUUUUCUUGCACACUUCGUGCUCUUUUUUCCUUUGUUGGAUCCUAUCUUUUUCUUAUUCAUUUUUUCUCAAUGCUUAAUCUUUAAGGCACUUACUUACAAUUUGGUGGUCCAAAGUUACCUCUUCUAAUCUUCACCACCCCAACUUUGGCGUUUAGCCUCAAGUUGUAUUUUUAAGUUUAAGAAAGGUAGGGUUCAAAAGAGGGAUAAAAAUUGAAUGCCUCACAUGUUGCAUUAUGUUUUCCAAAUAAAGAUCCAAAGGUUCAAAUUGGGUGACUAGUGAUAAUAUCUAAGAAAGGGUAGGCUUUUAAGCUAGAGUGGACUUCUAAUGUCGCUAAGAUGGCCUAGGAUCAUCUCACCAACCAAGUACAAUCAAGAUUAUCCUUGAGAGACUAAUGGGGUAUGUUCUAGAUGGUAUAAGUGUACAUGAGCUUUGGACAAAUAAGCUCACUGUACAUGGCAUGCUAAUUUGCCAAGGAGGCUAAAUUGCCCCUCCCGCUAGAGACAAAAAUAGAGCAUCUGUCAAUUUUCACAAGCCAAAAUUUUAGAUUCAUAAAAGGAGAAAAUGUAUUAUUACAAAGUCACUCACAUCUAUGCCCUUAAUUUUUGAAAAAUAUUGGACGGAAGGGGUGUUUUCUUUGCAUUUGCACCACACACAAUUUUCUAAUUAUGGAACCAACCCAAGCCUUUGUCUCACAUUUUGGUUUCCAUAUGGGCAAACCAUAAGGCUAUUCAGACUUCACCAUAGGUGUAAAUGUGAUCCCAAAUCCAAAAUGCCACAGUUACUCAUAUUUUCCAUGCAUUUGUGACCUCGAUACCACGAGUACUCAAACUUUCCCUGCAUCCAUGACUCAAAACCCAAUCACUAUGCUUUGUCUCUUAAGAAUGUCAUCAUUCAGUCUAUCAUAGGGAAAAGCUCGUCCAAUAUCUCCAAUCACAAAAUAAAGAUAAAGUAGAAAUCUAAAAAAAUGAUAAAUCUAUGAAAAUAUGGGCCCCAUUCAAGUCCUCGAAUAUUACAACCCAAAGAAAAAUAAUAAAAAUCAUCCAAAAGAACAUAAAAACAUCCAAAAAUAUUAAUAAUACAUACCCAAAUAAAAUAAAUAUGGAGACAGGCACCCCCAAGCAUAAAGAGAGAUAGGGGUGCUCCCAGAAACUAUAUCAAGAGCUGAUAUUACUCUGGGUCUGUGCAUUAUCAUCAGCAUCCUCAAGACUGGACCACACGGUUGGGUCUUCAUCAUUGCUCUCCACUCAGUAUAAAGGAAGUCUAUCAUGGGGUUUUAGGACCUUCCGUAGGCCCUUCACCCCCUUCUACAUAUUACUGAAGAAUUUAUCUCUAUUCUUCUCCUUUUUUUUUACCAUCUUCUCAUGUGAAACACAAAGAUCUCAAUGUAACGCUGCCAAGGACUAGUAUACUCUCUCAAGCCUAGAAAUGGUAUCUCCUUCUUUCCUCUGGUCCUCCUAAUACUUCUCAUAAUCAGAUCGGGACAUGUAUGAGUGACAGGUGGUGAAGGGCUCUCCCAAACCCUGGGACAAACCCUAUACAAGCUCCCUAAUGGCCAUAAUAUCAACACCAAUAUCCUUAAAAGGCCUAGUGGUGGAAGUUCUACAAAUCUUAGGCUCCUUACAUAUCGACUUUCCCAAGUCUAUCUUCCUGUUCUUGAUCUUGCCCGGUGUGCCCUCACCUUGAAUUUUUAGAGGAUAGAUAGGGGUGACCUAAGAAUAUCUAGGGUACUCUUCAACCUUAUCUCUCCUACAAAGCUCAAUAAUCAAAGAGGGAAAGGAGAGAUGUGUACCACCCUAGUUCUUAAAUUAUUUCAUGUUAGAAAUCAUGAGCUGACCAACAUUCAAAGGAAUGUCAUCUAGAAUGCAAGAAACCAUUCAAGUCCAUAAAUCAGGAACUGUUGUCUUGUGCGUACAAAGGGAGACUCAACUACAUAUGAUGUUAAACCAAAUCCGAGCCUCGACAGUGAAGUCAUUCAUGGAUAUGUUUCUCUUGGUCACCACCUAAGAGACUUACUUUUUGGGACAUAGUAUUUAUUCCAACCAUCUUCAUGGCUCACACCCUUUUUCUUUAAACUCACCUAUUUUUUUAUUUAGAUGCCCAUAGGUAUCAUUGAUUUGUUCUUCCCCAAAGUUCACCUACUUUCCCCAAAUCCAGAUAAUCAUAUUGGAUCAGUCUGAGAAAGUACUAUGCAAAGGUUAGUGUAGAACUCAUAGACCUAUUGUGCAUUUGCCUUUCAAGGAUCUGGGGAAAAGCACCGCCACCCCGAGGCCACAAGACUGUCAUGAAAUGCCAAAAGCUUUUUCAAUAAUUUCAUUAAGCAUAUUCCCCUCUCCAGGAGUAGCUUUGUCCUUGAAAGAUCACCAUAGUAAAGAGUGUGGCACUUUGGUGCCAUGAAUCAGACUUGGUCGUAUUCUUCCAUGCUAUGAUCCUGAAAAACAUGAGAACAAUGAAACCAUAUUAAUCAUUGAAAUUUGUAUGUAUAAACUAAGCCACGUUGUUCACUAAAGCUCAAUUAGUGAUUACUUGGUGGUGUUUGGAAAAAAAAUUAGAGGGUAGAAUUUUUGGCCCAGGCAAAAAUCAGCCUUAGUUACCGCAGUCGCGGUCUCGGUGACCACGAUCCCGGUAUCUACGACUGAUUUCAUGCCAAAAUUUCCAAUGCCCAAAAAUUGAAAUUUUUAGCCAAAACAUAUUCUACAACAAGAAUUUGCAUUGAAAUCAUUGAACAAGUUUACUAGGUACUCGAUUAUGCCUUUAGAAUGAAAGAAAAACCACUAGUGAAUACUCUUUUGGGAAUUUGAUCAUACACUUGGUGUGCACCUUUCAGUUUUCUCAACUUCACACACAAUUUGAGUACUCAAUGUUUCCCCAUGCCCGUGCACUCCAUAUUCUAGAAGCUAACCAACACAUAAGUUCAUUUUAAAACAGAUUUAUCAUUGAAAACCAUAGAUUUAGGUAUUCCCCAUAACAUGCAUUGUAUGUCCUAUUUUAAAUAAUUAAAGCUUGGAUUCAAGACAUUUACCAGAGGGGAAUUAUGCAGGAGGAUGCUUUAAUGCUUUUGAAUUCCCAAAUUGUGCCCAAUAUUGGGUGCAAUUUGAGAGGAAAUUUGAGAAAUCAAAAUGACAAAAAUGGGGCAUUCAGAUGUUCUUUUAAGCAGACUCAACUGAGAUUGUGUUCAGGGGUUUGCGAUCGCGGACAUGUGGGUAACUACAAUUGCAAAUACGUUCUCGCAAUUGCGGUAAAUGAGGGAAUUAUUGCACCUCUGUUUUCCCUUGUUCAGCUUAUUACUCAUUUUGACACAUUUUCCCUUGUUCAGAUCACUAAGCAAAAAUUUCACUCUUUCNNNNNNNNNNNNNNNNNNNNNNNNNNNNNNNNNNNNNNNNNNNNNNNNNNNNNNNNNNNNNNNNNNNNNNNNNNNNNNNNNNNNNNNNNNNNNNNNNNNNNNNNNNNNNNNNNNNNNNNNNNNNNNNNNNNNNNNNNNNNNNNNNNNNNNNNNNNNNNNNNNNNNNNNNNNNNNNNNNNNNNNNNNNNNNNNNNNNNNNNNNNNNNNNNNNNNNNNNNNNNNNNNNNNNNNNNNNNNNNNNNNNNNNNNNNNNNNNNNNNNNNNNNNNNNNNNNNNNNNNNNNNNNNNNNNNNNNNNNNNNNNNNNNNNNNNNNNNNNNNNNNNNNNNNNNNNNNNNNNNNNNNNNNNNNNNNNNNNNNNNNNNNNNNNNNNNNNNNNNNNNNNNNNNNNNNNNNNNNNNNNNNNNNNNNNNNNNNNNNNNNNNNNNNNNNNNNNNNNNNNNNNNNNNNNNNNNNNNNNNNNNNNNNNNNNNNNNNNNNNNNNNNNNNNNNNNNNNNNNNNNNNNNNNNNNNNNNNNNNNNNNNNNNNNNNNNNNNNNNNNNNNNNNNNNNNNNNNNNNNNNNNNNNNNNNNNNNNNNNNNNNNNNNNNNNNNNNNNNNUCCCUUUCUCAAACUAAUCCAACACAUGCUAUAGUGACAUAAUUGCAUGGAUUAUUUAAUUGACAAUGUUAAAAUAUACACUACAAAAUUAAAAACAAAGGAUACGAGCCCCUUUUGUGGCAUUUGUAGGUUGCCUCCCACAAAGCGCCUUAGUUUUCAUUGUGGCACGAUAUGUUCCUUCUUCCUCAAGUUGGGUCCUCAAGGGACUCAUCAUUUAAUUCCUCAACUUAAACAUCUAUCAGCAAUACCACUCAAAGCUCUAUAGGUUAUUUUCUUAUUUUGCAUACUCAAAAGGACACUUCACCAUCAUGAACUAUAAACUUCAUUUAGCCAAGCUCCAAAUCAAUAAUGGCUCUCCCAGUGGCAAGAAAAGGUCGUCCAAGGAUGUUAGGUACCUCUUAGUCCAUUUCACAAUCUAGCACCAUAAAAUUUACCGGGAGGAUGAAUCUAUCCACUUUUACUAACAUGUCGAACACAAUACUAACCAGUUUCUUGAUAGACCAGUUUUCCAUCAAAAGCCUUAUUAAUGUUGGAGUAGGGGUUCCCAAGCCAAGCCUAUUAUAUAUUAUGAAGGGCAUGCGAUUUAUACUCACACCAAGGUCACAUAAAGCCUUUUCAAACUUAUGUGUCUCGAUAGUGCAUUGAAUUCUAAAAGCUCUUGGAUCUCCUUUCUUUCCCUCUAUCUCACUAGCCAUCAUAGCACUACACCCAUGAGUAACUUAAAUGGUAUCACUCUUAACAAGCCUCUUCUUGGACAUCAAAUUUUCAUAAAUUUAGCAUAUCUCAAGAUAUUUUGUAUAGCCCCAAGCAAUGGGAUAUUAAUGGACAGGUUUCUAAGCUUAGCCAUGAAUGUUUUAAAUUUAGCAUUAUCCUCAUUUUUUUAAGCCUUUAAUAGAAUGGAGAGAAAACUAUCAUGGUGGGCAUUGGAUCACUUCUCAUAUCAUCAUUUACAAAUAACUUCAGAUCACCCUCUUCACUAUCAACUUAUUCAUUCAGCAGCUCAUUUUCACCCACAUUAUCUCCUCAACUUCCUUUAAAUGAACAUGAAGAGUCUUACAACUCCUAGUGAAUAUUGACGAUACUUGAACUUUAUUUUUUGGCUCAUAAUAGUGUCACUAGAAAGACCCUUUUUGGUCUAGCAUUUAAUUGAGUAGAGAUUUGCCUGAUUUGUGUUUCUAAUCAUUUGAUAGAAGUGGAGUGGUUCACAACUAUUUGGUUGAGUUGCAAAAUAUUGCCUUUAAAUUCAUGAACUAUUUUGUCCGUUCCCUCAACUUUCAUUAAAAUUCUUGCUAAGACAUCUUUUAUUUUGUAUUUAUCGGGCUCGAUAGAGCUACCUUCUUUGUUCUUUGCCUGAUCAUAAGGAGGCACAUAAAAAAUCAAAGAGGAGAAAACAUAUUUUCGAGAUCAGAAUCGGUAUCUAAUGAAUUCAAUAGUUCCAGUAAAAAUGAAAGAAAAAUAAAAAAAAUGACAUCACAACGAGAUCCUAAUCUCAAAACAAAAAGAAAGGGGGAUAUGGCAAAAUCGAUAGGUGCUACGGACUUAAUUGGAUUGAGCUUUGGUAUGGAAGCUUACUAAGUGAUCACUUUUAAAUUUAGAGAAACCCUGGAAUGAUAAAAAAUGGGCAUUACUGAGCCAAAUCCCAUAUACGUGGGGUGGGAACCCCCCGAAUAGCUGGCCAAAUAUCGAAUCUCUUCAUCAAGAUUCUUGGCCUCUUCAUCAUCAUACGUCUUGGAUUCUAGGACAUUCACUACUUUUCUGGGUGUACCCAUCAUAUGCUUCAUCAAAAGCUCCACUUGAGUCAUUACUUUUGCCAUAUUAUCUUCUCUAUCCUUAUCUCUCUUUCUUUGUUCCUUAUUAACUAUAGAGGUAGUAGGAGAUACUUUUAGUACCUCAGCAUCCUGGGUAUUGCAUCCCAGGUUUUUCUUGGUAACUUUCUCCACCAAAUUUGAAGCCACAUGAUAAUUCAACUUCAUAAAAGAGCCCCCCGCCGCAUUGUCUACCGUAGUUUUGUUGAGCGUAUCAUGAGCCCUGUAGAAGAUUUGGAUAAGCAUCUUCUCUAGGACAUUAUGGUUUGGACAAUGCAUGAGUUUUCCAUUAAAUUUUUCCCAUACCUCGUACAAGGGAGAUCUAUUCAAUUGCCUAAUGUUCAUGAUCUUAUCAGGCAAUUGAAUCAUUUUGGAUGCUGGGAAAUACUGGUCAAGGAAGACCAUAUUGAGUUUAUUCCAUGUAGUGAUUGAUCCAUCUGAAAGAGAGUAAAGCCAUAGUGUCGCCUCUCUCAUUAGAGAAAAUAGAAAGUGACGAAGAUGGAUAGACUCUUGGGUUAUGUGUGCAAUAUCAAAGGGUAUACACACUUUUAUGAAGUUCAUCAAAUGCAAGUUGGGUUUCUCAUAGGCUUGUCCCCCAAAAACUCCCUUCAUUGGUAGCAUAUGCAAUAUAACGCUCAUGACAUGAAAAACAUCAUUUCCAUGAGUAGGACAAUAACAACUAAAACCAAUGAAUUAAAAUAACAAUUCCGAUAUAAAUUCAAUAUGAGAGAAUCUUGGGAUUAUGUCAACCAAAGGGAAAAUUAUGCAUGGGUGCAUGAAAAUUUAGUGUACAUUCUAGUUAUCAACAAAGUGGUAUGCUAGGUCGAAGGUCCGUUAGGCUAGUUUGUCAACAAAACCUCAAGGAUAUAACUCGUUGACCCUUUUUAGUACCAAAGAAGUGUGUCAAUUACAACCACCUAUUACCUCAAUUGGCCAUCCCUAUCUCUAGGAAGAUGCCUAAUAUAUAGUCAACUUCCUAAUCACCCUUACGUCUAAGAUAGUAAAAAUUAGUAAAUGAUGUACAUUAAUUGUCCACUAUUACUUUGUCACCCAUUUUCCUCUUUCAAGGAUGAUAUGGGUUCAAAAAGUUCACCCAAACUCUUAUUUCAAUGAUUGUGUGAGCUUUCAAGAAUUUAGGGUUUUCACCGACAAACCUAUUUUGGGUAUUUGGGGCAUUCUCUCAAAAAUCCCAACUAACUAAACCAAGAAAUAGUUAAACCCAUUAUUUAUAAACUAACAUAUAAAAAAUAUAUCACAACCUACACAUAAUUGCACCUUAGUUCAGUAUAAUCCCAAGACAAUGAAAGUUUAGCUACUCAUGAAGAAAAGAGAAAGAAAUAUACCAUAGGGAUUAUUCAAAGCAUCAAUCUUUAAAUUAUACUAAAUUCAAAGUCUCCAAAUUAAAAUACAAUUGUUUUCCAAAUUAGGGUUUAAAACUUUAAAUUCAAAAUGUUCCACGAGUGUAUAAUGCCCCAAAAAAAAGGGUUUUAGCCUCUAAAAGGAAUUGGGUUUGGCCGAAUGAAAUUACAAAAUUUCCCCUAGGUAGAUUCCCAUGUAGCCAUAAUUGUUGGAGCUUGUUUGUGAUCGUGUUUGCCGCAACUGCAAUAAGGACAUCGCAAUUGUGGCACCUUGACUUGGCUAGACUGGCCGUGAUCGCGGUAAAUGAGGCUUAUUUCUACUUUAGGUCUUCUAGAUGCACUUCUUUUCUCUUUUUUGAUCCUUUUUAGUUCACAUCCGCAUCUUUCAUACUACUAACCUGUAUGCCUAGAAAAUAUGAAAAUUAGGGCAUUUAAUCACAACUUAGUCUUACUUAUACAUUUAAACCAUAGUAUUGUGCAUGAAUGUUGAGUGCAAAUGAAUGGUAAAUUCACCACUCAUUAAAGGUCCUAAGUCAUUUUGUGGAUCCUCUCGAAUAGAGUGGAAUUUGGUUCAUUGAAUAGUUCUUAUGAUAGAGUUGGAUUUAUAGGUGUUCAUUAAGGCCCCUUUUCGGUUUUAGAGUAUGAGAUUAGGUUUUUAAAGUGGUCCAAGAAUAUUCCUAUGCUAUAUACUUCAAAGUAUGGAAUUAUGCAUUAAUUUAUUAAAGGAUUAGCAUUGCCACUCUACUUGAUAUUUGAGCAUUUGAUAGCAACAGAAUCUUUCUUCUUUUAGGUUGUUGAUCACGUAAGGCCAUAGAGAGAACAUGUAAUGAGACUUAUGAAGGUGGAGAUAAGAGAUCAUAUCAUUAGUAAAGUGUAAUUGGUUUUCCAUCCAAGAUUAAGGAUUCUCCCAAUGGAGGUCAGCUUCAUUGGUAUCCUAUCGAUCCGACAUAGAUAGUAUUUUAAACUAAGGUUGGGUCUUAGACUAGUCAUGGUGAUAAUAGCGGGUAAGGUUCUUAUCGAACCUUACAGGGUAUUUGGUAUGGAUCUUCAGGCCAUGGUGGUCGUUUAUGAUUAGAGGAUACAAUAAUUUGUAGUAUUCUAUGAGCUUAUUUGGUUGUGGCUAGAUAGGACAUUUCUCUAGAGAGUACCCUAGAUACAGUUGGUUGCUUUGAUAAUGUUACCAUGUAUUCCUAGCCAAAGUACAGUUCCUGAGGUGUUUUAUGAUUGCAAAGAGGAUGUUUAUUUUAGUAGAGAGUUCCCUUAGUGUUAGUUAGUCAUUAGGUUGGGGUCAGCUUAUGUUUCUUGCCAGGUUAGAGUUCGGGGUUUGCUAUGACUAUAGAGAGAUCGACCACUGGUCCUGAGAGUUUCCCUAAUGUAGGAUUAUUGUCCAUUUGGCUCAUUCAGAUUAGUCUUACAGUAUUAUGGCCUCGUUUAUUAGAGGCAAUGCUCUUAGCACCUUAGUUGAUAGUUUUUAUGGUCGGUCUGAGUUUGGACCCAUUUAGAUUUGUUCUUCCCUAGACCCAUCGGGUGUGUGACUUUGGAUUUUGUCAUGAUAGGUGAACUUUUAUUUCCUUCAUUUACCUUUUCAUUUAAGUGUAUUGCGGUUCUUGUACCAAUCAAUGAUUGUAUGCUUUGGUAGGUUUAUAUUAAUUAUUAUGUAUCUUGAUAUGUAUUCAUGAUUAUAUGAUAGUCCUAUAGAUUAUUUCUUUUAGUAGUUGAUGGAGUGGAACAAUGUUGAUAUUUCCCUGAGGGUGCACCAUUUGGAUUCGAGUCCUAUUUACCUUGGAACAUUGGCUUUCUUAUGGCCCUAGAGUGGUACUUGCUGUUGAUUUUUUGUUUUGGUACCAUCUACUUAUUAUAUUGAUGAUUAUAUUACUAUUGUUAUUAUUAUCAUUGUUUGGUGUUUAUCAAUGCUUGAAUGGUUGAUGGCUGGACUAAUAGUAUUUAAUCAGAAUUUCUUUCUCUUAGUUCUUAUUUGUUGACCUUGGCGGCUUGCUUUGUUUGAUGAUUUCUCUCUUGUAGUGAGGUAGUUGGCCUUUUAUGAUACUUUUAUGGUUCUAGAGAUAGUAAUUGGCUAACUAUCCAUUUCUUGGUUUGAGAUUUUUGUACUUUCCUUCUGAUUUGCUGAGAUUUUAGCAUUGGGUAUUCUUCUAUAGAAUCCAUUUCAGCUAUUGAUCAAUUUGGGCUCCGUUCUUCCGAUUUCACUAGUUCAUCGACCGAUAGUAAUUUUAAUAUUGAUGUCAAAAAGUCUUGGAUUAGUUUUUAAGGUUUGUAGGGUUUGUCUGUUAGUGAUUGUUUUCUCUUGGUAUUGGUGUGGAUUUAGAUGCUUUAUUUAUGCUGUGAUGUGGUUCUUGUCUUAUUGUAGUUAAGAGAGUUAUAGGUAGGUAGUCUUUCUAUCUUGCUAGUGAUUAUUUCUUAAGUUGGUAAACUGGGAAUUAAUUAUCUUAAGUUGCUUAGUUUAUUUUUGUACUAGUGGUCUUGACCUUGGCAUUGGUGUCGAGAAUUGAUGCUUUCUUCUUCGACAUGUGAUUCAUGGUUUGAUUGGGUUAAGGUUUUCCUACUUCAGUAUAUUCUGGAAAAUCCUUAUUUCAGAAUUUGUUUGGCCUAAAAAGACUUGAUGUAGUGCCAUUCCUAGGUGAUGUGUGCCUAUGGGUAUUCUUUGCUGAGAUGGAGUACUGGAUUGAUUAAUUUUAGGCUAAAGUUACAUUUCUCCAAGUUACUAGAGUUUUGGUUAUAUCUAGUGUAGUUUGCAGCCUUGGUGCAUUCUUGAGUAUUAUUUGGUCUGUGCCCUCUAGUGGAUUUAGUUUUGGUUUUUUGUUUUUUCAUUUGAUGAUUUAUCCUCUAUUAUGACCUCGUUCUUUAGCUAUAUUUUUAUUUUAGCUUGGUAUGAUUCAAUAAGGAUAAGUUUGAUUAGAUAGUAAGGUCGAUUGGGGUGCCUAGCCUUAGUUUAGGAUGGUGGGCUUAGUUUUGGACUUGGCAACUUGGGAUGGAGAUUUGGAGGUUAUGACAGAUUGAGAGUGUGGAUACUUACACUUCUUUAGGUUUGGUUUCGGUAGUUGAGAUCAAAUAGUUCAUCCUUAGAGCCGAGAAUUUAGUUUGAAGUUGUAUAGUUUAGGUGCAACCUUUAUUUUCAGAUAUGCCCAGUUGGGAUUUCAUAUAUAGGAUGGAUAAGCUUACUUUUUGGUUAAUUAUUUGGUCUUGUUCAGUUCAGAUAGAUGGUGGUUGAUAGAUAUUCAUAUGAUAGUCCAUUGGUCUUGAUCUUAAUUUUCAGUUUUUGUUGGGAUUUUUUGAUGAUUUACUCAUUGAGAUUAGUAUGUAUAAGUUGGAUUCAAGAUUGAUUCAUUUUUAAUUAAUGGGACAUCCUAUAUCGUAUUGUUCAGUGAUGAGUAGUAGUGCUUCCAACUAUUGGUUUCUAGUUUUAUUGGUCAUCCAGACCAAUUGUAGCAUUGGCAUAGACUUUGGUCAUCUCUAUUUGUGUGCCUAGGUAGCGCCUUAUGGGUUUAUCCCCAUGUCUUCCAUUAUGGAUUUUUAGCGUGAUGGGAUUGCACGAAUAGGACUCGACUGACAUUCUACUUGGUUUGGAGUAGAUUGUAGGUUUGGUAAGGAAAAAGAAGGAUAUAUUUGGAUUUGGAGUUGGUUGCAUAACUCAUGAUUUUCUUUUCCUUUAGCUUUGAUGAGUUUUCAUUUCUUUGUGUUGGUAUCAGUGGGGUAUUAGUGAGUUGUGGUUUCAAUUUAUAUGCAUCGGCCUUCCUCAGUUCAGUUGGUCGUAGUUGUGGUUGAAAUUGAGAUUUGGUUGUUUGAAGGGAAGAAAGAAAGUUGGGUGGAAAAAGGGAUACCUAUGGCAAUAUCCCAUGGAGGUAUUUUCCUAUCAUGGAGGUUAUCUGGUGAGUCGUGCUCGAAUCAUACGGGUCCAAUACUGCAUCUUUUCAAACUUUAAAGAUCUUUCUAUCCAUCAACUUUCGCAGAUGAAAGUCCUUUUAGUAGUGGAUAUUGUAAUGACCCUUUAGGUAAUUUUCUUGAUUUGCAUGUAUUUCUAGUAUUUUGAGCCUUCUCACAGUGGCUACGGAUCAUUUAUGAUUUGCCGGAGCUAUCGGUUUAGUUAUCAGAUAGCUUGUUUGGAUUUUUGGCUCAUUUCCCUAUUUUAGAUACAAACUCCUCCAUGAUAAAAUGUUAUAAUUGGAGUUUGAUAACUCGAUUUUCGGUGUCAAAAAUUGCUACAACUUCCUAUGCUCGUUGAUUAAAUAAUUAUCACAUCAAAUAUCAUUAACAUAAACCACAAUAAUACCAGAUUUCAUUUAAUUAUUACACCUUCAAAAAUAAGCCAAAAAAUAGUCCUAAGUUCUUCAAAACAUAGCUAGGGAGGUCUAGAUGCAACUUCUAUCUCCUGUUUCAGCAUAACGACAUUUUGGGUCAUUAACAAGAUGUCACCCAUGUUGCUGAAUCAAUGGGUUCACUUUUCGUAUCCCAUGUAGCCUCUUCAAUAGUUCGUUCCUCCAUUGGACCUUCAUAUAAGGAAUAACUUGUGUUCUUUUGUUCCUCACAUCUUUAGCUUGGUAGCAAUACGUUCUUUUGGAUCCCAAUGAAUAAUAUAGUCACCAUCUCUAUGGUACUUUUUAAUAUUAACACAAAAUAUAGGGUGAACUCCAGACAUAAUAGGGGGUAAGGCUAGCAUAUAUGUUACCGACCCUACUUUAUUUAACACCUUAAAGUGUCCUAUGUAACUUGGCUCAACAUGCCCUUCUUUUUGAAUUGCAUUACAUGCUUCAUGGGUGACUCCUUCAAAAGUACCUUUUCUCCUUUCUCAAAGUAUAUAUCUCUUAACUUUUUAUAUGUGUAUUCCUUUUGUCAACUUUGAUCUACCACGAGCUUUUACUGAAGUCAUUCUGCAUAUCUUUUCCUUAAGGCCUCACCUCAAAUGUGUCAAACCACUCAAUUGGGGACUUAUAUCGUCUACCAUAUAAGGCCUCAAAAGAAGCCAUGUCGCUACUAGAUUGGUAGAUAUUAUUUUAGGAAAAUUAACAUAAUGGUAAGUAUUAGUCCCAUUGACUCCCCAAAUCCAUGACGCAACAUCAAAGUAUAUCUUCAAACACUUGGACAACCUGUUCUAAUUAACCAUCGGUUCAUGGAUAAAAACUUGCUCGGGUCCAAUCUAGAAUAAAUCAUUGACUAAAAAUUUUUCCAAAAGUUAGAAGUUAGCUGAGUACCCUAAUCUGAUACAAUGGACACCAAUACCCUAUAUAACCUCUCAAUUUCCUUCACAUAAAUCUUAGCCAACUUGGUCAUAUUAUAAUCAACUCUUACUAGAAUAAAGUGAGCUGACUUAGUCAACCUGUCAAUAAUGACAAAAAUAAAGUCACAUUUACUCAAAGUUCUUGGAAUACCAAACAUAAAAUCAUUAUCCAUUCCUACUUCUAUUCUAGAAGGGGCAUCAACUGAAAGAUACCAAUAGGUUUUCGAUGUGUGUAUUUAAAAUAUUGGCACUUUUGAAAUUUAACUACAAAAUUCACAAUGUCAUGCUUCAUCCUUCACCACCAAUAGUGUUGUUCUCAAGUCUCUUUACAUAUUCUUGACACUUCGAAUAUGGAGUACUUGGAAUUAUGGCCUUUUAUAGAAUGGAUGGAAUCAAGUAAUCUACUCGAGGCACACAUAAUCAACCUCAGAUUCUCAGGGCCCCUUAUUCAUCCAAAAUGGCCUCCUUCGCUUUUCUUUAUAACAUUUUUUCUCUGAGGUUGUUCAACUUCUUAUCUUUAAACAAACUACUCUUAAUCUAACCAUAGAACAUGGACUUGGCCUCCACGUGUGCCAACACACUUUCGUCACUAGUUUCUUGUAAUCUCAGAAAAACAUUAUCCAAAUAUCAUACCUCUCUCACAAAUGGGCACCUGGAUACCUACAAUAUUUCUAAACAUCCUAUGUUCACUGGUUUCCAGCUUAGUGCAUCCGCCACCACAUUGGCCUUGCCUUGGUACUAUAGAAUUGAGAUGCCAUAGUAUUUAAUCAACUCUAUCUACAUCCUCUAUCUUAUAUUCAAGUACUUCUGAGUGAACACAUAAUGUAAAAUAUGGUGGUCUGAGAAAACCUCACACUUAACCCUAUAGAGAAAGUGUCUCCAAAAUCUUAAAGCGAACACCAUGGCUGCUAAUUCCAUGUCAUACGGGGGUAGUUUUUCUCAUUGGGUUUCAAAUGUCUCAAAGCAUAAGAAAUAACAUUUUGAUCCUGUAUCAACACAACACGUAAACCUAAAUGAAAGGUAGUAUAAAACAUAAUAAAAUCUUUUUCCUUAAUAGGCAGGGUUAGUACUAAACCAAAAGUCAAAUUUUUUUGAGAUUUUUAAUGCUCUCCUCACACUUGUUAUCACAAUUAAAUGGAAUGUCCUUCUAAGUAGGUGGGUUAUGUGUGAAGCAAUGGAAGCAAAUGCCUUAACAAAUCAAUGAUAGAAGUUUGCUAAUCUCACAAAACUAUGGAUCUCUAUCACAUUCAUCGAUCUGGCCCAAUUUUUUAACUACCUUAACUUUUGCUCGUCCACUAUAACCACAUGUUUUGAAACCAUGUGCCCCAAGAAGCACACUAAUAAAGUGAGAAUUGACACUUAGAUUACCUAGAAUAUUAUUAUUUUUCCUUUAAUAACUUUAACACAAUUUGUAAAUAAGAUUCAUUCUCUUUUUCACUCUUAGAAUAAAUAAUUAUAUCAUGAAUAAACACAAUGAUGAAUGAAUGCAAAAAGAACUUAAAGACUUUAUUAAUUAAGAUUAUGAAAGAAGAUGGGGAAUUAAUCAAGCCAAAAUACAUAACAAAAAGAACAUAGUACCUAUAAAGAGUUCAGAUAGAAGUCUUUAGGAUAUCCUCCUCUAUGAUCUUUAGCUGAUGACAACUCGACCUCAAAUCAAUCUUAGAGAAUACUACAACUGCUUGUAACUAGUCAAACAAAUCAUCUAUUCUAGGCAAAGGAUAUUUGUUAUCAAUGAUCACCUUAUUCUAAUGGCGGUAGUUUAUGCACAUCCUCGCACUACCAUAUUUCUUUUUCACAAAAAACACAGGUACACCCCAAAGGGAGAUGUUUGGGCUAUAGAGCCUUAUGUAACAACUCUUUCAAAUAGGAUUUUAAUUCUCUUAACUAUGCUAGUUCCAUAUGAUAUGGAGGGAUAAAAAUGGGUCUAGUAACCUUCUCUAGAUCUAUACAAAAUUCAACUUCCCAAUCUAUUUAUACCCAAAAGAUUGUUUAGAAACACUUCUAGGAAAUCAUAAACCACUAGAACCAAUGCUAUUCGAGGGACUAUAAAUUUUUCUUCAUAAUGAUUGGAUAAGAAUUCCCUACACCCCUUCUUCACUAAUUUCCUGGCAUAUGCAGACAUAACCCACCCUGAAUUAGGAUUAAAUGUGCCCUCCCACUCUAACUUCUUUUCCUUGGCCAUGGUUAUAAUGAUGAUUUUGGCAUAACAAUCAAGAAAAACAUUGUAAAAGGACAACCAACUCAUUCCCAAAAGAAUAUCAAAUUCCUACAUUUAUAAAAUGAGUAAGUAUGUUAAGGUCUUAAACCUAAUUAAUAUCAUAGAACACACACAAUAUACCUAAUAAAUGUACACAACCACUCUAACUAGUAUAGGCACAUACAUGGGAGUAUCAAGAUAUUCAGAAUCUAAUUUCCAACCUAUAGAAAAUAUCUUAGACACAUAAGAAAUAUGGAACCAUGAUCAACCAAUAUAGAAGUCAUACAAUAAUAGAUAAGAUAAGUACUUAUGAUCACUACAUUAGAAUCUUCUGCCUCAUGAUGAGCCAAAACUUCAUAAAGUGUUUUAUCACCUCCUUAACUACCACGUUCGCCCUGAGAUUUAUUUAUACUAUAUUAUUCUCCACCUUGUUUAGACUAGUUGCCACUCUUAGCUUAUCCACCAUUUCCACCUUGUAGAUGUCCCAUAUCAUUUUCUCUUCUACCAUAACCUAUCAAGACUAGAGCAGUAAAAGUUGAUUGUUGAGUUAACUAACCUACAAAUAAGAUAUUAGGAAAAUACCUUCUCAUGUAUCCCAAACCCCCAUACUCAAAUCAUAUAGGUCAAAAAAAUAGGCUUUUAAACUGAAGAGGGAGAAGGUGUGUAGGUAUGGACUCAACAAAGUUGAUAAUUGAACCUGGAUGGCCCCUUGUAGAAACUAGCAUAGCUGAAUGGUAGGUCUUAAAAGAACCAUGCCCCUUUUAAAAAGUUCUGCUAAAUUGGCCUGAGGUUUAAUCCUUCUUCUAAUCUGCCAUUACUUUUCUCUAUUUCUCAAAUGUUUAAUCCCUUUUGGAAAAUUUAACAAAAUCUGAAAAGAUUUACUAGUCACUAUGAUAGAUAAGGAGUAUAACUAAAUACUGAAAUUCAAACCCUUCACGAGAUACCUAAUCUGCUGUUCCUCUAAAUUAAUCAAUUGAAGUGUCUAGUGGGACAAUGCAUGAAGCUUGGACUCAUUGGCCGCCAACAAAUAUGUUACCCUACUUCAACCUUAGAAACACACCUUUAUUUUAGUCAUGAUAAGUGUGGGGAACAUAUUUCUCAAGAAAUACAUUCUAAAAUUAAGCACAAGUAAGUAGAGGUAAGGCAACCCUACACUCUACAAAUAAUAUCUACCAUUGCUUAGCUUCAUUCUAAAGUUGAAAGAAAACAAACUCCACCCCAUACUUUUCUAUGGUCUAGGAUUAAACCCCAAUUUGCAUCAUUAAUAGGUUUCGAAUAAUUUUCUAAGGUUAAACAAAGUAAAUUAAAAAUUAGAAUAUAAUUACUUACCUUCAAAGAUUAAAAAAACUUUGAAAUCCUUUUGAAAAUCACCUUUUACCAAAGUGCUACAGUAUUUUUAAAAAAGAGGGAAUGAAAACAUUUUUUGGGUUAAAAAACUAAAAAUUUAUUGUGUGUUACCACGAUUGCGGUUAAAUUUUCAUUGCUACAGUUCUCGUUGUUUUACUAGAAGUGGCCACUGCGGUUCCCAUGAUAGAUGCAACAUUUACUUUUUUUAUUGUAGUGAUAUGAGGUAGAAUCUUAGGACAUUUCUUCAAUUUUUCAUAUUUUAAAACACACACUAUUAAUUUUGACACCGCGAAUCAACAUCUCUAUGAUAAAUGCUAUAACCAGAGUUCUUUAAUUCUAUUUCUAGUGCAGGAAGUUGAUACGACUUUUCAUACUCAUGGGAAAUAUAAUUAUCACAUGAAAUAUUUUCACCAUAAAUCACAUUAAAACCAGAUUUCAUUUAAUUAUCACACCAAGAAAAAUAAGUCAAGACUAGUCUAAAAUUCCUUAAAAUUUAGCUAAGAGGAUUCAAGGUGUAAUUUCUACAUCCUAGUUUAGCAUAACGAUAUUUGGGAUCAUUAUAAAUAAGGUACCACUGGCCAAAUCUGUGGGGUCCUUAUCCCUCAUGUCCCCAAACUUUGCAUAGUGUGUAAGAUCAAAAUGCAUGGCUUCCUCGAUACCCUCUAGAAAGAAGCCCAAUUUUAAGCUUCUGGAAAAAUUAUCUCUCAAAUUUGAAAUGUCAAAUCCAUCAUAAACUUAAGAAUCCUCUCAGUCCAAUCAAAGCAACCACUAUAGCAUGGUAAUUUGUGCAUAAAGUCUUGUACUCAGUCACAAAAAUUCCCACCUAAGUCAAACGCGCAAACUGAUAGCUCCACUCCUUCAUCAAGCUAUGGCAAACAAACCAAAUUUGAAACGCCUAGAAAAAGAGCCGCUAAGUUAUAUGGGGAGAUUUUAAUAGUCUAGAAUAAUCAUAGGAAUUAAACCACUACUUGGUUGGGCCAUGUAUAUAAUGGUCUCUAUAGUAAACUUUAUGCGACUCCAAUAACCCCAUAUUCUAAAACCUCUUAUGGAAACUCAUAAGCAUCCUCACUCUGGCCACCUAAUAUUGAGGUGGAUCGAUCUUCAUAAGACUCUCAAAUAUUUGUUACUCCUCACUAAGCAUAGCUUCUCUAACCAUGCUUGAUGCUCCUAUACACGGUAAAGUCAUACUAUCAUGAAAAGAGAGAAACAAGUUUUCUUCUCCAAAAAAAGAUUUUUUUUUGGUAAUAAAUAAAUUUAUUUAAUCAAGCUUACAACACUAGAAAGAUGGUCACCAGCCUCCUAUUAGAAAGAAACAACAAUAACAACUAUGACAAACUGUCUAUCCUAGGCAUUACAAUGGAAAAAAUUGAGAGAGUGUCAGCUUAGGAGCAAAUCUUGGUUUUCUCUGUCCUUUAAAAGAAAUCUCUUGCACGAUGAUUUGACAUAUAUUAUGAAUAGUCAUUCUCUUUUAUGAAAUUAUCCGCCAGUUCCUCUCCUGACAUACGUGGUAAAAACAAUAGCGCUGCUCAAGAAAAAAGAUUAUAUAGCCAAUUCAGGUAUGUUUUUCUAGACUAAAUUUUGUUAUUAUUGUAUAUUUAAGUAAGAAUCAUAUAGUUCCCCCAUCUUGAAUAAUUAAUCUAAUUUCAUGGUUGUAAGAUGUUAUACAAUCUCUUAUUUGGAAUAAAACCCAUCAGCCAGAAAGGCUGAAAUUGCUAUAAAGUGUAACCCCCAAAGCCUCAAACUCCCCUACCCCCUCCCCUACAAACAAUUAAAAAAAUAGUUCUAUUUUCAAUUCUCCCUAUCCCGCCCCCAUAAACCCAUCCUUGCAUAAUAUGUUUAAUUUUUUAGAUUUAAUUUGAUACUAAAAAUAAAAUUGAUGAAAUCUCUUUUAAUGUAUAAGUUAAUUCAUCAGUGAAGAUUAGUGUUGUUAUAUAUAUAGAAAUUAUAUAUUUAUGACGUAUUCUAUACAACAAUAGCAUUUGCGAAUUCUUCUUUAUUCCUUCCUCUAUCUCAAUUUAUGUGGUGUGGUUGGAAUUUCGAGAGUCAAACAAUUUCUUUAUCAAAAUUUCUUUAUAUGAUUCUGAGAUAUUUGAAGUUGUUAUUUUUUUUUAUAAUUUAGAGUAAUUUCACCCAAUAUUUAAGUAUACAAAUUUUAUAUCAACAAACUUAAAUCUUUUUAGUCUUAAUAUACAAUUAAAGUUUAGAAGUUUGAAUCUCAAAAUUUAUCACGACCCGAUUUCUCAAGUCAUGAUGACGUCUACCUUAUCCCAUAAGUAGACAAACCAAGCCAUCACGUAAAAUAAUAGGUAAUGGGCUAAUAGGCAGAAACCAAAAAAGAUCGCAAAUAAUGAUAGCAACAGUAAUAAUAAGUGAAAACCAUAAAGGAAAUAUAUAGAAUAUACCAAAAUGAGAGAAGGAAAAAGGACCAAAUAUACAAACAAAUCUCUCCCAAGACCUGGUAAAGUCAGUACUAGAGCCACUACUAAAAGAUAUUGAAAAUGCUAGAUAGAAUCUAUAAUGUACACAACAUAUAUACAAGAAGUCUCGAGUAUAAAUUACUAAACUGGAAUAGAUAGAGGAGGAUCAACCUCGGACGAUAGUAUGCCCACCCUACUUCGAAUCAGUACUGAAAGGUAGAAACCAUGUCAAGGCCGAUUACUGGUACUCAUAGCUACAUCAAGAAAAAGAUGCAGAAGUAUAGUAUGAGUACCAAAGCAAUGGAUACUUAGUAGGUAUCAUUUGUCUACUGAACUCAAUACAUGAAAAGUAUAACUAAAAUAUGAUGGUGUAAUCUAAGUCAAUGGUAAAUGGGGAUAGAAAGGUAAACAACCAUUGAGCUACACAAAUACACUAAAAGAAAUAAGUGUAAGUGAUACAGAAAGAUAAACAAUUCAAUAAUAAAAAAAAUCAAACAUAACCUAACUGAGGCCUCAAAAGCCCGCAAGGCACACUGAAGAAGACAAUUAACCUAAUCGUUCCCCCAUAAACUGAUGGGAAACACAAGAAGUAAUUUAAAGAAAAUAAAUAUAAAUAAUCCAUAAUUGAACCAAUCCCAAGAAAUCAUAGUAGUCAUCUAGAUGUGUACCGAAGUUGAACCGACACCAAUGGGUAAUAACGAGAAGCUAGACCCUAGGCUCAAACCGGUAGUGGUGGAUAAUAAUAAGAGGCCAUACACCAAAUUUGAAUUGAAAAUAGUGGGUAAUAACAAGAGGUCACAUGUAUGAUAUAUAAUAGAACUCAUAACCAGAUUCCGGACUCAAAUCGAAACUCAGAGGAACCAUAACUCCCGACAACAAUAGUAAUCAAAAUCAAAACUCCCAAAUCAUCAUAACCAGAUGCCGAACUCAAACAAAAACUCAUAAUAACCAAACCCAAUUGAAAAAUUAAAAUCCAAACCAUACCAUAACCAAUGCCAAAGUGGUCCCAAAAUUCAUAAUUAAUGACAGAAAUAAAUUAUUUGCUAAACAUAAACCAAGACUAAAAUACAUUUAAAUAACUAUUUGCAUACCUUAAAUAAAAAGGGACGAAUCCAAUGUUCCACAACUUAAUUCCACAUCCUAAAGUUAUACAUAUUAUAUUAUACUAAAAUAUAAAAUAUCAAAAUUUAUUAGAACGGGGCCCUUACCGAAUGAUAAGGCAUGGCAUAUGUAUUAAAUGAUAUGCAAACUACAAGUACUUGUCCAAUUCUAGCAUAAUAUUACAUAAUUACUGUAAAUAAGCUCAAUUUAAAGGUAGGGUAAGCAUAUGCCACUUGAAUGCCUAAGCUAUAAUGUCUCUAUAUGAAGCUUCUGAAUAGGUCCAGCUAGAGCUCAAGUUGAAUAAAUGUAGCAAUAUCUUAAAAUUUAAUUUGUAAUGCAAUCGAGCAUGAAUGAAAAUUCAUUAAUAAAUUUUUUUUAAAGAAAGGUCAUAUGAAAAGACUGUUAACACUUUAAUGUUGAAUGCAAACAUUUUAGAAGAAAGGUUAUCAUUCUUAAAAGAUAUGUUUGAAUGGAAUUUGUAAUUAUAUAAGAAAGUUUACAUUUCUUAACACCUAUGAUUGUAAUAACUUGGCAUUAUAUUUCUAAAAUAAUGACACCACUUAAUUUGGUAUCCUUGUGCAUAGAUUCUGCAUAAAGGAGGGGUGGUAGCACCAUCCCUUGCUCUCCAUUAUAGUCGCACUAGGGUAUUGGAUAGGUUCAUGGAAAAAUAAAUAUAAUAUUUUGAAUAUACCAUAAUAAAUAGAAAAUUAUUUCUAAUAAAAUCUCUAUUAUAUAAGAAAAUACCUGAAGUCUCAAACGCAUAUUAUGCUCGGUCUCCCAAGUAGCCUCCUCUGCUGAAUGGUGAUGCCUCUGAACCUUAACUAUGGGAAUGUCCAUGGAGUGCAAUCGUCUGACAUCUCUAGUCAAACUGGACAUUGGUUUUUCUAUAAAUAUUCUCCUCUCAUCUAACUAAACCAAGUCCCACUGAAGCAUGUGCGACGUAUCUAAAAUAUACUGCCGUAACAUAGAUACAUGGAACACCAGAUGGAUGGCUAAGAAGGCAGGAUGUAAUGCCAGCACACAAGCUACCUCCCCUACUUUUUCUAGAAUCACAAAGGGUCCAAUAUACCGGGGGCUCAAAAGUCUCAAACCAACCAACAAGAGAUCAAUACUAUCUAUAAUAAAAUGCCUUAAAUGGGGCUAUCUGAAUACUCAAAUGAAAGCUAUUAUUAUACUCAAACUCCACCAGAGGUAGAAACUAGUCCCACUAAACCCUAGAAUCAAAUACACAAGUGUGGAGCAUGUCCUCCAAAACCUGAAUAGUCUACUCUGAUAGUCCAUCAGUCUGGGGAUAAAUAUGGUGCUAAGAUCAACCUAGGUGCCCAACUCCUCCUGAAAUAUCCUCUAGAAGCUAGAAGUUAACUGAGAGCCAUGGUUUGAGAAAAUAGACAAAGGGAUCCCAUGUAGGUUAACCACCUCUUGAAUAUCAACAUAGGCUAACCUCUCGGCACUAUAGGAAACUCAAAUAGGGAUAAAAUAUAUUGACUUAGUCAAUUAAUCCAUGAUGACCCAAAUGCUAUCAAACCCAUGGGAAGUGCGAGGCAACCCACCUACGAAAUCCAUCCUUACUCGCUCCACUUCUACCCGAGAAUGGGUAGCGACUAAAGUAAUCCACCAAGUUUCUGAUACUCAGCCUUUACCUACUGACAAUAAAGUCAUUAGGCCAUAAACCCUUUUAUAUCUCUCCAUAUACGACUCCACCAGUAAUGCUACCUCAAAUCCUUAUACAUCUUAGUUGUCCUAGGGUACAUAGAAUAUCUAGAGUUAUAAGGCUCACGAUGAAUAAACUAAAUCAAAUCUCCAACCCUUGGAACACUAAUAUGACCAUCAAACCUCAAGAACGCCUCAAAAUCUAAGGUAUCCCUCCUAGACUCACCCUCAAAACCUAUUCUUGAAUGCAACAAAAACUUCUAUCCUAUAUUAAUAAUCCAAAAUCUGCUCUAACAAGGUAGAUUUGGCCUCAACAUUAGCAAUAAUCCUUCGAUGGUCAGAUAUAUCUAGAUGAACCAUCAAGUUAGAUAAAGACUAGAUGUCCAAAGCCAACAUUAGCUAAGAAGCUAAAAUAAAGGUUAAGCUACCCAUGCCUACCAACUUCCAGCUCAAGGUAUCCGCUACCACAUUUACCUUGCACAGAUGGUAGAGAACAGAGAUAUUAUUGUCCUUCAGCCACUCAGUCCCUUUGUACUGCCUCAAAUUAAGCUAUUUUUGGGUCAUAAUAUCCUGAAGACUAUGGUUAUGAAUAAAUAUCUCAAAGCAAACCCCAUAAAAAUAAUGUCUCCAAAUCCUAAGUGCAAAUACUACCUCUGCCAACACCAAGUUAUGAGUGGAGUAGUUGCACUCAUGCACCUUUAUCUAUCUCAAUGAAUAUGCAAUAACAUGAUCCCUACACAUCAAGACAUACCCCAAAAUCACACCAGACAUAUCCAAAUAAAUAGUAAAAUCCUCUUCCUCAACUGAAGCAUCAUAAUAGGAGAUGAAGUAAGCAAAUCCUUGAGUUUUAGAAAGCUUACCUCACAACUCAUAAACCACUUAAACAUAACCUCCUUCUGGUUCAGUCUAGUCAUAGGGGUUAUAAUAGAAGAAAAAUCUUUAGCAAACCACCUAUAGUAACCUGCCAAUCCAAUAAAACUAUAAAUAUUACUAGGUGAUGUAAGUCUAUCCCAACUCGAACAGCCUCAAUAUUCACCAGGUCCACCAUAACACCAUUCUUAGAAUCUACGUGGCCGAAGAAAGAUAUCGAAUCAAUCCAAAAAUCACUCUUCGAGAACUUGGCAUAAAGCCGAUGAUCUUUCAAAAUACAGAGAACAGGCCUCAAAUAUUAUCGUGCUCCUCCCUAUUCCUUGAAUAUACUAGAAUGUCAUUAAUAAAUACUAUUAUGAAAGAGUCCAAAUAUAGCCUGAAUACAUGGUUCAUCAGAUCCAUAAAGGUUGCUAGGGCAUUGGUCAGCCCAAAAGACAUCACCAGGAACUCAUAAUGACUGUAACAAAUCCUGAAGGUUGUCUUAGAGAUGUCUACAACCCUAAAUCUCAGUUGAUAAUAACUAAAACUUAAUUCUAUCAUAGAAAACAUUGUUUCACCCAAAAGAUGGUCAAGCAAAUCAUCGAUACAAGGAAUAAGAUACUUAUUCUUUAUUUAACUGCCUGUAUUUAAUACAUAUAUGUGUAGAGCCAUCUUUUUUCUUUACAAACAUAAUUGGAGCACCUCAAGGCAAUACACUUGGUCUAUUAAAACCCUUAUACAAAAGAUCCUAAACCUGGCUAUUCGUCUCUUUCAACUCAGCAGAAGCCAUAAAAAUAGGUCGGGUGCCUAGCUGGAGGUCAAUAGUACACUCUAUAUCACUCUCAGGAAGAAUGCUAGGUAGGUCGGUACAAAACACAUUAGUAAACUUGUAAACAAUAGGAAUGGAGUCAAGUGAUGGCCUCUCAGCACUAAUACCCAAAUAUACGCAAGAAAUGACUCACAACCCUUCAAUAUAAGUCUUCUAGCCCAAAUAUAAGAAAUAAUUCUCAUUGGUUCAUGGAUAAUAGAACCUUGCCAUAUAAUUAAGGGUAUUCUAGGCAAGGCUAAGGUAACAGUAUUAGAAAAAUAAUCAAAGAUUGCAUGGUAAGGAAAUAGCUAAUCCAAGCCUAGAAUCAUAUUAAAUCUAUCGUAUCUAGGAUAAUGAGAUCAAUCUAAGUAUCAAACUCCUAAAAAGUCACUAAACAAGAUCUAUAUACCUCAUCCACUACUAAAGAAUCACCCAUGGGAGUAGCUAUACCCAAUGGAAUGGAUAAGGACUCUGAACAUAAACCUAGCCACAAUGGAAAAUAAGCAAAAACAUAUGAAGAUGUGGAGCUAGGAUAAAACAAAGUAAAAUCUAGAUAAUGACAUAUGAAAAUUAUAUUUGUGAUCACAACAUCUGAAGCCUCAACCUCUAAUCUACCUGGUAUAGCAUAUAAGUGACCUUGUCUGCUACUGGACUGGGUGCCUACCCGACUACCUAUCCCACCUUCCUAUAGACCACCUCUAGAACCUUGAAGACCACCCCAAUGACCCUAUGAACCAUCUCAAGCUAUCAUAAAUACUGAUCUGAGUAGGUUUGAAGAGUGAAUGAAAUGCCCAAUCAUCCUACAUUGCAGAAACUCAUGAGAAAAGUGACCAAUAACCCCUCUAUCAUAACAUGCCUCUGGUAUCCUGCUCUGUCUAGAAGGUCUAAUAGAUCUAAAAUCACUGCCUUAACUAGAUGAUCCUGAUUGAAUACCUCUCCCUCUGUGGUUGACUACUACUUUUACUAUUGAAACCACUAUAACUGAGCUGACCCCUAUCUAAUAUUUAAAGUGAUGCCUAAAAUUACCAACUAAGCUAACCCCAAUGCUGAAAAUAUUGUUUCUAGGGUACCAAUUGUUAAACCCUCAGCCUAUGGGCUGUGAACUACUAUAGCUACCCUUGUAAUAUGAUCUUUUAUUGCUUACCCCUUGGGCCUCAUGAUCAUCCGCUAUAUACAAUAAAAUGCUCAAUAAUCUUAGAAAAAUACAUUCUUAAAUUCAAUUAACUCUGUGUAUCCCUAUAAAGUAAUAAUCCUUAUCCCCUAACAAAGCAUCAAUCUGCUCAUACUUUAUAAGAAGAAUCAUAGUGGCAUAUCUAGAUAACUUAUGGAAUCUUGCCUCAUACUCAACCAUAAACAUAGAAUUAUGUCUCAAAGUAGAAAAUUUAUCCUGAAGAUGCUCAUGCAUGUUGGAAGGUAUAUACCUCUCCAGAAAGCCUCUAUGAAUUAAGUCCAAGUCACUAGUGAAGAGCCAAUUGGCCGAGAAUCAAGAUAACCACUCCACCACCACCUCUCUAUCAUGUCUAGCUAAUAAACAACCAAGUUCACUACUCGUGACUCAACCAAGCUAAAAUUCCAUAAUCGUUCCUCGCAAUUAGACAGAAACUUGUAAGCAUCCUCUCAUAAGGUCCCAGCAAACCUAGUUAGAGUCAAUCUCAAAAAUCUUCCUAGCAACUUUUAUUUCUCUAAAUACAUUCUUGGAUGGGCUACUACCGAUUUUGGGACUACUGGUGCUAAUGAUUUGAGGUGGAUUUGAGCACCUUAGUGUUGCUAUUCGGGUUUAUUUAGCUUUGUUUUGAGAACUUCUUUUGUCCUUAAUGAGUGAAUAUUGGCAUAAUUGAGCAUAUAAGUGUUAAAUUACUUUAUUUUAGUGUUUAAGGUUUUUUUCAAACAAGUUUGUAAUUAAUUAUUUCUGUUAGAGUGAAAAUCAGAAAACUAAUGUUACUAGCUCGAGCUAUGUGUUAUUCUAGUUGAUCUUGAUGAAUUCUAGUGUGUGUAAUGAGUUCAUAAUGGUAUGAUUAUGUAAUCAUGGGUGUAAAACCUUGUUUAUAGUCCUUAAUAAUCAAUUGAAACAAUCCAAGAGUCAAAACAAAGUUAUAUAUCAAAAGGAAAAAACUAGUAUUAUUAGCUUAAGUUUCUAGGUCAUCGUCUUGGAUGUUGUGUUGUGUUGUAAUCUAAUCCAUAGUGUUUGAUGAUAUAUGGAUGAUACACGAGAUGUAAAUCAAUUUUAAAUAACAUCACAAGGCUUCGAAUAGAUGGAAAAAAGCACGGGAUAAGACGACGUAAAAAUAGAUGAUUUGCGGUCACUAGCAUGUUUUAGAGCAUAUCCAUAGCUAUGGGGUGAGUUACAUAUCUUAGGGGAUUUAUAAGGGGCCAAAACAGUGUUUAUAUUCUAUGGGGGAGUUUCACACACCCUAGGUACCACAAUAGAGGGAGCGACGCAGACCCUAGCUCAAAAUCAGCAGAUUUGACCUCCUAUAAAUAAGACACUUGAACAUAAUGUUAAACACCUUGGACGACUUUGAAACUUUGAGGGAGGAUGUAUAGAACUUAAAAUAGGGUUUUUAUUACUUUACGUUAGUUUUUUUAUGGAUUUUAACAUGUAUUCUAUCUUUGCGAUUACUGUUAUGUGCAUGAGUGGCUAAAAGCCCUUUUCCAGGGUUAAGGCCAAAAACAUGAUUACUCUUGUUAUUAAUUGAUUUAGAUUUGAUUAUUUUUCAUAUUUUAUUAUUUUAUUAUCCUUUUUAUUACUAUUUAUAGGAUUCAUGACCCUUAGAAUACAUCCAUUGUCAUCUUAUGAUCCUGGAAGGAGGAACAAGAGGAUAGAACAUAGGGUAACUAAAGUAGACUUAUAAUAUUCUACAGAAUGAAGUUAUCAUUUGAAAUUAGGAUAGGAAUAUACUUAAGUGAUCUAUUCGGUUCAUUAUGGUAUGAAAUAUGAAUUCAUUUAACUUAGUUCUAACAUCCUCACUCAAUGAUGUAGUUGUAGGUCUAAGUUAGAUAGGUGAUUAGAGGCUCGAAAAACCAUAGUCGUAAUAUCAACCCCGUGAAUAAACAACCAAGAUGAGUAACAUAACAAAUGAAGUUUUAUAGCUUAUUAUGAUUGCUCAUAGAGCCUCAACCCUAGGUUUCUUUCAUUGAUUGUCCAAGAAUCUUUAAUUUACCGUAUUGAUUACGUUACUUCUAGUUAUAAUUUGCAGAUUCUCGUAGCUAUGUUUGCACUAAUUUAAUAUAAAUAGUAAACUAGAAUUGAAUAGUUGUGUAAGGGAUCUAUAUUUGGCUUUAUUUAAUGCCAUUUUAUUACUUGGUGAGGCCACGUACACUUGUGUGUGCACAACAAGUUUUUGGCACCAUUGUUGGGGACUUGUAAUUUGGAAACUACUUUAGUUUUAAUUUUACUUUUUGGAUUUCUUUGGUUCUUUUCACUUGGAAUUGGUUCUGACUUUGUAGGCGCAGGUUAAUAGACUAGUAAGCUGGCAAGGAAUUGGGAGUUGGUUGAACCCAGCCCUGAGCCCAAGCAAUGCUUACACUAAAGGAGAAGAGAAGUUGUCCAUUUAUACCAGAUCUCACAAAUUAAUAAAGAACAAGAUAUUCCUUCUCUCAUGGGUGAGGAUCUACUAACCCUCAGGACAAUUUGUGAAGUGGAAAUUCUGCUUGCGACAAAUUUGACCUCCCAUAUUCAAAAAUCAACUAUUAGAGGUAGAUUCGAGCUGAAGUAGAACAUGGUACAACUCUUUCAUAGCAGUGGAAAAUUCACCGGGCUAUCAUAUUAAGAUCCAUAAGUCUACUUAUAGAACAUUUUGGAGAUCAAAGAUGCAUUCAUCCCUAUGGGUGUAUCAACUGAUUAUAUGAGGCUGACACUCUUUCUCUUUUCACUGUUGGGGGAAGCAAGGAAGUGGUUGAAUGCUGAGCUGGCAGAUUCCAACACAACUUAGGUUUACUUAGCUUAAAAGUUCCCCAUCUACUACUUUCCAUCUGGCAAGACUGUGAGACUUCACAAUGAGAUUUUGAGCUCUAAAUAUAGGCUACAUGAGAACCUUUAUCAUACUUGAGGGAGAUUCAAGUCUCUUCUAUGGGACUGUCCACAUCAUCAGCAGUCCAAUGAUUUAUUAGCUCACAACUUUGUUGAAUCCAUUCACCAUAACAGGAAACUUUUUCUAUAUUUAGGUUUAGGUGGUCAGGCUCAGGAAAAACCAUAUGAUGAGCUAUAUAUUCUUUUAAGCCAUAUUGCACAAGAAAAUCCAGAUUGGCAUGGUGUUGCCUCAAGAGGCUUAGUGAAAAAGGUCGCGUGCAUAAUUGAAAUGGGUAGUAUUAUAGCCUUAGCCACCCAACUAUCAGCUCUACAGAGCCAAAUGAUGACAUAAUUUAGCAAGUUAAGUAUGCAGUAAUCUCAAGCUCAGGUAAAUACAGUACAACAGACUCUUACAGAGUGUGAGGUUUGUGGGAAUAGUGGCCACUCUGCAGAUUUAUGUGGUGCAAGUAUCGAGUCUAUCACUUUUGUAGGUAAUGCUCAAAGGCCAAAUUAUGGUAAUGUCUACAACCAAAAGUGACAGACUCAGGCACCAAAUUAUUUGUGGAACAAUAGUUAGCAAAUUUAGCAUCAAAAAAACACACAGACCAGUAACAUAGAGGACAUGCUAAAGAAGAUCAUGGAAACUCAAGAAAAAAAUGGCGAUUAAACUCAAAAAUCAACAAGUACUUCAGAAAUUAUUGGAGUAUCAGUUAAGGAAAAUGCAUCAAGCAUAAAAUACCAAACCUCAAGGAGGUUUUCCAAGUGAUACUGAAACUCCCAAACAAGUAAUGGCAAUAACUUUAAGGGGUGUUAAAGAAUUGAUUGACAUACCUCCAAAGACAAAUAAGGAGGUAGAUUCAGAGUUGAUUCCUCAACCGAUUACACACAAAGUUGUUGAUUAUUUAGGGAAUUCUGAGUACCCAAAAACAAAAGUUGUGAAAAAGGUUAAGGUGUAUCCACCACCUCCAUUUCCAUAGAGGCUAAACAAAGCAUAGGAGGGUGCAUAUUCUAAGAAGUUCAUUAAGAUGUUCAGAGAUCUUCACAUUAACCUUUCUCUUUUAGAGGUUUUACAAGAAAUUCUCAAGUACGCUAAGUACUUGAAAGAUGCGGUGACUAAUAACAUUAAGCUACAGGAUAUUAAGACAGCAACACUCACUAAAGAGUGUAACUCUGUGGUAAUACUAAAGAUGCUCAAAAAUCUUUAGGACCUUGGAAAGUUCACUCUCCCCAUUAAGAUUGGAAGCAGUGAGGUGGUCCACUUACUGACUGACUUAGAGAUAGGUAUCAAUUUGAUAACCCUAUCAUUGUUCAACAUCUUGGGUUUAGGAAAGUUGAAAUCAUGCUCUAUGCUACUCCUAAUGCCAGAUCAUACUAUAGUCCAUCCUGAAGGAAUCAUUGAGGACAUUCUUAUCAAGGUUAGUAAGUUUAUUAUCCCUGUUGAUUUUAUUAUUUUGGAUUAAAAGGAAGAUAAUAAGGUAUUGAUUAUCUUGGAUAUUCAUUCUUGGCGAUGGAAGGAUCAUUGAUAGAUGUGAGAGAAGGCAUGCUCAAAAUGAUGUUAGAUAAUGAAGAGGUGGUCUUCAAGGUAUACCAACAACUUAAUAAACUAUCCCAUUACAAGAAUUUAUGCAUGAUUACAGUGAUGUAAGUGUAUAAGUCUGGGGUGGUAGAGCCUAAUCCACCAAAGACCUCUUUGAACUUUCUCAUUAAGAUACCUAAGCCACCAAUACCUAAGCCCAAAGUGAUGCCGAUGGAUGAUCUAGAAAAUUCUAUUGUUGAGAAUGCUGUGGACCUUGAGAGUUCACACUCAAGAGGUCAUAAACGAAUAAGAAGAUGGCCUCCAAGUAGGAGGAAAAGGAUAAAGAAAAAUGGUUAAGUGUGAUGAUUAGGUCAUUCUGCAACACUAAAUAAGGCACUACAUGAAAGGAACCCAAGUUAAGGUAGGUUUUAUUUUUAGUAUUCUAAGUUUUUACUUCACGUAGUUUUCUUUUUGUGUUGAAUCAUAGGUUAAUGGGAAGUCUAAGUACCAAAAACCUAAGCUAAAGAGCAUGGAUAAGACUAGUGUGGGGUCCCCGAACCCUUUUGGUGUAAGAAAAUGCUACAAAUUUGGCCUAUAGGCCUCAGGGAGUAUUACUAUCUCCACUCUUAAGUAUACUUUGGGGACAAAGUAGAAUUUUAAGUGUACGGUGGGAAAAUUUCCAUUAAUUCAGGUGAAGAGAUGUUGUAGGGUCUUGAGUCUUAGUUGUUUUUCUAGGUUUUGGGUAAAUUUGAAAAAAAUACAAAAAGAUUUUCACUUUUUAGUUUUUAGUUUAUUUGGGUUAGUCUAGUAGAUGCACCCUUCACCCACCCCGUGGUUAUUCUUUUUGGUUCUUUUCCAUGGGGAAGCCCCUUGAACCCAGUAUCCUUUUUCUUUUUAGGAUUAAAUUUUAAAAUAUUUUGUUUUAGGUAAGUGAGAUAUUCUUGUUGGUGUUAUGUAUUAGUACAUGAUGCAAGUGGGUUUGUAUGUAAAGAGCAUGUGGAUUGUGUGAAUUACUACUUUUUAGACUCUUGGGCUUAUGAUUAUGACUCUUGUACAUUGUUGGCUUAAUGUUGAAUUCAUGCAAUCAUUUGGUUAAGAGUCUAUGAUGAUCCUACUUUAGUUGAGCAUGUUCCAUGUGUGUGUGAGUUGCUUUAUAUUUCUUUUUGCAUGUGAUGUCUAGAACUUGCCUGUUGUGUGUGCAAAGUAAAAUAAAGAGUGUGGUUUUAGGAGAUGAUAUAUGCAUUUCUUUUGUAGCCAUGUGUCAUACCCUCUUUUAUAUACCCUUGUGCAUAAUCUUAGUUAGCCCUAUUGAGCCUUUAGCUUGUUUUCUUUGGUAGCCUCAUAUGUAACCUGUAUCCCUUCUUUGAUUGACCUUAAUUUAUUCCAAAGCUCCUAAGAGCUUUAGUGUAAUAUUAAUUGAGUUAAGGAGUUUGAAAAAAUAAGAGGAAAAAAGUUAAAAGUGAAUCCCCAAAUUAAUAGUUAUUGGUGCGUACAAUUGAUGUGUUGUGGUUAGGAGUGAGAAAUUUGAGCUGAAAAUAAAUCAUGAAUUAAUAAAUAAUACUUCCUUCCAUAUUGUUUUUAUGUGAGAUUAAUGAAAUGGGGAAAAAUAAAAAAUAUGUGUGAAGGUAUAUGAGGUGGGAGGUUGGUUGUUAGAGGUGAAUUGAAUGAAAAGUGUGAUGUAUUAAAGCACUUAGGGAAGAUAGUUACUAUUCUUGGCAAAACCAGUUCCUACCCAUCCCUUAGCCUACAUUACAACACUUAAAGAUCAUUUGAUCUUGAGACUUAACAUUCUAAUAUUAGUAGAGUACUACACUUAAGGAAAGCCUAUGGUUCAUCUUGUGUAACCUGUGAAUUUGUUGAGAGAGUAAAGGUAAUUUGAUCCUUUUAUCCAUUCUGUGAUAAAUUGCAUCUAUGUGAGUAAGUAUGGGUAACUCUUUUGUUUUUAGGGCACAUGUUUAAUGAUAUUUCGUGAUCUGUAUAAUGUCUUUGAUUAAGAAAUAUGUAUGAGGUUUCCAACUUAGUGAGUCAAUUCUUGAGGCUAGGAUGUUUUGGAGUAGAAUUCUUGAUCUUUCAGUUUUAUGUAUAACAUAGUUAAUGUAAGACUUGCAUUCUGUGUAGUCACUGUAGUGCUAUCUUGAGUGUCUUGUCUAUAGUAUAAGUGUGGAUUCUCCUCUGAUUCUAAUUCUUAGAUUAAAGAUCUAUUCAAGGACGAACAAUGCUUUAAGUGUGGGGUUGUGAUCUGAGGUGGAUUUAUGCACCUCAGUUUUGUUAUCCGGGAUUAUUUAGCUUAGUUUUGAAGACUUCUUGUGUGCUUAAUGAGUGAAUAUUACAUAAUUCAGAAUAUAAGUGUUAAAGUACUUGAUUACAAUGUUUAAAGUGUUUUUCAAAUAAGGUUGUAAUUAAUUUGGUCACUUAGAGUGAAAACAAGAAAACUAGUGUUACUAGCUCGAGCUAUGUGUUGUUCUAGUUGAUCUAGAUGAAUUCCAGUGUGUGUAAUAAGUUCCUAAUGGUAUGAUUGUGUAAUUAUGUAAGGAAAAACUUUAGAGUGCUUAAGAAUCAAUUUAAUCAAGCCAAGAGUCAAAACAAAGUUAAAGAUAAAAAGGAAAAAACUAGCAUUCUUAGCUUAAAUUUCUAGGUCACCGUCCUGAAUGUUGUGUUGUUUUUAGAUCAAAUCCAUGGUCUUUAAUUAGGUCAAAAUCACCAAAUUUGACCUCCAGUAAAUAGGACACUUGAACAUAAUUGUAAACACCUUAGACGGCUUUGAAACUUUGAGGGAGGAUGGACAACACUACAACUAGGUUUUUUCUUCUUUUAAUUUAGUUUGUUUAUGAAUUUUAACAUAUAUUCUAUCAUUGCAAUUACGGUUAUGUCCAUGAGCGGCUAAAAGACAUUUUCCAGAGUUAAGGCCAAGAACAUGAUUACUCUUGUUAUGAGUUGAUUUGGUUUUGAUUAUUUAUCAUAUUUAGUUUUUUGCUUAUCCUUGUUAUUACUAUUUUGAGCAUUCGCGACCCUUAUAAUACAUCCAUUGUCAUCUUGUGAGCCCGGAAGGAGGAACAAGAGGAUAGAACAUGGGGUAACUAAAGUAGUAUUAUAAUCUUCUAUAGAAUGAAGUUAUGAUUGCACUUAGGAUAGGAAUAUACCUAUGUGACCUAUUUGGUUUAUUACAGGAUGAAAUAUGAUAGCAUUUAACUUAGUUCUCACAUCCCCGCUAAACGAUGUAGUUGUGGGUCUAAGUUAGAUAGGUGAUUAGAGGCUCGAAAGACCAUAGUCGUAAUAUUAAUCCCAUGAAUCAACAACUAGGAUAAGUAACAUAACAAAUGUUGUUUAAUAGUAGAGUAUGAUUGUUCGUAGAGCCUUAACCCUGGGUUUCUCCCAUUUAUUGUCCAAGAAGGUUUAAUUUACCACAUUGUUUACUUUACUUCUAGUUAUAUCUCUCAAAUUCUCGUCGUUACAUUUGUAUUAUCUUAAUCUCAAUAGUGAACUAGAAUUGGAUUUUUGUCAAUUAAAGUUUCUGAGGGAUCGAUAUUCGGCUUUAUUUAUGGCCACUGUAUUACUUGGUGAGACCACGUACACUUGCUUGUACGCUUGGGUGCAACAGCUGGUGGAACCACCACCUAGGCAUCGCUGCCAUAGGUUGUGCCCCUAAAUUAACACUAGCCGGUGUUGCUGCCUGAGCUCCUUCAAUCUGUGGUCCACCCACUAACCACAAUAACUAUACCAAUGUAUCCAAGGAACCAAAGAAUAUAUAAAAUUAGGUAGAGCCUGGGAUGCCCUUGGCCUAGCUACUGAUGUGGAGGAAUACCUUGAGCUCUCUCAGUCUUAGACGCUAUAAAAAUAUCUGGAGAUGGAUCCAUAGCCUGAUCUAAAACUGGGGAUGUUGCUCUAUCCUUCCCCUGCCCUCUAAGUCGAUCUCGACCCCUGGCCAGAACUCUAGUAGUGGGCUUAGGAUCCUAAUCCCCAGUUUCAAAACCUCACAUCAUAGCCAUAUAUGUAAAGACUAAACCAAUACAAAUUAAGAACCAACUCAGACUACACGCAGAGAAAGGGAUCAAGAAAAUGAUAUUUUUCUGUAAAAAUGCUCCAUAACCUCCCUAAUAUAGGAUACAGAUGUCUCUGUACCGAUCCGCGGGACUCUACUAAACAUCGUCUCCAGUUCUAAUAGUACCAGUGAAACCUAGGCUCUAAUACUAAGCUAUCACGACCCUAUUUUGCAAGUUAUGAUAGUGCCUAUCUUAUCCUACCAGUAGGCUAACCAAGACAUAGCCCAGAAUAAUAAGUAACUAGCUAUCAGGCAGAAACCAAAAAAGAUCAUAUAUAAUGAUAACAGUAGUAAUAAUAAGUGAAAACUAGAAAGGAAACAUAUAUAAUAUAUCAAAAAAGAGAGAAGGAAAAAGGAGCAAAUAUAUAAAAAAAAUCCCUCCCAAGACCUAGUAAGGCCAGUACUAGAGCCACUACUAAAACAUACCCUAAGUACUAGAUAGAAUCUAUAAUAUACACAACCUAUACGAGAAACCUCAAGUAUAAUAGACUAAACUGGAAUAGAUAGAGAAAGAUCGUCCUCAGACGAUAGUAAGCUUACCCUGCUCUAAAUCAAUACUAAAAUUUAUAGACCAUGUUAAGUUCGACUGCUAGUACUCGGAUCUGCAUCAAGAAAAUGAUGUAGAAGUGUAGUAUGAGUACCAAAGCAAUGGUUACUCGGCAGGCAUGAACGGUCGACUGAUCUCAAUAUAGAAAAAGUAUGACUAAAAUGGGAGAGUGUAAUAUAAGUCAAUGGUAAACUUGGAUAGAAAGGUAAAAAACCAUCGGGCUAUGAAAAUAUGCUAAAAUAAAUAAGUAUAAGUGAUACAGAAAGUUAAAUAAUGCAGUAAUAAAAAGCAUAUCAAACAUAACCUAACUGGGGCCCCAUAAACCCGCUAGGCACACUGAAGAAGACAAUUAAACCAAUCGUGCCCUUAUAAGUCGGUAGGACAAUCAAGAAGUAAUUUGAAGAAAAUAAACAUAAAUAAUCUAUAACUAAACGAAUCCAAAUAAAUCAUUGUAGUCAUCCAAAUAUGCAGAUUAAACCAGCACCAAUGGAUAGUAAUGAGAGGCUAGAUGUCGAGCUCAAAUAGGUAGUGGUGGAUAAUAACAAAAGGCCAUAUGCCGGAUUCAAAUUAGAAAUAGUGGGUAAUAACGAGAGGGCCACAUGUAAGAUAUACAAAAAAACUCAUAACCAGAUAUUGGACUCAAUUCGAAACUCAAAGGAACCACAACUCCCAGAACAACAACAGUAAUCAAUACUAGAACUAACAAAUCAUCAUAACCAGAUGUCGGACUCAAACUGGAACUCAUAGUAACCAUACCCAAUUGUAAAAUUAAAAUCCAAACCAUAACAUAUCCAAUGAAAAAGUAGUACAAAAUUCAUAAUUAAUGACAGAAAUAAAGUAUAUGUUAAACUUAAACCCAAAAUUAAAAUAUAUUUAAAUAACCAUUUGCAUAUCUUGAUAAAAAAGGUAUGAAUCCAAGGUUCCGUAACUUAAUAUCACUUCCUAAAGUGAUAGAUACUUUGUUAUACUAAAAUAUGAGAUAUCAAAAUUUACAAGAACGGGGUCCUAACCGGAUAAAUAAGGCAUGACAUAUGUAUUAAAUUGUACGUAAACUAUAAGUACUUGUCAAAAUCUAGAAAAAUAGUAUACAAUCACCAUAAAUAAUCUUAAUCUAAAGGUAGGGUAAGCCUAGCCUACCUGGAAGCCAAAGCUAAAAUGUCUCUCUAUGAAACCUCUAGACAUUGUCCCGCUAGAACUUGAGUUUAAUAAAUAUAGCAGUAAAUUAAAAUUUACUUUGUAAUUGAAUCAAGUAUGAAUGAAAAUUCAUUAAUAGCAAUUUUUUAAGAAAGGUCAUAGGAACGGAACGUUAACACUUUAAUAUUGAAUAAAUUUUUGUGCAUUUUAUAAGAAAGUCUAUCAUUCUUAAAAGAUGUGUUUGAAUGGAUUUAUAAUUAUAUAAGAAAGUUUAUUUUUCUUAACACAUAUGAUUGUUAUGACUUUACAUUAUAUUACUAACAUAAUGACACCACAUAAUUCAGUGUCCUUGUGCAUAGAUUCCACGUGUAGAUGGGGUGGCAACACCAACCAUUGUUCUCCGUUAUAGUCAUACUCGGGUAUUGUAUAGUAUUGAAACAUAGGGGGUGCACCACCAAAUAAGGGACCAGGUCCCUCAUAUUCAGAUAUAGGCAAUAAAUUAGUAAAGCAGUAAGGAAAUAAAACAUUGCAGGAAAGUAAGGAGCAUAAUGAUUUAACAUAGAAACCUCCUUCCUCAAGGGAGGAAAAACUAUGGCUUUCCCUCACAAGCACUAAAGAAUCCACUAUAACCAAAAUCAUGAUACAGACUACAUUGGAACAUAACUCUGAGAUCCACUAAUUUGUAACAACUCUAUUACAAACUCUCCUUGACCACUCCGUCAAGAUCUCUUCUAAAUAUUGAUUAACUCUGACCAAUAUCAACUCAAGUAACUCUACCUAAGCACUCUACAGACAUAAAUAAAAUCAUUACUCUUAUAAGAUGAGUAAUUCGAUUACAGACCAAUACUUGACUCAAGAACAAUUACUCUCUCAGUGGAACAGAAACUUAAAACAUGAGCAAUAUUGUGUUUUAUCCAUUUUCUUCUUAAAUAACCAAAUUGAAAAAACUAUUGAAUUGAGAAACAUUAUUUUCUAAUUAUAAAAGGAUAAUGAUUAAGGUAGAAUAUCCAUUGGCCCACGUGUCCUGAUUGGUACCCAGCUCAUUUGCGCAAUUUAUUACACUAACAUGCAAACCUUUGCAGAAAUGUCAUAGCUAUAUCUUUUCAUAAAGUCCUAAGGACCUAGUCCUUUAUUGUAAGUUGAUCAUUAUCAAAACAAGAUAUAGAAAUUUUCCCCUUUUUUAAUGAUGACAAACCAUAGAUUUUGGAGUAUAAAACUUUACUUAGAUCAUUCAAUCAGUGUGAUCACCACUACUAUCAGUUAAUGUUCCCUUAUCACUAUGCACCAUGCUUCCCCCUAUUAAUAUACCAACAUCAUUUUCUACUUCCCCUGUCACUCUACUAACAUGCUUCUCCUUUUCAAUAAUAUGUAAUUCAACACAUCAUUCAACAUAUAUGCCUACCUACCAAAUAAAUUUAGUAUUCCCCCUUUUGAAAUCAUUGAAAAGUAAGAAAAGUAAACCAAGAGUAAAAUAAGAACAAUCCAGUUAACUCAUAGCCACUUUCAUAAGUACCCAUUGUAUUUGAUGAGGUAGUUAGGGUACUUCCAUAACUCAUAGUAGUCAUCAUCAGUUUGUCUUCAGAAAAGACCGAUAUGAAGUAAAAUUCCCUAACUACCUCAUCAAAUAUAAUGGGAAUGGUCAUUUUCAUAAGAUAGAGCCAUCUUUGAUGUUUAACAAGUUCAAUUAAUUCCAUCAAGCCUGAUUUUUUUAAUACACUUGAGUCAAAAACUCUCCUAGUCAGUACUUUUUGAUUUCUCAAGAACCUGUUUCUAACUUCCUUAGGCACAAGCUUUUUUUUUUCCUCCUAUUUUCUUCUGUUAAAAGCACUGAUAGAUUUUGUUUUAAUAAUUUCCUUGUUGGGACUAGGGUCCUCUGAAGUCUUGCUUCAUAGUAGGACUUCUAGAUUUCACACCAAAACUUUUUGUUUUCAUACUGACAUAUUGUGUCUUGGGACCAAACAGACUCUCUUUUGGGUUCUUUAAUAGAAAAAUGUGAUUUUCAAUAACCCAAUCAUCACUUAUCAUUACACUACCAAAAGGAUUAUGUGUUUUCAGGGAUAAAUUUUCAUCAAUGAGUUGAGUGAAGAAGGAUUCUAUCUUUGAAGAGAUAGGAUGAAUUACCUUGGUUAAAUCUUUGAAGGAAGGGAGAUUUUCAGACAACACAACUUUGGGAAGGAUAUCAACCUUAAUUUGAUAUCUAAUUUAGAAGAAGGAUAAUAAAAGGCUCUAUUUUUAGGAAUUUCAUUUAUUUGAUGUUAAUUCAAAGAGGUAGUUGUGAAGACUAGCUCAGUCAAUAUUGUUUUGAUAAGGAUAUGAAAGAUGAGUGGGCUUAGAGCCUUGAAGAAGGUUUGAGAGAUGAUUUUUAUCUACACUAAAUUUUGAGGACAUGACUAUUUUAAUAAAGUAGUUUUCUGAAAGGAUUGGAGAAUUUUUUAGGGGAAUUCUAAGUCCUUUGUGGGGUUUUAGAAUAAUGAAUUGUCUGACAUUUGAACACCUGUCCCCUCCCCUCCCCCCUCCCUUUAAAAAAAAAGACUAUGGGACUUAGGAUAUUUAAGAUUAGGUACUCCUUUAAAAGAAAAUAGAACACAGAUCAUGAAAAGAAAUUAGGGGAACUAAUUUGCAUAAGGAUAAACUUUUGAAAGAAUGAGAUGAGAUUGAUUUCAAUUUUAAGGUGACUCAUCUUUCUUUUUAGUAUAAUACAAUUUUAUGACACAUAUAUAGAAGAUGUGACUUAUUCUAAUAGAACAAAAAAAUGCACAUUCACGAUACUAACCUAAGAGAUGGGACCAUGUUCCUCUCUUUCUUGAGUGAAUCCUUAAAUUUGUAUUUGUCUUAAUUGUUCUCUUUUAGUCCCAUAAAUAUAUACCUGUAAAGGUAUGGUACUGAGUUAGACCAAUAGGUACAUAUUUUAUCAAGGAUACCUGUCUCCUGAUCAUAGCCAAUUUUAUGGAGAAAAACUGAUUCAUCUAGUAAGUCAGGUUAUUUUAAUCAACCCCAGCCUCAACCUAUUCUUCACAAAUUGUUCCUUCUGAAGAGCCUUAGUAAAUAUGUCUGCUAUCUGAUCCUCAAUCUUGAAAAACUUCAUGCAAAUAGAUCCAUUUUCAACAUUGUCUCUAAGAAAAUAAUGUCUUACAUCAAUAUGCUUGGUCCUUUUAUGUUGCGCUGGAUUAUUAUUCAUGUUAAGAGCACUUAUAUUGUCACACAUUAGAGGUAUAGUAUAUGAGACAGUCCCAAAAUUCUUUAGUUCCUGUUUAAUCCAUAACAAUUGAGCACAAAAAAAAGUUGUAGCCAUAUACGCAACUUCAACAUUAGAUUAAGAAAUUCUACUUCUUAGAAUCCCGAGAGAUUAAAGAAGAACAAAGAUAAUGAUCCAUUGCUGAGGUGGUUUUUCUAUCCACCAAAUCUCUAGUGUAAUGAACAUUUGCAUAUCCUAUUAGAUCAAAACUAUCUUCAGAUGGAUAGUACAGGACCAGGUCCCCUAUCCCUUUCAGAUACUUGAGAAUUCUUUUUGUAACUUUCAAAUGAAACUUCUUUGGGCAAGCCUAAAAUCUGGAUCACAUUGCCACACUGAAUACAAUAUCUAGCCUACUUGUACUGAGAUAUAGUAAGGAUCCAAUAAUCCCUCUAUACAUGGUUUAAUUAACUGAUGGAAAAGGUUUAUCAUUAUCUAUCUUUGAACUAGUUCUAAUUGGAGUUUAAAUUGGCUUGGCAUCUUCCAUGUUGUAUUUCUUCAGUAUCUCCUUGAUAUGUUUAUAUUGAUAAAUCAUUGUCCCUUAAGAAGUUUGCUUGAACUAUAGUCCUAGAAGAAACUUAAUUCACCCAUUAUGCUUAUUUUAAAUUCACUCCCCAUUAGCUUUACAAACUCUUCACAUAGUGAUUUAGAAGUAUCUCUAAAGAUUAUAUCAUCAACAUAUAUCUGAACAAUUAGAAAGUUGCUACCUUUGGGCCUUAAAAAAGAGUAUUGUCAAUUUUCCCUCUUUUAAAGCCAUUUUCCAGAAGAAACUUUGAGAGUCUCUCAUACCAAGCCCUUGGUUCUUUCUUCAAACCAUAAAAAGCUUUAUCUAAUGUAAGCACAUGAUGUGGAAAAUCUGCAUCUUUAAAAAAUAGAGGUUUCUUAACAUAGACUUCUUUCUUCAAGCUUCCAUUCAGAAAAGAACUUUUAACAUCCACUUGGAAGAGUUUGAACCCUAUGCAUGCAGCAAAUGUAAUAAGAAUUUUGAUAGCCUUUAUCCUUGCUACAGGGGAAUAUGUCUCAUCAUAAUCAAUUCCUUCCUCCUCGAUAUAAACUUGGACAACUAGUAUUGCUUUAUUUUUAUUAAUAAAUCCAUGCUCAUCCUACUAGUUUUUGUACACCCAUUUGAUUUUAAUAAUUAUUUUGUCAAUAGGUCUAAGGACCAGGUGCCAGUCUUCAUUCUAAUUAUUAAAGAUCUUUCAACAUUACAUUGAUCCAGUCAGCAUCUUUCAAAGCCGUUUUCAUAUUUUUAGGCCCAAUUUGAGACAAGAAUGCUGAGAAUGCCAUGAAAUUUUAGGCUUGAUCUCUCAUUUAGACUCCAAAUUCCAAAGGUGUAGUCAUAUUCUCAAGUGGGUGAAAAGAUUAUUGACUCUAGUUUGAUCUUCUGAGAUGAGUUCCAUUGGGACCAAGUACCUAAGGUGUUUGACUAAACCCUGCUUGAUGUUCUUCAAUAGGAUUAGGGGUUUGUAACUAAGAUCCUAGAACACUAUCAUCUUCAACCAUUCCCAACUGCAUCAUUUGGUCCUUAACCUUCAUAUUCAGCAAUAUCAUUCCUUUGAAGGAAUGAGGUCUUUAGUAUCAGAAUCUUCAUCAUCACCUAAAUUCACUACUAUUCCAAAAUCAUCAAAGACCACAUGUAUAUUUUCUUCCACACACAGAGUUUCUUAAUUGAAAACUCUAUAUGCUUUGCUUAUGGGGGAAUAGCCCAAGAAUGUUGCUUCAUCACUUUUGUAGUCAAACUUUCCUAGUUAAUUUUGUGAUUAUUUAGCACAAACCACUUACACCCAAAAGGUCUGGGGUAAUCAAGCUUAGAUUUUCUAUUGAACUAAAGCUCAUAUGGGGUAUUGUUUUGGGGAAAUCUAAUUAAACACCUAUUUGUCACAUAACAGGCAGUAUUUACAACUUCACCCUAAAAGCUCUUUGGAAGAACAUUGUCAAUCAGCAUGGUCCUAGCAAUCUCUAUGAGGGUUUUGUUCUUUCUUUUGACAACUCCAUUUUGUUGAGGAGAGCUCAAAGUAGAGAAGUUGUGACUGAUUCCAUAUUAAGAACAAAAUCUUGCAACUUAGGAGUUCUUAAAUUCAGUUCUAUGUUCAGAUCUAAGUUCAACAAUUUUACAAUUAUGCUUCAUUUGAAUUUUCAUGGCAAAAUUUACCAGAACCUCAUAGGUUUCAUCCUUGGUUCUCAAGAACUUUAUCCAGGUGAACCUAGAAAUAAUGACAAAUGCAUGCUUUUUUUCUCAUUUGCUUUGGACUUUAAUAGGUCCACAUAGAUCGAUAUGCAGCAACUCAAGAACUUAAAGGAGCAGCUAGUUUGUUUACCCUAACACAAGUAUCACAAAUCAUUUUUCUGGAAAUUUCAUCUUUGGCAUGCCCUAGACCAGGUCCUUUGAAAUUAACUUGUUUAGCAAAGAGAAACUUACAUGUCCCAGCCUUUUGUGCUAUAGAUCAGUAUCUUCACUUUAAACACUUAAGAAAGUUAAUUCCCCAUCAGUUACAUACUUUAAAUCAUCCACAUACAUGUUUUAAAACCUAUUGGCUUUGAGAAUAACUCUCCCAGACUUCAAGCUUGACACAUCACAUCCAUUAAAUAAAAACCUCACCUUAUUACUUUGUGACAGAUUUGAGAAAUACUUAGAAGACUAUACUUGAGCCAUUCACAUAGUACACAUGUUCUAUUACUUGAUCAGGUGAUUUUCCAAUCUUUCCCACACCACGGAUAUAGCCCUUUUUACUAUUUCCAAGAGAGUCACCUCCACCUUGAAGUGUCUUUAGAGAGAGAAAGCAGUCGGUCCUUCCAGUCAUAUGCUUUGAUUAUCCACUAUCCAUAAACUAGUUCUGAAUGCAUUCCCUUUCUCCUACCUGUAAUUAGAAUUAUUUGUUAGAUUUGAGAACCCACUUGAGUUUGAGUUCCCAAAAUGAAGAUAAUGGUAUGAUUAAAUCAUACUUUGACCAUCUAGGUAGAGAGUUCUUCUUCAUAUUUUUCAAGAGUAUGGAACCCUUAGUGUAACAAUUUUAAUACUUAAUAUAACUAGCACUACUCAUUAUAGCUCUAAGAAAAUAUUUAUAGUUUUUUUCAAGUUCCCAUCUCUUCUAUAAUGAAUACAUAGAGGUUUGUGGACUUUGUUUCUAACACCAUACAUAUCUUUCCCUUGAAACCCAAGUGAUAGGGUUUUACACUGAUAUCUAAGUCCUUUACCAUUAUAGAUAUCCUGACCAGUUAAAUUAAAAAGGAUUUGUGAGUGUGUUCCCCUUUAGUGAAUUGGUAAGUUCUUCUCUUAUAUAGACCAAGUCCCUUUCUAGUUCCUCAUUCUUAUUGAGUGUAGUCGUGAGUUUCUUUUGAGAAUCCCUCAAUUUUUCAUCAAUCUUAAUUUGAAGCCUUAGGUCUUCUUUCUUCCCUUUACCAUCAGAAUCAUCCGCUUUCUUCAGUUGAUUUAUUAGACCCAGAUUUUUAUAUUUUAACUUAGUGAACUAUUCCUCUAUUUCAUAUAUCUGGAGAGUUAAGGUGAUUAAUUUAUGUUGUUGAUUUUCUUUCUCUUCUAACAUAUUUUUCUCAGCAAUCAAUUCACAAACAUAAUCAUUCAAUACAUUUGAAAGCUUCUUUAUCUUUCUAGCAGAGUAGUUAUCUAAAUUUUCUUUAAUGUUAGAAAUAGUUACCUUAUUUUCUUAUUCGUCUUCAGUGUUUGAGAAAACAAGGAUUCAAAGGUGAUAUUUUCAUCCUCCGCUGCCAGCGUAGAAAUAUCUCCUAGUUUUUAAUCCUUCUCAAAUUCACUGAAGUAAUCUACCCAGAUAGCUAAUGCCUUUUUCACUGCAUAAUCAGUUACAACCUUUCUCUUGACUUUUCAGGGACCUGAUCCUUCUUCUUUCCUUUAUCACCUUCUGCCUCUAGAUAUUCUUGAUAACCCAAUUUGUGAAUUAGGCAAUCUUUGAUGAAAUGCCCAAGUUUUCCACAUUUGUGGCAAACUUUAAUUGUACCUCCCUUUUUGUUGCUACUUCCUCUUCCUUGAAUCUAACCACUUUUGUUCAUUGCACUAACAAACCUUUUUUCAAAUAGACAGCAUCAAUGUCUUCCUUACUUGAAUCAGACUUUAAAGCCUUCAAUGCCAUAGAUUUUUCUAUUUUUGCUUCCUUCUUGUUUUGCCCUUGCUACUUCUUGAGCCUAUGAGGGUUCAAAUUACUAAUAAGUUCAUCCGUUGUGAGAGUUUUCAGGUUUCCUGCCUCAGUGAUAGCAUCUAAUUUGCUUUCCCAGGAUUUAGAACUAACAAAAUUUUUAUCACUUGUUUACACAUAGGAAUAACUUCUCCAAAGUAGGGCAACUCAUUGGUAAUUGAAGUGAAUCUAGUACACAUCUCUUGGAUAGUUUCUCCUCUUUUAUGGUGAAGGUUUCAUAUUGAGUAGUCGGUAUAUUAACUUUUGAAUCCUUAACAUCAAUGGUUCCUUUAUGAGCAGUCCUCAAUUAAUUCUAGAUUUCCUUAGCAUUUUUACAAGCUAAAAUCCUAUUAUAUUCAUCAGUUCCUAUGUCAUAGACAACCAAUUUCUUUAUCCUGUAAUUCUUCUCAACUUUCUUUCAAUCUUUAUCAUCAAACUCUCUCCGGGUUUUGACAACCAUCCUUGUUAUAUCUCCUUCUUUGACCUCUCUAAUUGGAACAUAAUGACCAUCAACUAUUACAUCCAUAAAUUCACUAUCCUCAGUCAUAAUGAAGUCAUAUAUCUUGGUUUUUCACCACCCAUAGUACUAUCUAUUAAAGCGGGAUAGUCCAGUGGUAGAUUGCCCUUCUUCCAGAUUAGGUGGAGUAACCAUGACCAAUAAAUCACUCUAGGUAUGAACCUUUUAGAGUGUCCUUGCACUGAUACCAAUUGUGAAACAUAGGGAGUGCACCACCUUAUAAGGGACUAGGACCCUCAGAGUCACAUACAGGCAAUAAAGCAGUAAAGUAGUAAGAAAAUAAAACUUUGCUGGUAAAGAACAUAAUGAUUUAACAUGGAAACCUCCUUAUUCAAGAGAUAAAAAAUCAUGGAUUUCCCUCACAAGCACUUAAGAAUCCACUAUAUUCAAACUCAUGAUUACAGACUCCAUUGGAACUUAACUCUAAGCUCCACUAUUUUUUAACAACUUUAUUACAAACUCACUUUGACAACUCUAUCAAGAUAUCUUCUCAAUACUGAUUAAAUCUAACCAAUGUCAACUCAGGUAACUCUACCUAAGCACUCUACAUACAUAAGUAAAAUAUUACUCUUAUAAGGCAAGUAAUUUAUUAUAGACCAACACUUGACUCAACAACAAUUACUCUCUCAGCAUACAGAAACUUGAAACUUGAGCAAUAUUAAGUUUCCGCCAUUUUUCUUCUUGAAUAACCAAAUUGCAAAAUCUAUCAAACUGAGAAGAAUUCUUUUCUAUGUAUAGAAGGAUGGUGAUUUGGUUAGAAUUUUGAUUGGGUCAGGUUUCCUGAUUGGUACAUAGCUCACAUACGCAGUUUGUUACACUAACAGACAAAACUGCACAAACAUAUGACAACUGUAUGUUUUUAUGAAGGUUCCUUGUUGUCAACUGAUCAUCAUCAAAAUAAGAUAUAGCACAUAGAUUCAUGGUAAGAUAAAUAUAAUAUUUUGAAUAUACCAUAAUUAAUAGAAAAUUAUUUCUAAUAAAAUUUUUAUUUAUAUAAUAAUAUUAUUUUAAUAUUUUUAAAUUUACUAUCUCAGCUUAGAAUAUUAAUAGACCAUAAAAGUUAUUAUAAAGUAACAUAAAUAUAGCAUAACUUAAAGAAUUAUCACUAUCAAAAAUAUCUUAGAAGGAUAAUAAAUUGUAUUUCUACCAAAUGCCAAUUUAAAUUAAAUAUUCCACAAUAUAUUUUGAUAUCACUAAAAUUUACAAACAAACUUCCAAAAAUUGAACUAUCAGCUCCAGUAAGUCAUAAAUAACUUGGGUGGUUAUAGAAAAGCUCUAGAUACGGAAAUGUAUGAAAACAAGUUAAAUUACCAUGAGGGUCAUUACAAAAUUUUAGUUAUGCUUUAAAGAUUGGGACAGAAGAAGUGGGGAUGACAAUGGGAAGGUGCGAGUGUGGGACGAGCUGGGGCAAGGUGGAUAUGGAUUUAUGUAGAUUCUGGUGGAUUGAAACUAUUUUAAAAGAAUUUAGUGUGGGUUGUGGGUUACGGUUCCCUCUUUUCACUCUAUGGAACUGACACUUGAGAAAAACUUAAUCUUUUGCUCAAAAUACAAAAGAAAUUCUAGUUGUAUUUUUUUAGGAAUUAAGGAAAGUUAAUAUAACAAAUUAAAUAUAGAACUAAAGCAUUCUAAAGAUAUAUUAAUUAUUUAGAAUUUGCUUGGAACUGUAGAAAGGAAAUCGAUAGUUGUGUUGAAUAUUAGGGUGGUUAGUAAAACAGUACUAUUGUUAUGAUCAAGUGAACUUACAGUAUUAGAUACUUGCAUUAAGAAACAAAACAUACAAAGGAGGAAGGUUCUUAAUGAGCUCUUGGACUUGAAAAGUUAGUAAUUUUUUGUUUCUACAUAUUAUAGUGAUUAUUAUGAUCAUUUCUUCCCUCUAUUAAGAUUUCAUAUUGAAAAUUGAUAUACGUUAUUUAGGAGAAGAGAAAAUAGUCUAUUACCCCUUGAAUCUUUAUCCGAAAUCCCAAUACACACUCAACCUUCUUGGGGGUCCUAUUACCUCCUUUAACUAUUUAAAAAUAAAAUUAUUAUCCACUUAAAAACUCACAUGAAGAUAUGUAUUGACAAGUGAUCAAUACACAACUUUUAUGUAAUACCAUGUAAUAUCAACGUGCUAUUAUAUUUUUAUAGCAAAAAAUAAUUAUUUUUUCUUAGUAUAUCUCUUCUCUCUUUUUUCCUCUUCCCUUUUCUAUUUUUCUUUCUUGUUUUAUUUUUCCUUUUCUUUGUAACUUUCUUACUUUUCAUUUUUUGAUGAUCGGAGAGACACCAAGAAGGUAAAGAAGAUGGCACCAAAUAAGCAUCAUUUUAAUUUCAAACGUCAGAUUUAUGAUUUGUAUGGUGAGGGAGAAUUGAAAACUAUUUGCUAUAAAAUUUUUUGGUGUAUAAAAUUUGGGGAAUGGAGGAGGUGAGUUGAGAAGGGCGAUGUCGGUGGAGAAUGUAUUAUUGUGUAGUUUUAAGGAUUUAUAUAAAGGAGUGAAGAUGAUGAUAAAGAUUUUUAGGACUGUUGGAAUUUAUUUAAUCUCAAUCUUUACCGUUCUUGUUAAUUUUAUUUUAGAUUUGCUUAUCCUUUUAGUUUCUUGAUAAAAGCUACAAAUUUUUUUCUUUAUAUUGAAUUUUGAAUUUUCUUUUUCAAAAUUGAAUAAAUGAUUUUUUUUGUGGGUCUUGUGCUUGAGGGAAUCAAUGAAAUUGGAACACAAAAAGAGAUUCAUUGGAGAUGAGAAAGAUGAGAGAUUGGUGUUGGAUGUCAUUGAUGAGUUCUUGAAGUUUUUUUUUUGUGAGAAUGAUGAUGAUGAUGAUGAUGAUUCAGAAGAAGAAGAAGAAGAGGAAGAGGAAGAGCAAGAGCAAGAGCAAGAGCAAGAGCAAGAGGAAGAGGAAGAGGAAGAGGAAGAGAAAGCAGGGGAAGAAGAAGAAUAAGAAGAAGCAGAAGAAGAAAAAGCAGAAGCAGAAGAAGAAACAAAAGAAGAAGUAGAAGAAGAAGAAGAAGAGGAAGAAGAAGAAGAAGAAGAAGAGGAAGAGGAAGAGGAAGAGGAAGAGGAAGAGGAAGAGGAAGAGGAAGAGGAAGAGGAAGAAGAAUAAGAAGAAGCAGAAGAAGAAAAAGCAGAAGUAGAAGAAGAAACAAAAGAAGAAGUAGUAGAAGAAGAAGAAGAAGAAGUAGAAGAAGAAGAAGAAGAAGAAGAAGAAGCAGAAGAAGAAGCAGAAGAAGAAGCAGAAGAAGAAGAAGAAGAAGAAGAAGAAGAAGAAGAAGAAGAAGAAGAAGAAAGAUAAUGAAUAAAUAAAAAUAAUACUUAAAAUUAUAUAUAUACACAUAUAUAUAUGUAAAGAAAUAUUAAAAAUAAAAUUUUAAUAUAUUCUAUUCGUGCUCACUCUCUCAGAGAGAGUGAAAUGCAUUCACUUUAUCACCUCAGCAUUUAGGGAGAAAAUAAUUUCAUUUUUAAAUAGUUUAGGGGGGUGAUAGGACCCUCCUGAAGGUUGAACGUGUAGUUAGAAUUUUGGAUAAAGAUUGGAGGGAUAAUAGAUCAUUUUCUCUUUAGGAGAAUACUACUAUACUCCUUUAGGUAAUAUUCGAAUAUUUUGUUGCAUUAAAAUUAUUAGCAUUGUCAAUCAAAAGUAAAUUAAAGUUUUGGUACCAAAUGAGAUACUCAUAAAUCUGGUUGACCGUAAGUCCAAAAUAUAUAGAUUUGUAAAGGUUUUUCAUCCUUCAUCCUCACAAGGUACAUUGUUUUCUUUAUCUUACCAUAUAUAUUGAUUUAUUUAUUUUAGUUAUAUGAACUAAAUUGAGACCUCUUUGUUAAUGGAUAAUUUCUUUAGGAUACUUUCUUUUGGUGAUAUAAAAUUUUCAAAGCACUACGUCAGAACUUUGGACAAUGAAAAAUAAAUGAAACAAAACUAAGGAGAAAGAAUGGAAAUUGUCUAGGAGAUUGAAGGAAAAUGGAAAAAGAAACUGAACAUAAGCUUUAUUUGUGAAACAAAAAUACUCCCUCCAUUUUUUUUAAUUUGUUCUUUUUGUGAUGUGUUUAUAUUCUUUUUUUAGUAAUCCUUUAAUAUUUUAAGAAUAAUUUGAUCAAUAUCUUCCUAUUAUACCCUUGUUGGAAUUAUCAAGAUCAUUAAUUGAGAAUUUCUAUUUCAAUAUAUGUAAUUACUAAUUAGGAAGAGGUAUAUAAUUAAUUAAGGGUAUAUUGGUACAUACAUUUAAUUUUCUAGGAGUGAGAACUUUAUUAAGGGGUGUGUCCAACCUAAAAGAAACAAAUAAAAAGGAAUGGAGGGAGUAACUUUUUAAAUACAGAAAUACAACAAGAGUAAUAAUAUAAAUUAAUUAAUAUAAUUUUAUAGGAUAAUGAUUUUUUUCAUUUUAUGAAUAUCAUAUUUUACUAUCUAAUGCACUCUUUCUUUUAAAAAAACAGGAUAAAACUAAAAAGCUGUGUGUGGCAGGUCUAUGUAUAGUGGGAUGGGAUGGGGUGGGAUGAGAUGAGAUAUGAUGGGAUAAGUUAAAGAUAAAAAUAUUUUUUAGGGUGGUGUGGGGGUGGGGGGUGGGUUUAAGUUUAGAGAACAAAAUGAAUUCUUAGACGUAUACUAGGAUUGUAGCUUUAGUCAAAUGUGUGUUUAGGGGAAAAUGACGAGGAGACUAAACCUACAAAAAAAUAAGUCAUUGACAAAACCUAUGUACCUCGGUAAUUAAUUAUUUUCCAAAGAAUAAAUUAUGUGUUUAGGAGAAAAAUAAAAAAGAUAGUACUAAACCUAGAAAAAACAAGCGAUUGACGAAAUUUAUGUGCGUCAGUUAGUAAUUAUGAUUCGAAGCAUAUAUCAUGUAUUUAGAAUAAAAUGAGAAGGAUUAAACCAGAAAAAAUAAGUCAUUGACAAAACCUAUUUGUGUCAGUAAUUAAUUAUGAUUCGAAGCAUAUACCAUGUGUUUAGGAAAAAUGACAAGGAUACUAAACAUACAAAAUAAUAAGUCAUUGAAAUUUAUACUUUUUAGAAAUUUGAUUAGAAGCAUAUAUCAUGUAUUUAGGAAAAAACAACAAGGAUAAUAAACAUAUAAAAAAAUAAGUCAUUGAAAUCACUGCUUGUUAGUAAAUUAUGAUUAGAAGUAUAUACCACGUAUUUCAAGAAAAACAACAAAGAUACUAAACCUACAAAAAAAAUAAGUCAUUGAAAAAUCUAUGCUUGUCAGUUACUUGUGAUUAGAAACAUAUACCAUGUGUUUUGGGGAAAACUAUAAGGAUACUAAACCUACAAAAAAAAA
RNAcentral lists this long non-coding RNA (116933 nucleotides) under Capsicum annuum. RNAcentral's name for it is "long non-coding RNA (CANN_LNC018964)". The record is from RNAcentral. Lineage: Eukaryota; Viridiplantae; Streptophyta; Magnoliopsida; Solanales; Solanaceae.